RNAcentral lists this long non-coding RNA (94730 nucleotides) under Ananas comosus (pineapple). Lineage: Eukaryota; Viridiplantae; Streptophyta; Magnoliopsida; Poales; Bromeliaceae. The record is from RNAcentral.
GUCGGUACAUAACACUUUGACUUUAAAAUGUGAACGCAUUGAUUAUCUUUACAUAUUUAGUUAAUAUACUCCAUGCGAUUCUUACAACUAUAAAUUUGCUAAAAUAAGUAAUUAGCUUGAAUUUUAAAAUCAAAAUAUCAUUGACCGAUUCAAAUCAAAUAAAUUGAAAUAUUGGAUAGUAAAAUUAAAAUUUUAAAAAGCUUGGAUAAUCGGCCCAAAAUAAUUUAUAAUUCAGAUAUGUUCUAUACAUUUUUACCAAUAUAUAAUUAAUUAUUUCAAAAUAGGUUAAAAUUCAGAUCACAAAAUGUGCUAUCAUUGAGAUGCUAGUUUACCUAAAUCAUGUAUUUAGUGGCCAAUGGGUGCCAAGGAAUAGACAUGCACACAAAUAUAGGUGAAAGCUAUAUAUGGGUCCAACUUUGAGUCACUAGGGUUAUGAAAGGGACCCACAUGUACCCAAAAGAGCUAAGAGAUAUGAAAUGAUCCUCCCUAAGUGGAGGCAAUUAGGUAGGGUUUGGACUUGGCAAAGGUGGCAAAUAAUAGAUUAGGAGGGGGAGGUGGGGAGGGGUACUUGAAAGAUACAUGUCAAAAUAAUAAUAUUAAGUUGAGGAGUGGGAACAUUGGCACUUUGUGUUUGUGUGUUUUAAUUUGUGGGUCUUUUUUGGUUCAUGGUGGGCCAUUUUAUGUUUGGUGAGUAGGGGUUCUUGAAUAAACCUUGAUUAGUAUGUCACUCAUUGAUUGAAGGGCUUUUUGUUGACAAUUGCAACAAAAAUAUAUGUGAUGGUUGCAUGAGUGAUAUGCAUGCAUGUCAUGCUAGCUCCAAAGUUGUAUAUAUCUUGGUAGUUUAAUUUGUUGCAUGAAAUAUUUUAUAUCUAAUCAUAUUUAAUUUCGUAGCAGGAUUUAGCCGAAAGCAGAAGUAGAAAGGAUAUUCUUUUUUCUGAGAGAUAGGUAGCACGCUACCCGCUUCGUUUAUUUCACUUAAAAAUAAAUUUAGCUGGAAAUGUGAAUCAACUAAGAUUCGAACUUGGGUCUCGAAUAUCAACCACCAAAUCCUUUGCCACUUGCUCUAGGAACAAUCGGUGUAGAAAGGAUAUUCUGUUCAAUGCUAAUGCGAUAGUAGUCAAAGAUCGAGUUUUCUUUUAUGAUGAGAUUUCAUCAAAGUUCUAACUUGAUAGUUAUGUAACAUAAAAAUGUUAUUGUUAAGGUUAUAUCAAAGAUUAAUUCAUAUCUAAUCAUACUUACUUUUAAUUUAGGAUUUAGCUCAACUUACACUCUCAUCAGCAGUCAGGAGUAAAAAAAAAAAAAAAAGUUCAUUGUUGACAUGGCAGUAAUCUAACGAAUUUUUUUCAAUGACUAAAGCUCAUCAAUGAGUAUGAAUAAAGAAUAAAUUAAAAUUUUAAUUUGCUAAAUAACAUAGCAUUGAUGACUACAAAAUUUCCAUACAUUGGGGUUGUGGAGAAUCUAGUCACCAUUUAGUUUGUACCAAAUGACAUGUAUUAAAUAAUGGUGUGGUUUUUAAAUUGAUAAAGGAUCACCUACAAAUAUAAUGCUUUUGUUAUACCUAUCUUUGGAAAUGCAUGUGUGUAUGUGUGUUUUUUUUUAUAUUGUUUGGUUGAUGCCACAGUAAAAGUGUGUGACAUUUAAUGAUAUAGGAUCUAAAUGCAUGGCACAUUAAGAAAUAUAAAACUAAAAAAACAAAAUUCCCUUUUAAAUUUUUUUUUUUUUUUUAAAUAACCUGUCACUUUGAGAGACUAUUUAGUACCAAGCAUAGUAGAGCUAGAAUGGUGACAUAAAUUUUUUGUAGCUUAUAAUUAAUUAAUUACAACUUUAAAUAUGUCAUAAUCAUAGACCGUAUCAUAGUCGAGAAAAAUGCAAAUUUUAAUAUAAAGUAGAAAGGCAAUUUUAAUAAAAAAAAUAUUACUUAUUUUACAAUUCUAUACUUUUAUAUUUAUGGGAUAAUCUAAACUAAUUGUGCAUUAAAAAUAUGAUUGCACACUUAUGUAGAUUAGCCGCCGAUUUUAUAUAUUAUAUUCCACACUUUUACUAUAAAAAUGUAAUAAUAUAGUUACACGCAUAGCAUGUCUAAUUUUGUAGUGAAAUGUAUACAUUAAGAUAUUAUAUUUUAAUAAUUUAUGUUUUUAGAAAAUAACGAAUGUUUCAGCGUAUUAAAUAUGUCUAGUUUAUACAAUAUUAGACCCAAUAGGAUCGAUGCACAUAUGAACUGAGUUGUGGUUUUAGAACAAAUUUUAAAUUAAAAAUUAUUUUAUUAGAUUAUGUUCAUACAAAACUAACGAGAACUAAAUAUAUUUUAUUUAUCACAUGCUUUAUUAAAUAUAACCGUUGCUCAAAUUGGUUGAAAUUGUAUUUGUAGUAAUUAGCGAGCGUAAUUUUAAACAAAGAACUUUCAUACUAUGAAUAAUUUUAUCACCUCAUAUAUAUAUAUAUAAUAUAUAAUAAAAUUUAAUAAAUAUGAAUUUUAAUCGUAUGUAAAGGAACAAAUUAUUAAUAACUACAUUACCUUUUGCAUAAUCUAAUUAAGCAUAAAGAAGAUGCGUACAUUAUUGUACUAUAUAUAUAANAAGCAUUAGAGCAUAUAUUCAAUUCAUUUUAAUAUAAAAAAUAACAAAAUACAUAAAAUCAAUAAAAUAGUUAAAAAUAACUAAAACAAAAUUUUUUAAUUAGUCAAGAUUCAUUUUAUAUUUUUUCUACUAUUUAAUCGGAGUCUCAUAAUAGAGUUGUUGGAUUUUAUCUAAACAAUUAAUUUAUUAAUAAUAAUAUAUUAAUUUUAAAAAAAUAAUUUAGUGAUAUUUAUCGAAAAGAAAAAUAGUUCAAUAUUAUAAAAAAGAAGUAAAUCUAAAAUACAGUAUAAAAAUUGAUAAAAUAUAAUAAUAUAAUAAUAUUUUUUUAGAAAAUAGUACAUCAUAUUAAAUAAAAAUAAUAUAUAUAGUACAAUACAGUAGAGUGUAAUUAAGCAUGUUAACCGUAUAUUUUUUCAACUAUACGGUAUCUACUGUUACAUCCAUCCAAACACAUUGUAUCUAAUUUAAUUGUCGUUGCGUGUGUUCAAAUUAAGACCUAAUUAUACACACCACUGCACAUUGGGUGGAGACAAAUUAUGUCCAAUUUUGUAAACUUUUGUUUUACUUUUUUUUUUUCUAUUUUAAUUUAAUUAUUAAUCCCUUCAUUCCCCCACCUAUAUUUCUCCCAUGGCUCUCUCUAGAUUCCAACUUUUCAAAAAAAAAAAAAAACUUUAAAUACCACUCCUGUAGUUUUAUAUAUUUUUAUUUUAGUACCAUAUAGUUUAAAGUGUAUCAAGUUAAUAUCCUGUGGCUUUAUUUUUAUUUUUUCGUCAGCUUUUUCGUCAAUAUUUUGUUAAAUUAUAUAAAAAAAACUUCAGAUACCCGAACUAGCUCUAUCGAAUAUUCACUUUAGUAACUUUUAGUUUUAACUUUAUUACUAAUUUAACGAAAAAAAUUAGUGAAAUCGAUAAUAAAAAAAUAAAAAUUAAACCAUAUGAAACUAAAUUGAUAUAUUUUAAAACACAGAAUAAUAAAGUGAAAAAGUAUGAAACCAUAAGAAUAAUAUUUGAAGUUUUUUUUUAAAGAAAAAGAAAAGAAUGAAAAAAAGAGAGAAAAAAGAAAGAAAUUAUUGCUUGCUGCUGCCUCCUCCUCCGAGUCCUCUCGUUGGUGAAAAAAAAAAAAAAAAAAUCACAAAAACAAAAACAAAAACAAAUAAAUUAUUAGACUAAUAAAUUUUUUUUAAAAAAAAAUGUAAAAAGCAGUGAAAAGGUGUGGAAAAAGUUUCCAUUUUUGCAGGUGCAUGAAUUGGCUCCUCCUCCGCCUCCCCCUCUCCCUCCCCUUCCUCCUCCUCCUCCUCCUCCUCCAUUCAACUCUUUCUCCAAAAACAUUCCUUUUUCCCUCUCUCUCUCUCUCUCUCUCUCUCUCUCUCUCUAUAUCUUUCUCUGAAACCAUUCAAAGCUCCCACCUUUCUCUCUCUUCUCUUCUCUUCUCUCUCUCUCACACACACACUUCUCCUCUGGUGAGCCCUGCUUGCGCUGUUCCUUUCAGACCCCAUCGCCUGCUCCCUUUUUGACUCUGGUUUCCUCUGCUGCUGCUGCUUUUAUUCUGGGGCUUCAAUUUUUCUGGGUAUUUAUUUAUUUAUUUAUUUAUUUAUUUCACAGGGGAUUAGGAAAAAGGAGGAUUUUUUUUCUCUUUCUUUUUGUUGGUGUGGGGGGGUUUGUAUUGUUUCUCUGAGGAUUUGGUCAUCUGGGUCUCCCCUGUUUCUUCUCCUUCUCCUUCUUUUUACACAUCUUGUUUGAGUUAAGGAGAGGAAGAGGAAGGGGAAGAGGAAGAGGAGGAAGAAGAUGACUGUGGAGGAGAUUAAGGUGAAGGGGGAAGGCGCCGGAGACCAGUUUCCGGUGGGCAUGCGCGUGCUCGCCGUCGACGACGAUCCCACCUGCCUCAAAUUGCUCGAGACCCUCCUCAUCAGAUGCAAAUACCAUGGUUCGUUUCUUCAUCCAAAUUCCUCACUUUUACUUGUUUUUUGGGGCUUCUUUUUUUAAAAAAAUAUAUAUUUGUUGGUUAAUUUCUCUCAGUAUUAGGACGUGGGUGAUCUUUUAAUUCAUUGAAAUCCUCUUUUUUCCUUGGUUUUUUGUGUUAUUUUGGUUUUUUCUUCUUUUUUUUUUUGUUUUUGGAAGUGAAAGGGUUUUAGAUAUCAUGGAAAAUUCUUUUGUUGGUUAAUUUCUCUGAGUAUUAUUAGGAUGUGGGUCUUUUAAUUCUACCUAUCAACUCUAUGUUUUCAUGUUGAUUGUUUCUGGGACUUUGCUUGUUAUUCUCUACUUUGUACCUUUUUCCUUCUCCUUUUGAAGUUCCUUUUCACUUAAGUUGUUAAUCUUAAAAUUGAAACUUUUGGCCCUGUUUGGUUUAAAAAAUGUUCAAAUUCUAUGUGGUUGGAUGGCAAAGAAGCGCAAAAAAAAAAAAAGAAAAAAGAAAAAAAAGUGUUGCUGUUGAGUGUUUUUUUCGCACUCCAUCACAUAAAAAUUUGUGUUUUUCUUUUUUCCCUAUUUCAAGAUAAGCAGUGGGACCUUAGGACCAGUUGGUUUUGUUUUUUACUUUUUUUUGUGUGUUUGUGUGUUGUUAUUUCAGUUACAACAACUAGCCAAGCAAUCACUGCCCUGAAGCUGCUGCGCGAGAACAAGGACCGAUUCGAUCUGGUCAUCAGCGACGUCCACAUGCCCGACAUGGACGGUUUCAAGCUCCUCGAGCUCGUCGGCCUCGAAAUGGACCUCCCAGUGAUUAGUAAGUCUCUCGCAUGAUCAUGCACACCUCUCUUUGUAUUUGUCGAGUUUGAUAACUACUUCGCAAAUGAAUCAUGUCCAUUAUUGCAUUAUUAUUACUGUUAUUGGUACAUUAUUUGAUGACGUAAGCGAAUGAAUCUCUCGCUCGCGCAGUGCUGUCCGGAAACGGCGAGACGCAGGCCGUGAUGAAGGGCAUAACGCACGGAGCUUGCGAUUACUUGUUGAAGCCCGUGCGGAUCGAGGAGCUAAGGAACAUAUGGCAGCACGUUGUUAGGAGGCGGAAGUUCGAUGGGCGAAGCCAGAGUAAUCUUGAGAACGGGGGGGAGGACGGUCAGAAGAGUAGCCAGAUCAAUCACGAAGGUGAGCAGGGUGCGGUCGACCGCAACGGGAAGCUGAAGAAGAAGAGGAAGGAGCAGAACGGAGAGGAGGAGGAGGAUUCUGACGAGAACCCGCGCGAGAAUGAGGACCCCUCGGCCCAGAAGAAGCCGAGGGUUGUUUGGUCGGUCGAGCUGCACCGCAAGUUCGUUGCCGCUGUUAAUCAGUUGGGAAUCGACAGUAAGAAUUCUUGCUCUUGGCUUGUUGUUGCCGUGCCAUGUUCAAUUUCUUGGAUGGGUUGGAAUGAUGAUAAUAUGUUGGUUUUGUGCAUUUUGUUCCAGAGGCUGUUCCUAAGCGGAUUCUCGAUCUUAUGAAGGUCGAGAAGCUCACUAGAGAGAAUGUCGCAAGCCAUCUGCAGGCAUGAUUUCAGUUCUUAUAUUCAUUUUUCAGCAUAUACUCACAGCUGAAUUUCCAUUUGCAUAGUGUUUUAGCCACUUUGCAACCAAAAAAAAAAAAAAAAUUACAACUCCACUCUUGUUUUCUGAAUUUGCAAAAAUGGGACUCCUUUCUUGUUUUUUUUUUUUUUUCUUUUUCAGAUUUUCGUUUUUUUUAAAAUAAAUUUCAACUUUAAGAACGAAACCACCCCUCCGCUUCAAGGCUGUGAUGCACAUUUUCGGAUAACCAAUGCACAAUUCUGAAUAGUCGAAGCACAAUUUCGAAACCUUGCGGCUAUCAAUCAAAGUUGUGCAUCGACAUUGAUAGUUCUCAACUGUGCAAUCCAUUGUGCAUCAUGCAUCGUGGUCUUUUAUUUGUCGACGAAACUUGCUCCUAUGCCUAUUUCUUUUGUAGUUUACAUAAUCACCUGUAAUUACCAUUAACAUCUAUUUCGCUCUCAUUGGAUGAAAUCAGAAGUAUAGGCUCUACCUUAAGAGGCUAAGUGCUGUAACAAGCCAACAAGCUAACAUCGCCGCGGCUUUGGGAGGACGGAACCCGUCAUUUAUCCACAUGAGCUCAUUGGAAAGCUUCAGAAACUACCAUUCACUCGGAAGCACUCGGCAUCUCCCGUCAGUCGCUUCCUGCCAAGCAAAUGGGCUUCUCGGCCGGAUGAACACGCCAACUGCGUUCGGAGUGCACGGUUUGCUUCCCUCUCAGGCGGUUCAACAGAUCGCUCGAACGCAAAACAACCCAAGCAAUCACACUAAGGAUUUGGAGAAAAUCCAAGCCGCUUAUCCGCAAGGAGUUCAUCAAGGGAAUUUGUUUCAAGGGUUUCAAGAAUCAAACAAGCUUUUCUCCGCCGGUUUCAACGGUGGUGGAUUAGCUAAUGGUUCUUGCGGCGACGCUUACGCGAACGCCGCGAACGGUUCAAUGCUAGUGCAAGCGAAUAAGAUCCCGACGCAGAAUGGAGUGUUGGGCAACUCUCCUUCUUUCAGAACUCGCGUCGGAGAGGCAGCCCAGUUUCCCGAUCUUUCGCGAUGCGACAAUACUUGGCAAAGCGUCGUUUCGUCAAAGUAUCCAGCCGCCACUUUGCCAGUCAACGACUCAUUUAAUCACAACAACGAUCUAACUCCGUGUAGCAUCGGAGACAGUAUUGCUCCGAUGCCCUCGCACAUAGAAGGUGCCGUUCUCUGUGAAUCUCCGAGCAAUUUGGAGGCGGCAGUUAAUCGUAAUCCGGUGAUUGGAAGUGAUUUACGGAAUCCUAAUCCCAUUUCUUCACUUGGUGGGAGUGCGAUGCCAAUUUCAAGCCUCGGUGAAGACCCAACGACCACUUCCUUUGACUUCAGAAGCAUGUCGAAUGCGAAUCCGAGACUGGAUCAUACCGCUAAUGCAAGUACUUCUUCCUUGAGCUCCAUAUUGCCGAAUCUUCAAAUAAAUGAUCCUACUGCCCAGAAGCAGGGCUUUUGUAGCAAGCAGAUGGAUGCGAGUUUGAUAGGAGAAGCAAAUUUUGGCGCUCCGAUCCUGACGCACGAUUGGAGGAUCGACAGUAGAUCAUCUAACAGAGAUCAAAUUCAGGGCAAGGACGAUUACGCUUCGGGAAUGACCAAGUUGCAGAAUGGCCUUAGUCGCAGCAUUGACGAUAUUGUUAGCGCCAUGCUUAAAUCGGUAUGUGUUCUUUUUCUUCUAUUGAACUACAAAAUUGUUUCUUUAGCUGUUAUUAGCAUGUUAAGAAAUGUGUCUUAAGACACUCGAAAUCACAAUAAGAUCCUUAUUAUCUUGUUGAAGGCUUUUGAGAAAGAAUACUCGAUUUAGCCGACUACAUGAAGAGCAAGUACUUUCACAUAACUAGCUAAACCACCUUAUUUCUUCAUUGUAGGACCGCGACGAGUUUACUGCUUUCGUGGAUGGGGACAUGGGAUAUGACCUCUAUACUCUUAGUACUUGAUGAGCCGAAUCGCGAUGAAGAAAAAAAAAAAAGCUCGUUGUAUUGAUUUGCGUAGGAUUCACAAUUCCAGUCGCGAAGUUUGUAUUUAUUAAUGCCCAUUUCCUCUAUUGACUUUGUUAUUCUUCUUUUUUCUAGCAAACAAUCAUCUAGGUGAGUGUAGCAUAGGAAAUUAUGAGUUGGGAAUGUUUGGAGUUUUGUAUUAUACAAAAUAUGCUUUUAAACUAAAUGAUGCUAUGGAUGGUAUUUAUUCAAGUGGAAUGUGUUUGACAAGUGACAAACAACUUGAUUUUAGGUUAUUGUACUAGGUAGUUGUCAUAGUGCUCUUUCAUAUUUGCUUAAUACUUUAUCCAGUGAUAGUAUACAACAACUUAAAAUUUGUAUUAGUUUAACAUGCUUUGAAAUUCAUUGAGCUAUGUAGUACUUUAAAAUUCAUCCAAAGUAUCUACACAUUCUUUUUUAAUUUUUAAUAUUAAAAAAUAUUGAUAUGAUUGGUAUAAAAAAAAUUAGUCCUUAAUGAAUAAAACAUAAUAUUCAUAUUUUUUUUGAAUGCUUAAAUAACAUUGCCCUCAUUUGAUUCUGUUGUUACCUAGUUUUGGAAUACAUUUUCCAUACUACAACCUGACCAUACAAAUUAUAUCAGUAAGAAUGUUAUAUCAUUAAAAAUUUUAGCGAAAACCAAGAUGCGGUCCAAAAAAAUAUCCAAAAAAAUAUUAACUCUAUUCUAUUCUCAUCAGCUCCGAGAUCGAAAGUGGAGAGUCCAAUUGAUCUUAACAUCACUGGCAUCAUCCAAAUCAUCUAACCAUUGCAUCUCAUCUCUUUUUUAAAAAAAAAAUUUCUAUUUUUUGUCUACAAAUAGAGAGAGUAACAUGGUUCAAGGACCUGAUUGAGAGAACAUGAGCCAAUAUUUUCAACUACUUCACUAUCCAGCAAAAUAUCUAGUAAAGAUUCACUAGGUAGAACACUCAAAACUGUCCCAUUGGUGCAUGCCACUUUUGGCAAGUUAUAGCAAAGAGAAAUAUUUAAGCUUCAAGUAAUUCAAAUAAUCUUAAGAGACCUAUACUUAUUUUGCAGCAUCAUCUUCAUCUCCAAUAAUGUGCGCACUUGGACAACAAGGAAUUAUAUCACAAACAGUAGAUGCUCAAUGGUUUCUGGUGCACUACCACAGAGAGUGCGGGCGACAUCCACACCCGGCGGCUGAGACUAACAAGAUCAAACACUGCAGCAUAAAAACCUCAAACAUAACAAGAUCAAAACACCAAAUGCAACCUUCGCAGAAAAGAAAAGACAAACAAAGAGCGCCUAAUCCUCUCAUCUCACAUCCUGUCCACACCCAUUUCUUUCCGAGCAGGGUGUCGCGCUGUUCAGUUAAGAGCUGUUUGGAAAAGCACGGAGCGAAUAGCUAAAGCAGUUGCCGCCACUGGGCCAUCCAAACUGCCUCCUCAUCCCAGCAUUGAGAAACCACAAGAUGUUACGGCUAUACCGGAGAAUUUCGUUGCAGGAUAGAGAGGUUCUGGAUCUCUGAUAAAUCAUAACCUGAUCAAUCGCCAGUCUUCAUCGCCUGUUUGCACAUCGAAUAAUAAAUUGGUAACCCGAAAAGAGAGAAAAGUAAUGGCGAUGAUAAGGUAUUAGAUAGAAGGAUUAAGGCUCAGAUUCACCUUUCAUUUACUAGAAAGAGAGAUCCUCCUCUCCACUCCCCAUGCAUGGCUGCAGCAUUUGCCAUGGUGCCAUCCAAGCUGCGCUACCGAGUUGCCGUCAAAUGCUUUCAUUUUAGAAUUUCACAGUAAGAGGAUAGAGAAGUAUUCAGAUCUCAUAGAAGACGAAACUUCUACCAGGCCCUCCUCUUAGAUGGCGAGAAAGUCUUCAUCGUAACAGCAAUUUCAUACAGGAUCAGAAAAUGCUAGGGGUGCAACCGGGGCAGAUCCGGACGCGCGAGGGGUCCCCCACCUCACACCGCAGUUCCUUGGCGCGUCAGGGCAGAUCUAUUUUUAUCUUUAUCUUUUACCCCCACUUAACACUUCAUUUGGGGCAAAAGCGAGUAUUUGGCAUAUUGGGACCGAUCAAGGGAAGGAAGGGGCCCUGCCUACCACUCCAUUUGCUCACCGGAUCAGGGCAGAUUUGGGACAAGUUUUUUUUUUGGGGGGGUUUUUAUUUUUGGGACCCAGGAUUGGGCGGGAUGCUAGGACUUAGGAAUUUUCUCCAAGAUUUCCCUAGCUUAAGUCCGUAAUAGGGAGCUCUAUCAACCCAGAUCCAUUUGCAUCACUAGUAAACGCCAGCUAGGGGAAGGAAUCCGACAUCAUUACCUCUUUGAAAACGGAUUAUGAAAGAAAAGGGGAAUCACCAUACAGUUUGCUAAAACUUUUGUAUGGAGCUCCCAAUAGAGGGGGUCGGCUUCCGUAGAGGCAAGUCCAACAUCACAGCAGCAAACCAAACUCCAUCAAGAUCAAAAACUAAAAGAAACUUUAUUAAAAGACAAAACGUAAACUAAACGAAAUCGUAAAAGAAAAAAGAAAAUCUCAAUAUAUGGUUGAGAAAAAAAGAAAGGAGAAAAUCCUCAAUAAAAUGGCAGCACACCAAAAGUGCAAAAGAUAGAACGGAUGAAUAAAGAGAAUUUUGUUAGAGAGAUUUUGGAUCUCUGAUAAGCCAUCACCAGUAUCAGUUGUCCAAAAGCAAGAUGAUGGUCUCAUUGAUCAUCAUCAAUACUUAAUUUGUAUGGGUAAAAUGCAUGGAUAGCCUAGCCUCUGUACUUUAACAAUAUUCCGACUUGGUCCCUAGGAAGGGGUUUUGCAUUUUGAAACUAGAGUCAUCGGUUCUAGAAGAGAUAAAAAGGGAGAGCGUAGCAGGCGGCAAACCCUUCCGAAGAACACCCAAUCCUCCGGUGAAGAGGCACCCUUAGUUGAAUUGUAGGUAAAAAUGUAUAGAACUUAUCUAAAACAUGGCCAAAUUGACCUAUUUUGAGAAGAUUGCUUAACCAGCCUACCUUUAAGGCCUAGUUAGGAAAUGUGUUGACCAAGAGUACUACCCUAAAGUGCAAUGGGAAAAUAUUGUGCUUGUUUUCUAGAGUAAUAACAUGAGAAAAAUAGUUUUGUUGCACUUUUAUCUCAAAAGAAGAGAUGUGAUUGGCUUGGACAUAAAUGAUACGGUGUAGCUGCUACAUAAAAACUACCUCCCUGUUUAGAGUAUAAAAAGGUUGGCACUUAGACAAUGGACUUGUCGAAUUACAACUCCAUUUGUGUUGUGGGGCUAGCUCUAACUCAAAAUUGAUUUUUAUUGGUCCUAUCUAAAAACAGAGAUAAAUAGCUCCACAUGCUUCCGCUCCGAACUCUUUUUAUUGUAAAGUGGACAUUUGGUCGGAUGCAAUUGUAAUUACAGUGUAGUUAGAAUUUCCUGUAGUUGACAAUGAAACAAUUACAACUAAAUGUAGCUUGUUUGGUUGAAUACAGUAGACAACGCUACAACCAUAAAUAAUUUGUUUAGUUGCACACAAUUGAAAACUGUAUCCACAAAUUUUAUCAUGGUAGGAUUACCCCCAAUAUAGAAGAAAAUUUAUAUAACUUUUUUCAUUUAGAAGGUAAGUAGGUAGGAAGGUUUACCUCUUAUAAAAUUGUGGUCAAUUUGGACGUAGCUCUUGCUGAUGCUGGAGAUUGCAACCCCAAUUUUACAAGAUAAAAGGAGAAAAAAAAAUUGAAAACAUUUUUAAUUUUUUUGGACAUUCUAUAGCAUAAAAACAAGAUGUUUUUAGCCACAGUCAAAAGUUUCAAAAGCCCUUUUACUCUUCACUCCAAUGCUGUAAAAUUCGAGCACUAAACCACCGCCGGAGAAGCAUUCAUAAGAAGAGUCCGACGAUGAUGCUUCCGGAAACACCACAUAGGUGGUGCUUCCAAUUUAUUAACCUUCGAUUCAACCCUUUCGACCAUUUCUAACAUUUGGAUUAAUAUUAUUUCUCUAGAGAGACCGCUAAAUCCUAGAUUGACCACUAAAUCCUAACCCUACAAUCCUUAAUCCAAAGGCCAAAAAGUCGAAAGCAUCAACUCCUUUAUACCUCUAGAAGCCUAGUAGCUCUACACGCAUAAGUAUAAAAUUACCUGUUCUGCUUUGUGCCUGCGUUUGCCACAAACAUUUUGCGGCUACUCUUCAAUGGGCUCGAGAAAUUCGAGAUAUUAACAAAUAUUUAACAAAAAAAAUUAGAAUGAAAAUAACAGAAACCCUAAGACAUCAAAAGCCAAUACCAACAUCAGCAAAACCAAAUGAAUAAAUAAAUAAAUAAAAGCCUAGUAAAAUGGCGACUCAAAAACGAAUAGAAUAAAUUACAAAAAAAACUAUCACCAUUAGUAGUUUGCUUGAGAGUAGGGCUCAGAAACCAUCAUCGCCUCUUUGCCCAUCGAUCGAUCGAUCUAUCUAUCUAUCUAUCUCUAGAGAGAGAUAGAGAGGGUUAGGGUUUUGGCGUUUGACGAAGAAGAUGAUCAUCGGCUCUGUCGAGUAGAGAGAGAAGAGCACAAGGAGGAGGCAAACCCUUUCCCCUCCCCAACAAACACCCGAUCCUCUUCUUGUGCUCUUCCGAGAGCCUCACACUUAAACUAAUGAGAGUGUGGAGCGAGGAAGCCUCAAACCCUAGAUUUAUAGGGUUUGAGAGAGAGACAAUAGAUUUUUUUUGUUUUCUUUUGGGAAAACUUCAAAAAACCCCUUGUGGUUUCAUUUUUUUCAAUUUAGUACCAUGUGAUUUAAAAUGUAUCAAGUUAGUACCGUGUGAUUUAAAAUGUAUCAAGUUAGUACCUUGUGGUUUCGCACUUUCUCAUUUUAGUACUCUGUGGUUUAAAGUGUAUCAAGUUAGUACCUUGUGGUUUCGCACUUUCUCACUUUAGUACCCUGUGGUUUAAUAUUUCAUUCGGAAAAAAAUAAAAUCAUAGGAUACUAACUUGAUACAAAAAUAAAAUUAUAGGGUACUAACUUGAUACAAAAAUAAAACUAUAGAGUACUAGCUUGAUACACUUGAAACCACAGAGUACUAAACCCAAUCCCAAGUUUUGAUCCCAAUCCCAAAACCACCCGUUUCCACUUCUUGUUCCUGCGCUCCUACCAUAUUUAUUAUUAUUAAAAUAUAAACAAAAUUUCUAAUUUAUUUAUUUCUAAUUAAAUUAACUCUCCAACCUCCGCCCGCUACGCUCCGGCAGUCUAUAAUACUUGGAGGCAUCCUAUGGUGAACCUUUGCUUUUUAGCUGUUUCUACUUUACUAGCUAUUACUAAUCUGUGCGACCAGUGUUAUUAAUGUAGGUCCUGUUGCCUAUCCUCGUGAACUAGGGUCGGUUUCGACUCAUAUUUUCGGUGGUGUUGUUGUUAACAUUCACGUCGUUAUUUGUUUUUUAAACUACCAUUGCACUCUACAGUUUUUAUUUUUAUGUUCAUCAUAUAUUACUAUGAUUACAAAAUUUUAUUAAUUUUUUAUUGUAAUUGAAAAAAAAAUCUUUUUUGAGUUUUUUAGAGGUACACCAAAGUGUGAAAGAUUGAAAUUAUGGGGCACCAAAUUUCACAUAGUUUAAUCAUGGGAUACUAAAGUGUGAAAGAGUGNUGAAUUAUUCGGUUUAGCAUUUCUACAAGGCAUUAAAAUUAAUUUUAUUGUUUAAUAGCAUACACCCUUUAGAGUUCGAAUGUAAAAAAAUAUAUAAAUUUGAUAAAAAUUGUUCACCAUUUUUUUAAAACGAUAAAUAAUUCGCCAUGUAAUGCUAAUUUAAUAAAUAAAAAUUUUAAAUACUUAUAUUUACAAUUGAAAAAAUCUGCAAUUAGGAACACACUUCGCAUAUUUUAACCUUUCAUCCUAAGAUUCACGCACGUCUUUUUCAGUUUUUAUUAUUAACAAAUUAAAUUAAAAAAUAUAUGAAUUGCACAUUUGGUCCUCAAACUGUAAGACCGGUGACACUUUAAUUUUCAAACUGCAAUUUAUUGCAACUUUUUUACUUAAAUAUUUAAAAUUAUUACAAUCAAAUCCUAUAAUCCAAUUUAGCUCUAAACUAAAUAUUAACAUAACGCUAAUGUANAGCGUGCAGCUUGAGUUUGCGCGGGAAUUUCAGGUAACGAAUUCCUAUCUUAAAAAAAAAAUUGUUUUAAUUUUCUUCGGGUUUCUUAACAUUAGAUUGUUACAGAUAAUUUAGAUAAUUAGAUAAUUUAAAAAAAAAAAAAAAAAAAAAAAAAAAAAGAUCCACCUGCGGUUCAGAAUCAGAAUCAGAAUCAGAAUUGAAAUUAAGCCCAAAAUCAGUUUCACUUCAAUUCAUAUUUUUUGCAAAUCAAAUCGAUAAUUCUCACUUUGUUGCGUAAGGCAUGUGUUUGGAUGUUGGAAACACAUCGCUGCAACCACUUGAAUCUUGCUUUCCUCUUCCUUCAGAAUUAGUGAUUUAGAGGAUUUCAAAGAGGAUAUAUAAAUUGAAAUUCAAUGGAAAUAAAUUACCAAUAAGCAGCAGAUGAUGAAAAAUUUUCAGCUACUCAUGCAACAACAGCAGAUUCAGCAAAAAGUAGUUCCUCAAUGCAACGAAUUUCCCCGACUAAGCAGCGAAAUAUGCAAAAAGUAGUUCCUCAAUGAUUCAAAAAAGAUGAUAAAUUCAAAACAGAACAAAUAUUCAGAAUAGAAAAAGGAGCAAGGAAAAGACACCAACAUUGCAAAAUUGUAUCCGGGAAGUAGGUUCUGCCAUUAAGGGCAGUCCAAACAUAAUAGUAAAUUGAUAUUUUACGAGAAGCAAAUAUUUUACGGACCGCUGCAGUAACUUAAAAAAGAGGGAGCAAAAAUGGUUGCCUGAAAAGAACAGACAAGCCAAACCACACUAGACAGAACAGAGAAGAUGCAGGAUGAACAGGAUGAACAAAUAUAGCUUCAAAACCUCACAAAUUUAACCGAAUAGUGUGUACAAAUCUCUAAACCAAGAAUCUGCACCCAAAAUAUUGGGAUUAUAUUUCUCUGGGUGGGCCAAAAUCAUCAUUUGCCUCGAAAGAGAAACAGGAAAAGAGCUGAAAGACAACAACAACCACCAACAACACCACCACCACCGCCGACCGGAGCAGGAAGGAAGAAGUGCCUGAGAGAAGCUACCAAAUUAAAGUAAGCAAAAAGCUGUUCUAACCCGGCAUAUUCUUCUCAAGAAAAGCUCGAAAUUGUCGUUACGUAAAACAUAUAUAGACUGCUUUCACAAAUUGCAAGGAAGCGUAGCAUGACAAGCCUCAAAAUCGAAGGAUCUCCCUAGAGGAUCAUUACUAGACAUUAAAUCAGUGUCUCACAUACAAAUACCUUAUCAAUUUUAUUGUUUAGCCAAUCGUAUCUAGCGCAAUUGGCUAAAGACCUGAUGGUUGGCACCCGAAGUCCCAAAUUCAAAGCCUAGUUGCCUCACAUUUCCAACCGAGUACAUUUCUAAAAAAUAGAACGAAGUAGCUAGUUUGCUACUUUUCUCUCAAUUUUUUUAAAAAAAUUACUAUUUAGAAAUUUAAUAAAUUAUUUUAUGAACAAAAUUUAAUUUACGAGAAUUUUUAAGUAAAAAUCUAGAUCCACAACAAACCUGCAAGAGGGAAGACAGGAUUUUCGGUUAAACAAGAUUAGAGUAGAUAUUAAUUGCCACAUGUCAGUUACUUGGCAUGCCACUUGGCAAAACGAGAAUCCUUCACGUUCUCUCAGCUUUUGCUUUCAUAUAUUUAUGUAGAAUUAAAUCAAAGCAUCGCUUACUCGCUCCUGCUUCCAUCUAUAGAUCAAAUAGGAAAGGGCAAAAAAGAUGACAGGAGCUGCAGGUAAAGGAGGCUCAGAUUCGCCUUUGAUGCAUCAGAGAAAAGAUCUCUCUCCCUCUCUUCUCUCAUGCAAGUCCAACCCCUUCUACACGUUAAUGGCGGCAGCGGUUGCGUUCGCACCAUCCAUGCUGCUUUGCCAUCAUUAGAAGGGAUCUGAGAAAAGCAUGAAGAGAAGAGACGGAUUCGCAAUCCGAGAUUAACUAACAAUCAGCUAUGCACUGAAUCAUCGAUCAUCAUCACCUCCUCACUGCUAUCCUCUUUCAAAUCAAAUCUGAUUAUAGAUCACUUGAAUUCAGUUCACAAAAACUCAAUUGAAUUCAAAGCUGUAAAAUGCUCAAAUGUUUGCACUCAUUUUGAACACCCCGAAAGGAGCUAUAGGGUGAGAAAGGAGAGGAGAUAACACCCAUUCGAUCCAGCUUCCAAAAUGUAGUUUUGCCAGAUGAGUGGUAUCAAGAUUUAAACAGAGUCUGAACACCAAGUUGGGGUUAUAUCCCAUGGGAGGGGCCAAAAUCACCAUUGCCGUUGGAAAAGGAAAGGCAAACCUUUAAAGAUGAUCACUAACAGCAGGAACGGAAAGAAAAAAAAGAAGCAAUGAAAAGGAAGGAUAGUGAUAUUGCCAGAGCAAGUAAUGAAGGACCUUGAAAUGUGCUCUGAAUGUAGGUACUAAAGGUGCAAGGCUGCCAUUCCAACCUUCCAGCAUCCAUCACAGAAGCUCGAGAAUUACAUAGGGUGAUGUUUGGUUUCACAUAAAACUGCUAUUGACAAGUUGCAUCCUUGAUUUUCAGGAAAAGAAAAUGAAGAGUGAGAAAGAACGAGACAGAUAAGUAUUUUCAGUUUUCAGUCUGCAUUUUCUGCAGAACUACUUAAAAUACAAAAAAGCCUUUUCCAGAGUAUUUUACACACAGAAAAACUUCAAGAGCUCUUCUCACCCCAAAAUAGUGAUUUUGGGCCUAAUGUCUAACGACUCAAUCCACCAGUUAAGCAUGCUAGGGCGAGAGUAGUACUAGCAGGCUUGGUUGUCACAUUGGGGGUGGAGCAUCAAAGAGGAUUACCAGCCAGAAGUGUAAGCAAGGUCUCGCAUCGCCUGAUGAUCGGGAACAUGUGGGUAAAUGGACCUAACAAAGAUGCUGAGAUCUAAAUAGGGGAAGUUUGUGAUGCCCCAACGGUAGUCCCAUAUCAGACGGAAAAAAGAUUAUGCAUGUACAUAUAAGGGCUAAACUCUCUAGUACUAACAACUUAGGCUUAAGCAUUUUGAACUAGUAGUUUAGACCAGGUAAGUUAUUAGUGCUAGUGAACUCUGUAGCAUUAUGCUUGAGCACGGCUAUGAACAUCCCCGAGUGUUCCCAACUGUAAACUGACGAGAGAAAGGAAUAUCUUCUCUGGAGCAGGCAGAGCAGAACAGAAAAGGAGGAGUUUUAGAAUCAGAAAACAGAACUAGCAGCUCUGAAAUAGAAUGGAGACAGCACAGGAGGCGGCAAACCCUUCCCACGAACAACCAAUCCUCUGGUAAAGAAACACUCUCCGACUAUGUAAAUUGCACCAAGAGUCAUCAACUUUUUAAUCUUACUUUCAGCUUGAUCUCCAUUUCACAACCUUAAAAUAGAACACUUCGAUAGGAUCGAGUUCUGAGUAGACUUGCUGGGAUUUCAGCUUAGAAGAAUUCAGUUGAAUCCAUUUAGAAAUGACCAUAUGUUUUGAAGGAGUAAAAGAACUCCCAAAAUUCUUCAUGCAAAGUGAAAGAAUCUAGACACCGUCAAAUCAAGAUUUGCUUAAAGCCAGUUGGGUAAAAUUCCAAAGAAUUGGCAGGGAAAAAGAGGGGGGCGGGGAAAGGAGGGGGGGGGUUGUGUUUGGGAAUUAGCAAUCCAGAACAAGAAAUACAAAAAAAGAUACCAAAAGUGAACAUUUCAAAUAGUAAUUUGCAUGCAAAUGCAAAUGCCAAAACAGCCAUAGAAGACAUAAGCAUCAUAAAAUUCUACUUUUCUGAAAAAAUUACAACAAAUAGAAAACAGAGAGAGAGUAAACGGAGAAUAACAAAUAUACCAGUAUUAGUAUAGAUAAAUACAUCAAGAUGAAAAACCGAAAGAAACUUCAUUAAAAACAAAAGCAUCAUUAUUAAAACCACAAAAUUAUUACAAAAAAAAGAUAAGCAUGGUGUUUGGACAGGAAAGUAUGGCUCAGAUUCACCUAAGAUCAAUCAAAAGCAAAAAGUUUUUAGUCCGACAAUCCUACCAUGCAGUUUGAUAUGACCAAUUUGGUCUGAGGCACCACAUUAAGAUUCUGGUCUGAAAGGGCGUGGGUUCAAAUCCCAAUCCCAACAGAAAACAACAUUUCCGCCCACUGAGAUCCUUGUUAGUGGGUACUGCAUUGGUCAAAUACCAGGUCGCAGGUUCCAGGAUGUCCACAGACCCAUUACAUGGCUGAGCUCUAAGAUUGAAAGGGAAGUCUUCUUUGCAACAGAUGGACCAUGAAUCCAUGAGAAGUUAAAAAGAAAGAGGCAGGGUCUUAGAUUUUCGAAACAGUUAAAUUCUAUAAGGAGCUCCUUAAAAAGGAGGAUGGCUCCACUUGAGAACCCGUUAGAUAUGACUCGAAAUUUGGUCAUCGGUGUCGAUUUUGUCCCUAAUUUGCCGACAGCUUUGCGGUGCGACAAAUUUUGAAAAAUGAUUUGGAAAGGGAAAAGUGGAUGUCAGUGGUGGAAGCGGGGGACUCGGGCUGAUCCAAUACUAAAAUAAUUCGCUAAGAACUUCUCUUUUUUUUGCCCUAGAGGCAAUACAUUGCAUUGUACUUCCAUAAUAUUGUACUCCCUUAGGUAUAGUUUGGUUUGGGGAUAAGCAAAAAGUGGGUAUUCUAGGGAUAGGUAUAAAUUGAGGUAUAAGCGGGGAUUAGAUCAAUUUUGCGUUUGGAUGAAAAUUGGGUUAUUCUUGAGAAUAAGAAAAAUAGUGUUUGGUUAGGUAAGAUGGAAUAAGAAUUAAAGUGGGUAGUUAUAAAUAAAAAAUAAUAAUAUUAUUCUUUUCUUUAUAUUAGAAUUUGAAUUUUUAUAUUUUAUAUUUAUAUUUUAAAAUUUAUAAUUUUAACUUUUAAAUUUUAAAUUUUGAAAUUAAAAUUUAAAUUUAAAAUCUCAAAUUUCAAAUUUUAAAUUUCAAACUUUAAAUUUAAGAUCAAAUUUAAAUUUUAAAAAAAUAAAAUAUCAAAAUUAAAUUUAAAAUUUAUUUAAAUUUUAAAUUUUAAUUUAUUAUAAUAUUUAAAUAUAAUUUAUUAUAAAAUUUAUUACAAUAUUUAAAUAUAAAUAAUAUGUAUUAAUAUAGUACAAUUAAUAAUUUUAUAAUAAAAAUAAUGUAUUAUAAUAUAUAAUAUAUUAUAUUUAUAUAAUUUAGUUUUAAUUCAUUUUAUAAUUUUAAUUAAGUUUAAAAUUAAGCAUUGGAAUAGCACUAUUCCACCAAAAUGGUGGAAUAGUAAAAAGCUUGCUAUUCCGGGAUAACCGGGAAUAGCAAGCUUUGGUCGGGAUAAAAUAUCCUGGUAAAAAAUGACCCCGUUUGGCGGAAUAGCGGGGAUAACUUUCGUUAUCCCGUUUAUCCCCCGAACCAAACGGGGCCUUAGUGAAGUACUCUUCUUUUUCGCCCGUGAUUUUUUACCCUACAAAGGGUUUUCCAUGUAAAUCCUUGUGUUCUAUAUUUUCUUUUUCUGUUUUGUGAUUUGUCUACUUUGCGAUCGCCGUUUCUCGUUUCUGUUUGUGCGCUCCUCAUAACAGAACCCAACCCUGUCCGAGAAAAAGGCUUUCUAUAUAAAACUCAUAGCAUGCAGAAUGUUGCAUUGAGGAACAAAAUCUUCCUUGUGACCUUUAAACCAUGAGUAUCAAAGGAGAAGAGGAAGGAUUUACAUUUGAUAUAACAGAAUCAUCAGCUCUAGAGGAGAUGAUGAUCACAGAGAUCAAAGGAGGUGGCAAACCCUUCCCAAGAACACCCAAUCCUCCAUGAGCCUCAUAUAAGAGCAAGAAGUCAAGGCCUUCUAAUUCCAGAGGAGAAGUCUAGCAAAGGAGAAAUUAUUGCCUGCACCUGGUGCAUCCGGAAAUUCUAUACAUCCUGUCUUGCCAACAUAAACUUCACAGUAAUGAUGUUAAGUGAAUGCCGUGGCGUGGGGUCGUGCUAAGCACUUUCCGACAAAAUAAGGCACAAUGCAUGCUGUACUAUGCCAAUGUGUGCCUUCUACAAAAGUAACUUGGACACACUAUGGUAUAAAAAUAUAUACAUCUUUGGCACCGGCGUACUCUAAUUGCUUAUCUACUAAUUUAAAAGAAGAGGGUUUUGCUAUCGACAGAAGGGUUGUAUCAUGUCAAUAUCUUGUCGACCCGCUACGGCACUGGCGGUGACAAUGGCCACUUAAAUCCUUGCUUCACAGGAUAUAAUAUGACUCACAUAGAACUAAGUUCAAGAUUACCCUUUCAAUAGUCGAUGUGCUACCCCAACAUAAGAUUCAGCUGCUCAAAGGCCACAUGCACAAAUCAAUCAUCCAUGCCUCAUAAAUUUAUGUGCGUAUGCAUGUGUGCUUCUAUGUAUGUUAUUAUUAUGCAUAUUCCAAACAUAUAUACAUAUAUACACAUACAUAUGAGAGAGAGAGAGAGAGAGAGAGAGAGAGAGAGAGAGAACCCUGAUCGACCCAAGUAGGGAGAGAUCUCUCAGAUUGGCAAAAAUCAACAUUGCCUCUGAAAAACAAAAAGGAAAAGAGCAAAAGAGAAACCCAUUAACAGCAAUAAAAAAAGAGGCAAGGAAAAGGGGACUAAAAUUAAAAUUAACAGAAGCUUGAAAGAUAUCAUAGAGUUCGGACAAACCACAGUAAAUCAAAGCUCAGAGGCUAUCAGUAUAUAAAUAAAGGACAUAAAUAAUAUUACCAACAAAUAUAAGAGCAAAAAGCAAUAAAAUAAGAAAAUAUAGACCUGACAGUUCUGUAACAAAACCAAAAAUCCCACUGAUACAAAGGAUUAAAUAUAUAAAAGAAAUUCUCUGCAAGUGUAUGUUUCAAGAAAAAAAAGGGGCAAACAGAUAAAGAAAAAUGAUGAAUAGAAAAGGAAAAAGAUUUGCGAAGGGAGGCUCAGAUUUGCCUUUGAUCAGUCACAUAAUGAGUCAAUCCUCUCCUCUGCCCUUGUCCAAACCCAGCCCCUAUGAAAAACAAAUGGCUGCAGUAAUAUUAUCCAAUCCGCCUUGCCAUUUUAACUUCUAAUAGUUGAUCGAAGAAGAAAACACUCCACGUAUCCCCCGAAAUGGGGGCUAACUAUAGAAGAUUACUACUAAGGGGAUCUCAAUAAAGGCUAAAUUACAGAAAACACCCCUGCACUUUUGCAACCUGUAUCAAUUAUCCCUCAUAAAAGGAGACUUAGAUUCAUUGUUGUUGAUCAAUCAGAUGAAAAAAUAUGCCUCUUCUCUCCUCUUGCCUAAAUCAUUUCCCUCAGGGUUAACGGCUGCAGCAGUUGCACUGGUACCAUCCAUACUAUCUUUGCCAUCAUAAACUUUAACAAGGGAUCGGAAAGGAGCUUGAGACAAAGCAGUUGGAUUAUAAGAUUACCUGCUAAUGAGUGAUACACCAUCACCAGCUUUGCUUGUUCACCCCAAGCUGAUGCGCUCAUCAAUCAUCAUCACCGCCUCCUUAUAAUCACUCUGCUCAGAACCAAAUCAGAAUAGAAUUCUUUUUUUUUUUUUCCUUUUUACUGUAAGACAUUGUGAGUCCCUAUGCAGUUAGAAUAGGACUCAUUGAAUGCAAUUCAAAAGUAAACAAUUAAAUUCACUCAUUCAUUUAUGUGGUUCAAAAUGAAAGGAAGUAGGGAUGUAAACGGGUCGGAUAACAUCAGAACCAUGAUCUGGUUGGAACCGCGAUCUGAUUACAGAGCUCCCAUCAGAACCGCGAUCAGAUCGCGCAUUCCAAUUUGUGGAGGGUUCCCAAUCUGUAUAGCAAAAAGUGACAAAGACAAAUAAAAAAUAAAUAAAUAAAUCAAUCAAAUUGGUUGGUUAGAUUACCUUAAAUAAGUGUGUUUUAAAAGAUAGAAUAAUACGCAAAAAUCAUACCCCAAAAAAAGAAAGAGCUGGUGAUUAGAAGAGAAAUUCACAACUGGAGAUAAACAAAAGAAAAAUAUAUGUAGUAACAAUAUGUUAAGUUAUAUACACACACGCACUGGUUAUUCGAUGAGAACCAUGGUCGGACAAACGAUCUGACUAAUCCUAACCACAUUCUUGAGAAACUAGCAUACUGCAUCCCCAUAUACAGCAUGCCACAUCGUAUCCCAUUACCAGUAGCAUUGAUCCAUCUAACCUUGCUUCUGAACACAGAGUUUGCUAGACAAUGAAUUCAAAUUUCCUUAUCCAGCUUGAACUCAGGUGGGAACAAGAUUUCUAAACGUAAUUCGAAUGUGCAAAAGCAAAAUCCAAGCGGAAAUUUUAUUCGAAAUGGCUACGAUGAAGUAUUUAAGUGCCGAUUGGCAUGGGCCGUAUCGUGCCGACAAGAUAUAUGCACGAUACAGCCACUAUGCCGAUGACACAACUCAACACCCUCUAUUCUUUAAAUUAGUAAGUAAUUUUCUCAAUAAAGUUCAAAAGAUUUGAUAAAGAUAUAUAAUAAACGGUUAGAAUAUUUUGUUGCUAAAGAAAAUAAAUAUUUCAUGCCAUUGUGGGUUGGCACACAUAUAUUUUUUGUGACCGGCAAGCACAGUGCCGUACCGUGCCGGCAAGUUUCCGGCACGAACCCGUGCCACAGCACAAAUCAUUGGCUAAGAUAUUCCUAGGAUUAGCCCAAUGUAUAUAAAGGAAAGGUCAAGAAGGCUCAGAUUGGCUCACAUAUCAGGACAUGACGGCUUUUGGGCUCCCCAAAGUCUUGGAACGAAACACUGUUCUUAGGGACACGUUGUCUCUCCAUCUCCAGUUGCAUUAAAAGUGGGACAAAAUGGUUGCCUGCACAAGGCAGGCCAUCCACAAUUUGCCUUGCCAACUAUUUUGAAGUUCAAUGCAUCAAACUGCAACACAAAGAAAUACACUUGCCUAAACAAAAUUUCAGGAGAAAGUUCAGUGACCGAUGGUGCGAUUUACCCAAAGCAAAGCAUCAACACGAAAACCAUGAACCCCCAAACCCUAAAUUCAAUAUCUAAACCAACAAGGCUGCAGCUAGAAAUGGGGCUAUAUCCCUUCAAGUGGGCCAAAUCAUCAUUGCCUUUCAGAGGGAGGGUCAAAAUAAGAAAAGCCGAUAGCCAACAACAAAAAAAGAAGGGCCUGAGAAUGAACUUCUAGAGGGAGACAAGAACCACGAGCUCUCACUCUAAGAGAGACAGGGCAGCGCUUCCAAGCUUCCAUCUAGUCCUCACAAAAGUAGAUAAGUCACCAAAGUAAUGCUCAAAAUUUCAUGUUUGAGACUAACUUACGAAGCUAAAUGCAGUAAUAAGAUUUACCCAAUUUGGGGUAAAAUGUAUGGAACUAACCUGAACUAUAGGCCAUUUUGAAAUAGGCACACUUUCUCAAAGAGAAUAAGUGUAUUUGAGCACCAUCACAGGCUCCCAUGAACUCACCCCAAUUCAAUGAAGUACAACCCACAUUGUACAACAGUGCAAGGGACCCGUAGCAUACUCUUCAGAAACAGUGAUGAACUCACCAAUCAUCACUGUUUCAAGCUAUAGAACAAACAGGGAACUUGCAGCAGUACUGAGUGAAAUAGGUAUCUUUUUGUCAAAGAGGAGAAAUGGAUGAACUCACCAAUCAUCAUCACCUCCUUAUUAUCAUGCUUGCUAUUUUAUGUGUGUGCGUAUGAGAGAGAGAGAGAGAGAGAGAGAGAGAGAGAGAGAGAGAGAGGAGAGGAGAGGUGGGCUUUUUAAGAGAUCGCCUGCUCAGCCUGGAAGGGGUCCCAAUAUACUGCGUCUUGCAGAGGCUGAGAAUGAGGCAAACACUUCCAGAGGCAAAAAACCUUUAAUGUGUUACUCUGGGAUCCCAAGGGAGAUAGGCCCAGAUUUCAUAUCAGGGAAAUAUUUUGGCUAGAAAUACUUCGGCUUCUCCAGGGCACAAGAAAUUGCCUGCACCGGGUGUAUAAGUACAUCUCAUACAUCGCACUGCCAAAAUCAUAAGAUAGAGGCAUUAAAAUCAGAAGUAGAGGACCCAAAAUUUGCAUUGCCAACUGUUCUGAAGUUCAGUGCUUCAAACUGUAACUCACAAAUGAACUUGUUUAAAUGAAACUUAGCUGAAUGUUCAAUGACAAAUGGUGCAACUUACCCAAAAAGAAGCAUCGAAUCUGAAACACAGAACCAAAACCCAAAACCCUAUAUUCAACAUUCAAACCAACCAGUCUGCAUCCCAAACUAAAUUGACUUUUAAAAAGAAGGUAAAGGUAAGAAAAUAUGAUGGCCAGCAGCAGGACAAAAUAAUAAAAAUGAAACAAUUAAAAAGAAAAGCCUAAUAAUGAAUUUGGAAGGGACAUCGGAACCAUGAGAUCUGGCUUCAAGGAAGGCAGGGCAACCCUUCCAACCUUCCAACCUUUCCUAACAAGAGCCACGAAAUUUUCUAACUUAAUACUCAUAUAUAUCCCAUUUGCAACAAACUUGUGAACUUUGUUCGACCAUUGAUAAAAGGACCUCAAAAAGAACCCAAGAACCUUGAAAAAAAGGAUUAAACAACAAGAGAAUGAUGCUAUCGGUAACUCAGGAGAAGAAAAGGUUCACUGCAUUCAUGAUUUCACACAAGAUUGGUAACAAUUUAAUCAAACAUUUCAAAGCCGAUGCGUUGAUUUCAUAAAUCCUCAAGAAACAGCAAAGGAAUGUCAGGAAAAAAAAAAAAAGAGAAUAAGAAAACCCUUUGUAUUGUCUGAAAUCUGAACAGCAAAUCAGAUAAGUGGAAGAAUGUUAAUCUCAUUUGUAUCACCACGACCUUCUCCCACUGUCCCACCAUAGAAUAUCUCAUUAAAAACGGAGAAAAGAACACAGCAAUAGCAGCAAUACGUCGAAAAGAAAAGGAUUUUGUUAAAAACAUCAAUAUUCCACUAUAGCAGACUGACCUUCUAAGAACAAAACCACAAUAAAGCCACAAGACUGUGUGUUGGAAAUGGAAAGAAGAAUCAUAAUACUUAAAAAUUGAAGGGACAAAAAUUAAGAAAGGACUUCACGAAAAAUGUCGCAGAACCAAAGCAAAAACACUUGUUUAAACAACCCAAUGAAAGAAAAAAAAAACUCCAUAGAAUCUCAGCAAUAGUAAAAUAAUAGGGUUAAUUGCAUACAGCUCCCUGUAACUCCAAGAAGAAACACACACAUGGAAAUACAAUGAGAUUGGAGGAAGUGAGGCUCAGAUUCACCAUUGAUUGAUCAAAUAAACAAAUCUCCUCUCUCUCUCUCUCUCUCUCUUUAUCUCCCACGCUUCUUGUCCGAGUAAAACCCUUCAUAAGGGCAAAGGGCUGCAGCAGUUGCACUCAUGCCAUACAAGCUGCCUUGCCAUCUUGACCUUCAAAAUGGUAUGGUGUCAUCAAUCAUCAUCGCCUCCCCCUUGCAUACAUCAUUUCAACACACAUAUACAUACAUACAUACAUACAUACAUAUAUAUACACACACACACACAUACACAAGAAGGGGCAAGCUAGAGAGACUAGUCAAUCCGUCACCUCCAAGCUGCCGCAAAAACGUAAAUAAGGCGUUCACUAGCACAAAACCCUUAAAAAUGAACUCACUAAGAAUGUCGCAAAACCAAAGCAAAAACACUUGUUUAAACAACCCAAUGAAACAAAAAAAAACUCCAUAGAAUCUCAGCAUUAGUAAAAUAACCGGGUUAAUUGCAUACAGCUCCCUGUAACUCCUAGAAGAAACACACACUUGGAAAUACGAUGAGAUUGGGGGAAGUGAGGCUCAGAUUCACCAUUGAAUAUCAAAUAAACAAGUCUCCUCUCUCCCUCUCUCUCUCUCUCUCUCUCUAUUUAUCUCCCACGCUUCUUGUCUGAGUAAAACCCUUCAUAAGGGCAAAGGGCUGCAGCAGUUGCACUCAUGCCAUACAAGCUGCCUUGCCAUCUUGACCUUCAAAAUGGUAUGGUGUCAUCAAUCAUCAUUGCCUCCCCCUUGCGUACAUCAUUUCAACACACAUAUACAUACAUACACACAUACACAAGAAGGGGCAAGCUAGAGAGACAAGUCAAUCCGUCACCUCCAAGCUGCCGCAAAAACAUAAAUAAGGAGUUCACUAGCACAAAACCCUUAAAAAUGAACUUAAUAUACACAAAAUUUGUAAAUCAACAAUAAACUUCUCAACGGUUCAAGGGUUAAUUUUAUACAGUCCCCCAAAUCCGACCAUUAUUUCUAUUUCAACCUUUAAGUAGGCCAAAAUCAUCAUUGUAAAAGAAAAGCUAAGAAGCCAAGAAGGAAGCAAGGAAGAAUGGCUUGACAACACGCUUACAAUAGAGAUAAGAAACCAUGGGCUUCUAGUACGGAGAGGUAGGGCAGCCCUUCAAACCUUCCAUCCUUUCCUCACAAAAACUCGAGGAUUUUCAGUGUGUCGCUCAUGUAGUAUAUCUGGAUCAAAAGCAGAGGAACUUCCUAUAGAAUUUCUUUUUGAGCAAUGCUACUGAGCAGCAUACUGCCUCAAAAGUGGAGGAGCUAGGGAUGCCAAUGAGUUGGAUGAAUAUCAGUCCAACCCGGUUCCAAAUCCGAGUUUUUCCAGAUCCGUUCAGAUUUAUUAAACUAACCUGAAAAAAGCGCAAAACUAGUGGAUUUUUUAUGCAAAUUGGCAUUCCAUGAACUAGCCAGUUAGGUAUGAAGAAACUGAGAAGAAGGCUCAGAAUGGCCCGUUUAUCAGACACAACACUCGCUGGUUUUCUCAAACUAGAAGCAAGAAACAACAGGGGGCAUGGCUAUGUCCGGGAGUGACAGACUGUUUUUAGGCUCACCAUCCAUUCAGCAUAUCUUUUUUACUUCAUAUCUAAAGAGGCGAGCAAAUGGUUGCCUGCAGAAGGCAGACCAUCCAAAUUUGCCCAAAAAGUUUAGGGACCAGCAGUGCAAUUUACCCAAAUAAAGCAUUAAGAACUCGGACCAUGAACACCCCAAAUUCGAAAUUCGAGAACUAAACCAGCAAGUCUGCAUCCCAAUUUAGGAUAGUAUCCCCUUGGGCGGGCCAAUAUCAUCAUUGCCAAACCAAAAGAACAGCUGAUCACCGGCAACUGGAGCAAAAAAAGAGGAAGAUGCUCCUAAUAACGACAGUGCAGGGCAGCCUUUCCAAUCCCCAAAGCUCACAAACAUUUAAGGGGCUGUUUGGUUCAACAUUCGUAAUAUUCCAGGAAUGCUGUAUGUUUUAUAUGUGGACUAGCAAGUUCGUAACAUUGAUGAUCAUCUAAGAUGAUUACAUCAAUAUAUAUAUAUAUAUAUAGAAUUAGGCUACUAUUAUAUAUAUAUAUAUAUAGAGAGAGAGAGAGAGAGAGAAUUAUGCUACUAUACUAUCGAUAGUACUAAGCGUUUGGUGCUAUCGAAUUUUUGACCGUUGGAUUAAAGGAUGUGCAGUUAGGAUGAUAGCAGCCUCCUAGGGUUGAGUGGAUGGUUGGUUGAAUAGAAUAAUCUAACGGGUGAAAAUGAUCAAAAUGAUAGAUCUAACGGCGGAAAACUUGGUAGCACUAAGUGCUUCGUGCUAUAUAUAAGAGUAUAUACGGUAUAUACGAUCAAAACAGCUAUGUAAUCAGUAACUUUAAUUGAGAAAAAGAAUAUCUAUUGAACUGUAUGAUAAAAUUUAUUUCAAGAAGGGGCAAGCUAGAGAGACUAGUCAAUCCGUCACCUCCAAGCUGCCGCAAAAACGUAAAUAAGGCGUUCACUAGCACAAAACCCUUAAAAAUGAACUCACUAAGAAUGUCGCAAAACCAAAGCAAAAACACUUGUUUAAACAACCCAAUGAAACAAAAAAAAACUCCAUAGAAUCUCAGCAUUAGUAAAAUAACCGGGUUAAUUGCAUACAGCUCCCUGUAACUCCUAGAAGAAACACACACUUGGAAAUACGAUGAGAUUGGGGGAAGUGAGGCUCAGAUUCACCAUUGAAUAUCAAAUAAACAAGUCUCCUCUCUCCCUCUCUCUCUCUCUCUCUCUCUAUUUAUCUCCCACGCUUCUUGUCCGAGUAAAACCCUUCAUAAGGGCAAAGGGCUGCAGCAGUUGCACUCAUGCCAUACAAGCUGCCUUGCCAUCUUGACCUUCAAAAUGGUAUGGUGUCAUCAAUCAUCAUUGCCUCCCCCUUGCGUACACACACACACACACACACACACACACACACACACACACACACACACACACACACACACACACACACACACACACACACACACACACACACACACACACACACACACACACACACACACACACACACACACACACACACACACACACACACACACACACACACACACACACACACACACACACACACACACACACACACACACACACACACACACACACACACACACACACACACACACACACACACACACACACACACACACACACACACACACACACACACACACACACACACACACACACACACACACACACACACACACACACACACACACACACACACACACACACACACACACACACACACACACACACACACACACACACACACACACACACACACACACACACACACACACACACACACACACACACACACACACACACACACACACACACACACACACACACACACACAUACACAAGAAGGGGCAAGCUAGAGAGACUAGUCAAUCCGUCACCUCCAAGCUGCCGCAAAAACAUAAAUAAGGCGUUCACUAGCAAACAACCCUUCAAAAUGAACUCACUAACAAUGUCACAGAACCAAAGCAAAAACACUUGUUUAAACAACCCAAUGAAAGAAAAAAAAAAACCUCCAUAGAAUCUCAGCAUUAGUAAAAUAAUAGGGUUACAGCUCCCUGUAACUCCAAGAAGAAACACACACUUGGAAAUACAAUGAGAUUGGGGGAAGUGAGGCUCAGAUUCACCAUUGAAUAUCCAAUAAACAAAUCUCCUCUCUCUCUCUCUCUCUCUCUCUCUCUCUCUCUCUCUCCCACGCUUCUUGUCCGAGUAAAACCCUUCAUAAGGGCAAAGGGCUGCAGCAGUUGCACUCAUGCCAUACAAGCUGCCUUGCCAUCUUGACCUUCAAAAUGGUAUGGUGUCAUCAAUCAUCAUUGCCUCCCCCUUGCGUACAUCAUUUCAACACACAUAUACAUACAUACACACAUACACAAGAAGGGGCAAGCUAGAGAGACAAGUCAAUCCGUCACCUCCAAGCUGCCGCAAAACAUAAAUAAGGAGUUCACUAGCACAAAACCCUUAAAAAUGAACUUAAUAUACACAAAAUUUGUAAAUCAACAAUAAACUUCUCAACGGUUCAAGGGUUAAUUUUAUACAGUCCCCCAAAUCCGACCAUUAUUUCUAUUUCAACCUUUAAGUAGGCCAAAAUCAUCAUUGUAAAAGAAAAGCUAAGAAGCCAAGAAGGAAGCAAGGAAGAAUGGCUUGACAACACGCUUACAAUAGAGAUAAGAAACCAUGGGCUUCUAGUACGGAGAGGUAGGGCAGCCCCUCAAACCUUCCAUCCUUUCCUCACAAAAACUCGAGGAUUUUCAGUGUGUCGCUCAUGUAGUAUAUCUGGAUCAAAAGCAGAGGAACUUCCUAUAGAAUUUCUUUUUGAGCAAUGCUACUGAGCAGCAUACUGCCUCAAAAGUGGAGGAGCUAGGGAUGCCAAUGAGUUGGAUGAAUAUCAGUCCAACCCGGUUCCAAAUCCGAGUUUUUCCAGAUCCGUUCAGAUUUAUUAAACUAACCUGAAAAAAGCGCAAAACUAGUGGAUUUUUUAUGCAAAUUGGCAUUCCAUGAACUAGCCAGUUAGGUAUGAANUGGCCCCCUAGGGUUGAGUGGAUGGUUGGUUGAAUAGAAUAAUCUAACGGAUGAAAAUGAUCAAAGGGUAGAUCUAACGGCAGAAAACUUGAUAGUAUCAGGAACUUGGUACAAUCGAUAGUAUAGUAGACGGACUAUAUAUAUAUAUAUAUAUAUAAUAUUUGUUUGCAAUGAUACAUAUACACCGAAAAGUAGGGCGUAAAUGUAUCAAACUAAGAUCUACAACCAAAGACGAGGUUGUAAUCUUACAACACCACCAUCCAUCCAGGGACCAAUAUUAUUAUUUCUUUUCCUCAUCACUCCCUUUUUCUUCUAGGGAGUAGUCUAAAUCCCGGGCCGGAGGGAGGGUCGUAAGAUUACAAUCCCUUUUUUGGUUGUAGACGUCAGUGUAUUUUUCCCAUUUUGAAGGAGACAUGCUAGGUCUUCGACCGAAAAGGAGAGGCACCCUUUCGCAAAACAUAAGAGAGAGUAGUAGCAGUAGCAGCAGCAGCAGCAGUAGUAGAAGAAGAAGAAGAAGAAGAAGAAGAGGGAGCAUAGCAUCACAAGGGGCAACAUCAGUUUUUGGGAACCCUGUAGCUUUUACUGGAAGAGGAGAAACGGCUAGCAGCUUACCAAGUAACAUCACCUCCUACUUAUUUUGUAUGCUAGAGAGAGAUCUAGAGAGAGAGAGAGAGAGCGUGUGUGUGUGUGAGAGAGAUCUAUAGAGAGAGAGAGAGAGAGAGUGUGUGUGUGUGUGUGUGUGUGUGUGAGAGAGAGAGAGAGAGAGAGAGAGAGAGAGGGUUUUUGAGGAGAGAGAGAGAGAGAGAGAGAGGAAACCCUUUGUUGUUGCGGAGGAGAGAGCACCAACUGGGCCUGAGGAGGAAGAGGAGCACUCGAUCGAUCCCCUCCCCUCCCACUGUGGAGGAAUUCUACACUGUCACACCUGCACCACGUUGUAUUCUAGAAUUUUUCCCCACUCUGCCGUUUGCCCUGGAACCCAUUUUCUGGUUAUAUAUUCCCGUGGGAAGGGAAAACACAGAGUCAAGCAAUUACAAGGCUUAAGCACUAUCAUCUAUACAUUUAAAUAAGGAAUUGAGUUCCUGUACUUUUAAUAGUAUCAUCAUGUCAUAUAUAUAUAUAUAUAACCUUUAAACUAAAAAUAUAUAUAAUUAGAAUGGUUAUAGUCUUCUAAAAUUAAAUAGAUAGUUGAUUAAAUAAUAUAAUUUAAUCAAUGAAAAUAAAAAAUAGAUAUAACCACAGAAAAUUUAUAAAUACCAAAUGCACGGUGCUUGAACUCCUAAAUAAACAUACUAUUAUUACUUGAUAUUCCUUCAAAGCUGCACAGUAAUUUUUCCUUUCUCCUCUCCCCCAUGCGCCUUUCUGUCUCUCUCCUAUGUGUGUGUGUGUGUCUCUCUCUCUCUCUCUCUCUCUUGGCGAUAUUGUAUCCCUUCUAUAUCUCUCUCUCCUCGAUCUUAUCACUUUUUUCUUUUUUCUCUCUCCUCCUCCUCCUCCCGUGCUUCUCGCUCUCUCUUUCCUUCAUUUGACCUUUCUUGUUCUCCCUGAUUUUUGACCGGUUAUAAUUGAAUUGAUCAUUAUGAUGAAAUUUUUUGUAACUGACUGUGUUUUAACUUUGCCUAUAGAGAUAAAUCUAGGUUAGAGGUGGGAUUGCCCUAACCUCUGAUGCGACCCAACUUUUUUUUUUAAUAGUUUUCUUUUAUUAAACAAGUUCAAAUUUAAAUAUCUGUUAUUUAGGAAUAUAAUUAGGGAUAGUCAAUUAUCUUGUUAGGAAAUGGUUAGAAGUAGUUGAACUCUAUAUAAUGUAACCGGGGCGUUACAAGAAACUAUCAAGUAAAAUUAUCUCUUUUCCCUCAUAUCUUGUCCCUACCUCUCAAUUUCUUAAUUCUCUGGAGGCUCGAUCCCCUCGAAGUGAUCGUUUAUCCCUAUUGAUACGGUAGGAUCGUAUCAACCUCUCUCUCUUCUCCUCUUUACCUUAUUUGUGCCUCUCUCUCUCUUCUUCUCCUAUGUCUUUCUUUCGCCAAGCUUUUUUCUCUCCUCCGAUACUGGUCUUUUUCUGUUUGCUCUUCUCGCCCUAUUUCUGGAGCAUUCAAAAAUUAUUAUUUUACAAAAUUUUAUGGGGAAUGCAAAAUAUAUAUUUAGAUUGUCAUGAGAUAGGGUCCCUAUAUUUCUCUCUUAUACUUCUACUUUGCUGGGAGAGAGAAAUGAUUCUAUUAAGAAGUGCUGAUUAGACAGUGACAACUAAACAUCUUUUAUAAUAAAUUCAUUGUGAACUUCCAUCAAUUUUCUUUUUAAUUUUUUUCUGCUACUUUUUAAAUAUUUUCUUUUUCUUAUCAAAACACACUGAACAUUCCUGCUGCAACUUUCAACCAGUUUUAAUAAUAUUUUUGAAAACAAUAAUAACUCAAGAUAGGAAUUUUUUUUUAAAAAAAAAAAAAACCUAAAAUACAGUAUGAUGAUAUAAUGAAACUAAGCCUAGAUCUUUUGACCCAAACCAGUCCAUUCCAGUAAGUGCCCUCUUAUACCCAUCCAUCCUUACAUAAAGAGUUACAAAUAACCCAGCAAAAUUUGCAACCAAACUACUAAUUGAAGAUACAAUGCUUGAAACUGAGAGGCUAUUUACAAUUUUGGAUACAGAGCUUGCAACAAGAACCGAAAUGUAAGGAUCUGGUAGAAACAAUUAAAAGAUUGCAGACCAACCGAUAAUAACAAAGAAAGUUCGCAAAAUCCUUGAGCAGUCUGUCAAUACAAGUACAUAGCACAAAACAAAAGCAUAGACUCCUUUUCCUUUCUUCAGUAUUAGAUCACGGCUCACUUCCGCCAUUGAAUGAUGAAAUAAGCUGAUCCCUUGCAGCUGAUUUCUCGCAUCCCUUCGUCACAUCCAAAUCAGACUGCUCGAAGGGCACCAUCGUAGCUGCCUUUGCCACUGUAAACUACAUAACUGUUGAGUUCAUUAAUCAUCGUCACAUCUGUAGAUGUAAAUAUACAUUUAUAUGUACAAAUAUACGUAUGUACGAAUGUACAUACACAUAGACAAAUGGAAGUAAUGCGGUUGGUGAUGUAGAAAUUACUAAGUACUAUAUCAACAUGACAUCAUCAUCCAGCUACUUAAAUGGGACUAUAAAGCUUGAUUGCAACAAUUUAUAGAGUUCGAGCAAAAAAUUUCAAUAAAUUAAAAUAUGAGGACAAAAGUGUCACCCACCUUACAGUUCGAGGGCCCAAGUAUAAUUUUGCCUAUACACAUAUAUGCAUAAACGCAAGCAAACAUAGACAAGAUGCAGGGAAAAGAGACAGAUUAACUGUUGCAAACACUGAAAGAGAGUUCAUUCCCGGAAAAUCCAUACAAAUGUAAGUGACAUACCCCGAAUUUGUUGAUGAAUAGGUAUUCGAGUCAGAAAAUCUCACAAUGAGAAUGAAGAUGCAAAAACUGAAAAAGGUGAAAAAUUGCAAAACAGAAAAAAUUAUAUUUUACAUGGGAAAAAAAACUAAAAUAAUAAGGACAAUUUCACACGCAGAGUACUGCUCUCAAUUUAGCUAACUUGAUUUUGAAGGGAAAAUGGAGGCUCAGAUUGAUCCAUCUAUCAAGCAUGACAAUUUAAUGCUAGGGAUAAAAGCACCAGAACCACCCGAACUUUAACCUGCUACCACUUGUUUUGGGGAUAAGUGCAGAAAAGACUGUCUAAACUUCAGCUACCUUGCACAGAAACCACAAGAAUAUUUACCAUUUCUGCAAAUUGCCAUCUAAACUUGAAAUUUUCAUACCUAGCACCCAAACAUUCAAAUAUAUUAUAUUAACAACUUUAUUUUCAAACAAGAAAACUCCCCUUUGUUUCUUGAUCAUCGAACUAAUAGCCAUUGCUCCAAACAGGAAAUCUCCUUGAUUCAUUGGAAACAAUCAAGUAAUUAGGAUGCCGAACAUAAAAUUUUCCAAAGUUUCAAUAAAUACCUGCAGAUGGGCAGAGCUUCAGGUAGCUCCGGUGCAGUUGGCCCUUAACUUUGUGUCUCUCCAUCUCUAUUGGACCUAAAAGCAGGGGCAAAUGGUUGCCUGAGAGGCAACAGACCAGCCAAAAAUUGCCCUGCCAAAAUUUUAGAACCAUAGCGCAUGGAGAGAAAAGAGCAGUAUGAACAGAGAAAACUUCGAAAAUCCAAAACCCUAAACCUCAUACGCUAAUCAGAUAUCAAAACUCAAGCUUGCAAGGCAAAAUUGUCAAAGCAAACCUUUCUACAGUGGACCAAAAUCAUCAUUGCCUCAAAGAGAGAAAAAAGAAAGGGUAUCCAGCAGCGAUAGCAGCGGCAGCAGCAAAGAAAUUAGCAAAAGCAUAACAAUGCUCUUAAAAUGGCAUUAAGCUUAAGAAUCCUUCAGCGUAAACAUUGUACAUCCUAUCAGAUCCAACAUGGUGGACAAGGACUAGGCAAUAAUUUCUCAGACAGCAUGGCUUAAUGGUCAACAAAAGUCGUGAUCAGCUUCUGUUGGGCUCCGCCACACUCUUGGUAGAAAAAGCCCCUAAGCCACCGUUUGGUUCGGGGUUGAGUAAAAACUUGUUAUUCCAGGAAUAGAGUUAAAUUCAGGGUUAAGGUGGGGUUAGAGUAAUUUUGUGUUUGGUUGAGAAUUGGGUAUAGUCUAGGUAUAGGUAAAAUAGUAUUUGGUUGGAGUAGAUGGGAUAAGAAGGAUAGUGGAUAAAACAGUGUUUUGUUUGGUUGGAGUAGUGGAGUGGGGUGGGGUUAGCUAACCCAACCCUCCAAAUUGGGUGUUUGGGAAUAACUUCGGGGUUAAGGGGUUAUUCCACCCCUUAACCCCGAACCAAACGGGUGCUAAGAGAACAGGACUCCUCAAAGUAUAGUAUAUGAAAAUACAGAAAACGAAUUAUGAAUUCUUCAUCUCAAAGUAUAGCAUGAAAAUACAGAAAACAAAUUAUGAAUUCUUCAAUGAGGCAGUGUAGAGAAAUAAAACGUGAAGAUUCAGAUUACCCCGUCAAUAGGACGAGAAAUCCAGAAUUUCCUCCAUAAGAUGAACAUACGGAUAGGCAAUGCAGAGACUUACAUAUGCACCAGGGUGUAGGCAGCAAUUUUUCACAGUUUUGCGACUUGCUAUCUCUCCAGGCCUGAAGAGUGGCUGCAAACGGUUGCCUGCUAAACACAGACCAACCGAAAUUUGCCUUGCCCCUCAAUACACAGGAGAAAAUAGCAGCAUAUACAAAACGUGCACCAAAACUCCAAACCCUGAAACAAAGUACGAAAUCCAGAUUCCAGGAUCUGCAUUAACAAACCUGCAGUCCAAAUCACGUAACAUCCUUCUGGGCGUGCCAAAGCUUCUACGAGAAAGAAAAAGAGAAUACAGCAGAACCAGCAAAGAAAGGCAAGAUGAAAGACAAAGAAAACAAGAAGAGGAAAGAAUAAGAGAAAGGACUCGAGAUUCCAAAAGAAGAAUCACCGGCCAUGGGAGUGAUGAUAGAGAGAGCAAAGGAAGCAAAUCCAUCUCUCUAAUUCUCUUGAAAUCACUCCAAUGGGAAGAAUACACUACCACAGCCCACGACAUGGUGCAGGCAAUACUUUCUCCUCUCCACACCAUAAGAAUAAUAUGGAUAUUCGGAUCUACAGGGUGCAGGCAAUAAUUUCUCAUAGUUGUGAGGGACUCCAUACAUUUUUACAUUAAAAUAACUAAAAAAGAUAGAUUUCUUGAAAUAAAUUUCUAUUAGAUUAUAGAAACAAGUGCCUUCAAAAACCAUCAUGAUAACAACUAAACUAUAAAUUAUUGGCUAUUUAUUAUUAGCUAAAAUAAGUCCAAUUUCCUAUCCCAUGAUAAUAUGCCCAAAAGACUAAUAAGUUGAGUUGGAUAAGCCCAACAAGUUGAGGGAGACUGCAAUCCGCAAUACACCUAACAGCAAGAGGCCCAACAAUAGACAUAACAUCCAGGUGAUGCAAGUCAAGUCGAAGCCGGUGAGCGCUAUAGUUGAGCCCUUAAGUGCGAUGGAUAUGCCCUUCCUAUUAGGGCUUGCUUUUUGGAUAGUUGGUUAGCGCUUACGAUCCAUAUCCAUAUACAUAAGUGAAAAAAAGGAAAAUAUUUUGUGAAAAGCAUUGAAUCCAAAACAAAUGCAUACAUCUCUUUGGAGAUAUCUGAUAAAAUGGAAUGAUAUAGAGAAGAUUAGCAUGGCCCCUGCACAAGGAUGACACGCACAGAUCAAGUCAAUGCACACGAUUUAAUCAUGAACAGAGGUACUCACAGUCCACUACACUGCCGCAAGCAAAUGGAUCUUUUACAACAAUGAAACACAUUUAGUUUGCAUUAGAAGCUCCAUUAAGGAAAAUACUGCAAAAGUCAAAGGGAAAGGUAUUACAAAGAAAUGUGAAGUCCAAAGCUCCGAUCAAAACAAGUUACAUGUUAAGUUUAUAAUUGGCAGUUAUUAAUAUUAUAGUAACUCUAUAGAGUUGAUCACAUUGCUGAAGAGAGGAUGAGAUUGCGAAGAUAGCUCAGAUUCGCCCUUUGAUUGAUCACAUAGAUCACUCCCCUCUCCGCCCAUUCAAAUCAAACACUUAAUGAUGAAUGGCUGCAGCAGUCACACUGACCCAUCCAAGCUACCUUGCCAUUACAGUCACCAUUUUCUUAACGUGUGUGUGUACCUAUGCAUAUGUAGGGACAUACACACACGCGCGCACACGCACACACACAAAAACAAACACGCACACACACACACACACACAAUAGGUCCGUCUUGCAUGCAUGCAAACAAAAACAAACACGCACACACACACACACACACACACACACACACACAUAAUCAAUUUAUCUAUCUACCCAUCCAACCAUCGAUAAUAUACAAGGAGCGGUAAAGAGUGACUACACUCAAAUCAUUGCCUGCCAAACUGCAGCAAGAAACACAAAAUGUGGUUUGUUACACAAAAUUUUAACAAGUGAACUUUGUGUGCUAAACUUGUAAUCUUUAAACACAUUUAGGCCUGCAAAGGUCGCAAUCAAGGGGUGAAAAAAAGAAAAAAAGGUGCCAAAAAGUUGUAAAACUAAGAAAAGGUAAACCUUUUAUUCAAAUGGCAUAAAGAAAAAGGCCAACUUAAUACAUAGUAAAAGGUAAAAUUCUUGUCAUACUCAACUGGCUAUAAGAGACAGGUGAGGAUGGCUCAGAUAUUGGCCCAUCAAUCAAGCGUAACGAUUGCUUAAACUCCUCAAUAUUGAAGUAAAUGACAAUGCUAUAAAAAAGUACAGGGCAAUCUUCUGAACCAACAAACUAUUUUUAGUUGUCACCAUUCUUUUCAUCUUCAUUGGCCUAAAAGUGGUUGCAAAUUGUUGAUUACGUAGAAGACCAGCCGAAAUUUGCCUUGCCAACAUAUUAAUGCCUUAGAUGACGAGAAAAGAGAAGUGAGCACACAAAGUGUCAAAACCCAAAACCCUAAACCCCAAAACAUAAACCGAAGAUUGAUAUGAAUGACUAAGCAAUUCCGCACCAUAAAAUUAGGAAAAUAUCCUUUGCUCAGGCCAAAAUCAUCAUUGCCUUGAAUAGAAUAGAAAAGAGAAGUAAAAGGUACCCAUCAGCAGAAGGGGCAAAGAGGGAAGCACGUCCUUAUAAUUAGGGGUGUUCAUGGGAAUCGAAGAAGCCGAAAGCAUAACUGAACCAAAGUUUCUUUUUUCUUUCUUCCCAACACAUGUUUGAUUCCAGUACACAGAAUUCCAAAAACCAGAUUUUCUGGUUCGGUUAUGUUUUGCAUUUUUUCUCCACAAAGUAAAAAAUAAAUAAAUAAAUAAAAAUCAGAAAAACAGUUAACCCAUCCGAACCAGUUUGGUUCAUAAACAUCUAAAGUUGUUCCAAUUCACUUUUCUUUGGUCCUUCUAGUUCAAAAGCAAAGCCCCUACCAAUCUAGGGUUUCAAGAUCACCAACCUUUAUCACAUCUCCUCCUUCGACGCGCCCCUUCUCCUCUGGUGGCUCCCCCACCAAACCAUCUCUCUCUCUCACUUAAAUCUUAUUCGCCACCUGCUCACUCUUAGACACCACCGUCAACACUGUCAAUGCCAAACAGGCUAACCAGUUUGCCAUACCGGUUGAAACCAAAAAACUGGUGGUUUUGCAACCUGUUCAUAUUUUGUCCAAACCGGUCCAGUUAAUUAGACUGGUUUCACCCCUACUUAUAAUGAACAUACAAAGUAGAUAUGAUUGCUUUGAGGAAAGUUUGUGAGGAGGCCUUCAAACUUUCAUCCACGCAACACAUAACUUGCUACUCAUAAUGAACAUGUUAGGGCAUAAAAAAUAUAAAAGUUUUUCCCUAACAUUUCCAAAUCAGAUCCAGGAAAAGGGAGAUAAAAAAAAAAGAGAUCCAAAACUAGAUUAAUAAGAAUAAAAAAUACCGAAGUGCCUGUGAAGCAUCUCCUAGAGAGAGAUUGCAACUAAAGGAAACAAGACAUGGCUUCAGAUCUAACGAAGUUUGCAACACAUCUGUAAACAAUAUGUGAAAAAGAAGCAUAAACACUCCCUAAAUCGACAAAAAAAGGAAAAAAGUACCUCCAAAUCGGAUCUAACUUCAGUUCGAAAACAAUGAGUUUUAGCGAGAGAGAAGUGAUUAAAUAUGUAUGCGAAAAUGGCGAAUGGAGGGAAGGAGAUCACAAAGAUUACCUGGGAGGACGAAGUAGUAGAAGAGGAUAGGUGUUCGUGCGAGAGAGAGAGAGAGCAGCGUGCAACAAUACUCGCCUUCAGUAAUCCAAUAUACGCACCCCCCCCCUCCCCCCUUCGGUAAUAUUUUCGGUGUAAUCUUACACCUUUUGUUAUGCUGAAAUACCAAAUAGAUUACAUAUUGAAUGAACCAAAUGCAGUAAUCCUGACAGGAUUGCAUGUAAUCCUGCAAGGAUAACCGAACCAAACGCACCCUUUAUGUAAUGCUUCUAAAUCAUGCCUGACAUGGUGGACCAAAUCCAGCCAAUAAUUUCUCAAAGAGUAGGGCUGCCAAAUUAACUUACUCUUGCAAACAGCUUGUGUGUAGCUUGAAGCUCAAUUGAGUUGAUUACAUUGGCUGCUUUAAGAAAUAAGCUGAGCAUGAGAUAGGAGUGAAAACGGAUACAAAUCAGCAAAGUAGAUAAAUCAUAUCUGCACCUAUAUUCCAUAUUUCUUUUCCAAAUUCUUUUGUUUUUCCCCCUUCUCCUGAAUAUGGAAACAGAAGAUAUGUGGAUUCUAAAGUUGGAAAUCAUAUUUGAAUAAAAAGCUACAGAAUAAAACUAAAACUUGAUAUAACAUAAUUGUACUAUAAAUAUGUAACAUAUCUUGAAAAAGUGUAAAAUAAAUCAAUAAGGAACUCAUACAAAGAUUCAAGGGAAACAAGCAAUAAAAGAAGAAAACCAGGAAGUAUGCCUCUCACAAAACACAAAACCCUCACACUACCAACAUCAAAAGGUUAUCUGGAAAAAAAGGAAUAAAGAUCAAGUAGCACAAGAAGCUACAGAAUGGUUUAUAAAAGUGGAAACUUCGACAGAUUAAACUCUCGAGAUUGAGACCAACUGCAACAGAUUUAAUGCCUUCCUAUUCAGUUUCAAAGCUAAGCAUAUCCAACUACAACAGAUUAAGCUCUCGAGAGUCAAGACCAACUGAAAAUUCACGUAAGUUCAGGUACCAAUAGUGCAAUUUACCCAAAUAAAGCAUUAAAGCUGAACACCCCAAAUCCUGAUUUCGAGAACUAAACCAGCAAGCCUGCAUCCCCAAGUUAGGGUACUGUCUUUUUGGGUGGGCCAAGAACUAGAAACACAGAUGGAGAUACAAUGAGAUUGGAGGAAGGGAGGCUCAGAUUCACCACUGAUUGAUCAAAUAAACAAAUCUCCUCUCUCUCUCUCUCUCUCACUUUCUCUCUAUCUCCCACACUUCUUGUUCAAGUAAAACUCUUCAUAAGGGCAAAGGGCUGCAGCAGUUGCACUCAUGCCAUACAAGCUGCCUUGCCAUCAUGACCUUCGAGAUAGUAUGGUGUCAUCAAUCAUCAUUGCCUCCCUGUUGUGGACAUUAUGUCAACUUACAUACAUUUAUACAUAUACGUUAUACACAAGAAGGGGCAAGCAAGAGAGCUUAAUCAAUCCAUCACCUCCAACCUGAGGCAGAAACAAAAAUAAGCCGUUCAAUAGCACAAAACCCUCAAAAAUGAAAAUGUAUCCAAAAUUUGAAAAUCGACAAUUAACUUGUCAAAGGUUCUAGGGUUAACUUCAUAUGUAGUUCCUGAAAUCCGACCAUUAUUUCCAUUUUGGCCUUUAAGUAGGCCAAAAACAUCAUUGCCUUUCAAAAAGGAAAAGAUAAGAAGCGAAGAAGGAAGUAAGAAGGGCUCAACAAUGCACUUAUAACAGCAAUGAUAACCACAGGCUGUUAAUAACAAGAGGUAGGGAAGCUGUUCAAACCUUCCAUCCUUCCCUCACAAAAACUCGAGGAUUUUCAGUGUGUCGCUCAAAUGUUGUCUGGGUCCAUUUUAAUGCAUCAAAAGCAGAGGAGCUGCCUUUAGAAUUUCUUUUUGAGCAAUGCUAUGAAGUUAGGGAAGCAAAUGGGUUGCAUAAUAUCCGUCCAACCAAGCUUCCAAAUCUGAAUUUUUCCAUCUCUCCUGGCCUGAAGAGUGGCUGCAAAUGGUUGCUUGCUAAAACACAGACCAACCAAAUUUGCCUUGCCCCUCAACAGGAGGAAAUAGCAGCUUGUACAAAAACCAUACCAAAGCUGCAGACUGUGAACCACAAACCUUGAACCCAGAUUACCGACCGUCCCUAGCGCAGGAAGCACUGAGCCAUAUGCUUAAGUUUUUUAUUUUUUUUAAUAGAAAAAAGGAAAAGAUGUUGCGAAGUUUUGAAAUCCAACAAAAUCAGUCAAACUGCACACAUCGCUUCAGAGACAUCUGAUAAAUUGGAACAAUACAGAGAAGAUUAGCAUGGUCCCUGCAGAUCCAGCCAAUAAUCUUCCAAGAGUAGGGCUGCAAUCAAGUUAACACAAUUGACUACUUUCGGAAACAAGCUGAGAAUGUGCUAGGGGUGAAAAUGGAUCGAACACAAAUCAGCAGAGUAGCUAAACCAUAUCUACAUCCAUAUUGCAUAGUUCUUUUCCAAAUUCUUGCUUUAUUUUUUAUUUUUUAUAUUGGAAAUCAAGUUUAAUAACAUAUAUUAAAAUAUCUACAAUGUUCUUCAAAACUUCAAAAAACUUUAUUUACCCCUGGAGGACCAACAUACCCUUAUUGAUUUCAAAAAAUUCAUUCAUAUAUCCCCUAGAGGAAAUGGGGAUAUAUGAAUGAAUUUUUUAUUUUUUAUAUUGGAAAUCAAGUUUAAUAACAUAUAUUAAAAUAUCUACAAUGUUCUUCAAAACUUCAAAAAACUUUAUUUACCCCUGGAGGACCAACAUACCCUUAUUGAUUUCAAAAAAUUCAUUCAUAUAUCCCCAUUUCCUCUAGGGUUUACAAUGGGUUGGUUUUAAAAGGAUACUUUGGUAAGUUUAGGGUAAAUUUGAAAAUUUUGAGUAAGACCCUCAAGAAAAUUUACAACAAAUCAAUAGAUACAAGGAUUUAAGGAAAACAAGUAAUAAAAGAAGCUAAGAAUUAAUAUGCCAGCUACAAAACACAAAACCCUCAGCCUAACAAGAUAAAGCAGCUGUCUGGGAAAAGAAAGAAAGAAGGAAAAGUAGAAAGCAGCUGCAGAAUUGUUUAAUAAAAGUGGAAAUGUCAACAGAUAAAAAUAAUUGAAAGAAAAGGAAGAGGAUGGUGGAAGGGACAUCAAAUUCAUCUUUGUUUGGUCAAAUAAAUAGGGAUAAUUUCAUAUGCACCCUUUAGUCCAUUAAAUCUUCAAUCAACCCACCCACUCAACCAUAGGACCGCUAUUAUCCUAACCGCACAUCCCUUCAUCCAAGGGCCAAAAACCUAAUAGCAACAAUGACUUAGUGCUAUUAAUAGUAUAGUACCCUAGUUCUACAUAUAUAUAUAUAUAUCCUCUCCGCCACAAUGAAGCCCCUCCUGUAGGCAAACAGCUGCAGCGGGUGCACUAAUGCCAUCCAAAGCUGCCAGCCAUCAUAAGCUUCAAUAUGGGAUCUGAAAGGGAGAAGGGUCGAGGAAACAAUUUCUCCAACCCCACGAAUGGUGAACAGAUGUAUAUAUGGAUGCAACUGGUGCAAGCAAUAAUUUCACAUAGACAGGGACAUGUUCACACAUUUUUACGAAAAUAUCCUUCGAGGAGAAUAUUUGGCUUCCCAAGCUUAUAAACAAUUGAUAGCAACAAGGUAUUGCAUGGAGCUAUGCACCAAAACAAUACAAAUCACCUUACAUACAUGCAUCUCCCACCAGCCUAACAAUGCGCAAAUUUUAAAUGGUAGUCUGCAAAGAAGCGUCUUGCCAACCAUGCAACAACUUCAGCAUAUUAUAAGAAAGAGAAAUAUGCAAAAAUAAUGGGUCAAAUUGCAAAUCCAAAACCCCAACCCAAGCCCAAGAUGAAAGGUAGUAAGUUUACAUUCCAGACACAGAAAACCCCAAUAACUUGGCCGAGGCAAUAAUUUCUCCAAAUGUAGGGCUGUCAAUUGAGUCGUUUGCUUUCAAACAACUUAUAUUCAGCUUGUGUUACGCUUAACCACCCUUCUCUUUUUACAAGAGAAACAUCAAAGAAAACACCUCAAAAAACACUUCUUCAAAUACUUAAAAAGAAGCAAAACGAAUUAUAAAUUCGUCAAUCAAGCCGAGAUAAUAAUAAUUAAAAUCUUUUUACAAGAGAAACGUCAAAGAAAACACCUCAAAAAACACUUCUUCAAAUACUUAAAAAGAAGCAAAACGAAUUAUAAAUUCGUCAAUCAAGCCGAGAUAAUAAUAAUUAAAAUCUUUUUACAAGAGAAACGUCAAAGAAAACACCUCAAAAAACACUUCUUCAAAUACUUAAAAAGAAGCAAAACGAAUUAUAAAUUCGUCAAUCAAGCCGAGAUAAUAAUAAUUAAAAUCUUUUUACAAGAGAAACGUCAAAGAAAACACCUCAAAAAACACUUCUUCAAAUACUUAAAAAGAAGCAAAACGAAUUAUAAAUUCGUCAAUCAAGCCGAGAUAAUAAUAAUUAAAAUCUUUUUACAAGAGAAACGUCAAAGAAAACACCUCAAAAAACACUUCUUCAAAUACUUAAAAAGAAGCAAAACGAAUUAUAAAUUCGUCAAUCAAGCCGAGAUAAUAAUAAUUAAAGAUAAGGCUCAGUUUGGCCCAACUGCCAGAUAUGAAAAUAUCAGUAUUUUCUCCAUAAAGUGGAGGGUGAAUGAGCGGACAACAUGCAGACGUACAGAUACACCAGGUGCAUGCAAUAAUUUUAUUGGUAGUUCUGUUACUCAUAGUCACCAUCUCUUCAGCCUAAAGAAUGGCUGCAAAUGGUUGCCUGCUAAGAAACAGAUUAACAGACCAGCCAAAUUUGCAUUACCCACUCAGUAGACACAAGAAAAUAACAGUGCUCCAAUAUAAAGCUCAAAAACUCCAAACCCAGAGCCCACAAAUCAGAAUAUGGGGAUCUAAAUUGACUCUGUGUCACAAAUUGGGUAGAAUUUUUUUUAUAAGUAAUCCUAUCAAUUUUAUAAUUAUAAAAAUAAUUUCUUAAAAAAAAUAAUUAUAAAAAUAGACUUCUAAAUGCGGUGAAUGAUUUACCGCAUUUAUAACUCCUCAUUAGGGGUAGAAAAAGAAUAAAAGCGGUGAACCAUUCACCGCUUUUACCAUCGUAGAAAUAUAAAAAAAAGUGAGAAAAUGAAAGAAAGCGGUGAAUGGUUCACCGCUUUUAAAAGCGGUGAACCAUUUACCGCUUUUAUAGGACCAUAUUAAUAAAUAAAAAUUUAAUAGAUCUAUUUUUAGAAUAAAAUUUUAGGAGAAGACUAUUGAACUAAAAAACCCCUCUUGGUGGGCCAAAAUCAUCACCGCCUCAAAAAGAAAAGAAAAGAAAAGAGAAUAAAUCUUGCAGAAGUAGCAAUGAAAGGUAAGGAAUGAAGAGCCAUGAAAUAAACAUACAAAGACAGGAAACAUUUUUGAAAAAAAACUCCCUUAUCCAUUUCCAAAUCCGAAUGAUAGCGCAGAUACACCACUUCAGAAUCAAACCUGAAGAAAUAUUGACACAUUGUAAAACUCAUGUUAUUUAUUAUCCGACCCAUUUCAUCCCUAGAAAUAGCCCUACAAAGUGAAAAAAAAAAAAAACGGACCACUUUGGUAGCCGCAACAUUGGUAAAAAGAAAAAGGACCACUUUGGUAGGAGCAAUAUCUGUAAAACAAGAGAGUCUCCAGUGCAAUGGUUAUAUGAACAGCACUCAGACUGAGUUGUGGUGCUCACACUGUGGAGAGCCAUCACACCUACAAGAUUUUCCAGAGUUUCCAUAUAACACAAUGACUUGGGGAAUGCCAGUGUGAUGCAGUACAAGAUUCCAUACAUUUUUACCAAAAAAAGAUAAAAAAAAGCAUUCAUCCUCUUUUAAUCCAUUCUGCCAAGUGGAUUGGACCAUAACUCACGCAUGGAAUUGUGCAAGUAAUCAUUUCUCCUCUCCCAUGGGCAAUAUGUGCACAGAGUGCAGGCAAUAAUUUCUCAUAAAUGAGGGGACUUAAUACAUUUUAACCAAAAAAUCUCAAAAUUAAAUAACAUAAUCUUUUUUUUUAUCUUAAUAAUAUCAUGGCAACCACUAAACAUGAAAUAAGACAUAUGCAGGAACAAGUAGAAUAUGAAAAGAUUUUGCAGAAAACGAAAGUAUUACAAGAUAUCAGCUAAAUAAAUAUAAUUUAGAUAUCAACAUAAAUAAACAUACUCCAAUAGAUUGACAAAAGCAGAUGAACUUUUAGAAAAAAAUACCAACAUUAAACAGCAUUAAAAGCUCAAAAAAGAACACAAGUACAAAAAAAUGAAGACAAAUAGUAAGAAACCUUAUUUCCAACAUCUCAGUACCAAAGCCCAAACCACUAGUCGAACAGGAUCGAAUUAAAAUACAAACCCUCCCAAUGCCAGAAAUUAUCAAAAUAGUAAUGUUAUAUAGUAGAAAACAAAGCAGGAGAUUGGAUGAGAUUGUGCAGGGAACUCAUAUUCGCGUUUUAUUGAUCAGAGAUAUAUCUCUCUAGCCUGCCCUCUGCACUUGUCCAAAUCAAACCCUCCUAAGUUUGAAUGGCGGCAACAGAUGUGAUCGCGCCAACCAAGCUGCCAUGCCAUUACAACCUUAAUAGAGAAUGAAGUUCACAAUCAUCAUCACCUCCUCAACUUGCAUAUCUAUGUAUGUACAUGCACCGAUACUUACAUAAUAUGUGCAGACUUCCAAAAUAUAUAUACUAGAAAAGGUAGCGAAGAGUGAUUAUGAUCCAAACUAAUUCAAAAUUAGAAUAAUAUGGGUAAACUUUAUUAAUUAACAGUUAUUGAGGUCAGAAAAGGUCGCAACCGAGCAGAGGAAGCAAAAGAAUUUUUUUUUCAGAAAGCUGCAAAAAUGAGAAGAUGUGUGUUUUGUCUUAUUCAAAAUGAGAUAUGGAAAAGGCCAAUUUAAUACGCCAGUCACCAGUUGGCUUGAUUUGGUUUCAGAGUGUAUUCAGUUCCACGCUCGCCCCUAUGUCAGUUCAUGAAAAAAUAGAUUUCUUGUUAUACACAACUACGUUUAGAGAAUUAUCAGAAUGGCCCAUCAACAAGACAUGAUGACUGCUUAAGCUCGUCAACUUUGAAGCAGAUGACAACAAUAUAAUUAGAGUUAGGGCCAUCUUCUAGACAAUAAACUGUCUUUACUUGAACAACCAUUUACAAAUUCUUGAAGGGCAUAUUUCAAAAAGGCCAAUUGUUGAGGGGUUCUUAGUACAUACAUACAUUUAUUUAUACGUCUCUCCAACUCUAUCAGCCUAAAAGUGGGUGCAAUGGUUGCCAAAGAAGAAAUGAACCACCCAAAAUUUGCCUUGCCAACAAAUUAGAACUGUAGCAAAUGGAGAGAAAUGAGUAGUGUGUACAAAUAAAGCAUCAAAAUCCAAACCCUAGACCCCAAACCUUAAAUCCGAGAACUAGAAAUUCCGCAUGACAAAAUAAGCACAGUACCCUUUCAGGCAGACCAAAAUCAUCAUUGCCUCAAAGUGAAAGCAAGAAAGAAGAAGGGGUAUCUAGAGGCAACAAAAGAAUGGGCCAUAAAAUGAACUUACAGUGGAGAUAGGAUCCACGGAUUGCUGUUCUCAGGAGGAAAGGUGAGGCAGCCCUUUCAACCUUCCAUCUUCCCCUCCCAAAAGCUUAAGAAAUUUCAAUGUGACACAUUUCACACCCAACGUGGUGGACCAGGUCUAGGCACUAAUUUCUCCAAAUAUAGGGCUGUCAGUUUAGCUCAUUGCUAAACAGCUCACACUAGGCUGAGUCUCCUUUCCCAAAAAGCCCAAAAAGAAAAGCCCAAAAAGAAACACUACAAAAAGACCAAUCGAAAUACCAAAAUAGAGAGUUUUUCUCUGUACAAUGGAGGAAAGAUAGAUAUGUUAUGAACAGAUAUACAGAUACACCAGGUGCAAGCAAUAAUUUCUUGUUGUUCCACAAUUCCUCAUCUCUGCUAGCCUGAAAGGUGGCUGCAAAUGGUUGCCUUGUAGGAAGAAGGCCAGCCAUAAUUUGCUGAACCACUCAGUAGAGAGUAGAAAAUUGCCGUUCAUAAGGUAAAACACUAAAACGCCAAACUCUGAACCCCAAAUCUGAUCUCCGGGAUUUAUAUCAAUGAGUCUUCAUCCAAAUCAGGUAAUCACCCUUUGGGCAGGCCAAUAUCAUCAUACCCUCAAUGAGAAAGAAAAAGAGAAAACAGGUAUCCAGCAGAAAUAGUCAAAAAUGAGGCAAAAAAAAAAAAAAGGAAAAGGAAGACAAAAAGGGGGGAGGAAAUCCCAAAACAGAAAUCGCAAGAUGGCAAGAGCUUUACAUCAAAAACCACUCCUCUGUUACAAGAAAAGCCCAAAACAUAAAAUCCAAAAAACUCCUCUAAAUAUCAAAAAGAAGGGAAAGCAAAUGAUAUAUCCUUCAAUUCAAAUCUUCUGGACAUAAAGGGAAAGAAAAAAAGGCUCAGAUUGGCCCAUUUAUCAGACAUGAUAUUUUUUUUUCUUUUUUGAGAGAAAGGUAGCAAGCUACCUGCUUUGUUCAUUUAUCAGGCAUCAGAAUUGCAGUACCUUCUCUAUGAGAAGGACUAUAGAUGAAUGAGAUGUACUUAUACACCAAGUACAGGAAACGAUAUAUCGCAUAUAUAUAUCUCUCUCUCUCUCUCUUAGCCAGUCUAAAGAGUGGCUGCAAAUGGUUGCCUGACAAAAGACAGACCAACCAGAAAUUGCCAUGCCAAAUAUACUAGAACAUCAGGAGACGAGGAAAUAGCAGAGCAUACGGAGAAGAUUCAAAAAUCCAAAUGUAAAAUCCAACUCAAAUACAGAGGAGCAAGGAUCUAAAUUAACAAGUCUGCAUCCCAAAUCAGGUAAAUAUCCCUGUAGGUGGGCCAAAUCAUCAUAGCCUCGAAGAGAAAGGAAAAAGAGAACAAAAUUUAUCCAGAAGCAGAAGCAUAUAAUAAGACAAUGAUGUCUAAAGUGGUUGAAUAUAAUGCAAAUGGCAAAUCCGAAAAAUCAAAAAAGAAAAAAAGAAGUGAAACAAGAGGGAAGGCAAAUUGGCCUCCCCUCUCGUCCAGACCAGGUCCCUCCUAGUGACGAAUAGCUGCGGCUGUUGUCCAAACACCAUCCAAACUGCCUUCCAUAUAUUAACAUUCUGAGGUAUCCAUAGUAAUAUCCUUACAUUCCAUAACAGAGCUGAAAAGAGCUCAAAGAGAAGAAAUGGUAUUCAGCUUGAAAUUACCUACUAUUCUGUCAUGUAAUGGACUUGCUGCUCACCAUCGUCUCCUUUCUGAGUGUUUGUGUGAACGCAUAUGUGUACAUAUAUGUACAUAUAUAUAUGUACGCAUGCAAGUAUGUAUAUAUGUAUGUAUAUACAGAGAGGAAUCAACGGCCCGAAGGAACGACAGUGUGGGUAGCAUGAAAGCAAGGACGGAACAGCACAGGGAAGAAGGGCAGGAACAGAAAGUAAUUAAGAGGAGAGAGCAAUUGAAAGCUGAGAGAGAGAGAGAGAGAGAGAGAAUUUCAGGUCAUCUCCCAUUAAAGGAAAGCCACAGCAUAUCGCAAUCUCUCAGGAUUAAAGGUACAAGGUUAGUAAAGGAUAAAAUGUAUGGAUAGUCCCUAUACCUUUGCAAUAUUGCAACUUCGAUGCUGAUGCCAAAAGUGACAAGCUUAGUCAGCCACUCAUUUCUGAUAGCAGGAUGCAAAUGGUUGUCUGCAGAAAACAGACCAUCCAACAUUUGCCAUGCCUCUACAAGUGAGAAAAAGUAUGCUCCACUUUAUAGAAAUGCUCCACUUUAUAGAAAUGCUCCACUUUAUAGAAACGGGCCAUUCGUUUCACAUUUUGUGACAUUCCAGAAAUCCUCCAUACUAUCUAUUCAAGACAGUCAAAUCGUCACCGUGGAACUCAAUUUGCGAAGUAGUACGAGAUAUUGGUGAGGCGGUGGGGUCAUUCUAGAUUCCCAACAUAUAUACAAUACCUUGUAUUAGGAGUAGGGAUGCAAAUGGAUCCGGAUUGGUGGAGCUCCAGCGCCAAUCUGCCCCGAAUGGGGCAAUAAGUGGGGGACAAUAAAUGGAUUCCGGGCAGUAAACGAGCGGAAUUUUAUGACCCAAUAUGUGGGGGACAAUAAAGGAAUGGUAAAAACGUAUAGAACUUCUGAACUACGGACCAUUUUGAGUCAACUUUCCAACUUUCUUUCCAACUUUAACUACCCAACCUUUCAAUUUGUUUGAUUUGAGCUAAUUACUUGCAUCAAUGAGAAGAACGACGCAUUCAAAUUUUGAAGUCAAAGUGUGGUUAUCUGACUCAAAUCAAACAAAUCGAAAGGUCGGGUAGUAAAAUCAAAAUUUCAAAAGGUAGGAUAGCCGAUUCAAAAUGAUCCAUAGUAAUUCAAGGCAGGAUACUCUAAAAAAAUUGAUCCACCCCCGGAUCUGCCCUGAAUAAGCAUUUAAAUUAUAAGACAACUUCUAAUUUUUCUAGAAUAUUAUUUGAGUUUUAAAUGCACGAUAUUCCUAGAAUGCUAUAUACAAGUGAAAUGAACAAACCCUAAAGUCAAAAGUUUCAAAAAAUUUUAUAUUUAGCUAAAACCAUACUUUUAUACACUUCUUUUUUAUUAGAAACAGAAAUGCUAAUAUAAAAAAUAUACUAGUUUUUGAAACUAUAAAUCUAACUAGAUAGUUAAAAUCACAUUAGAUAACAACCUUCUCAUGUACCACAAUAAUAAGGAAUCGUCCAGUAAAAUAUAUAGAACAAACAUAUUGAGGGUCUCUUACAAAGCAGAGAGAAUGGAACUACAAUAGUUAUUAUAUCAUAUUCAAAAUAAUUCCAGCUAUGGGAGUGUGCACCUCUAUAUUUCCACACAGUAUCUUUGGCCAUAUCAAUAAUCCAAAGAUGUACUCAAAUACAAUUAGUAUCAAGUUUGAGGCAACAAUCAAAAUUAAAAUCAAGCAAAACUCAGACUUAUUACCCAGUUUGUUCUAACUCCUACUUGCCGGUGUUUUAAGAAUAAAAACGGAAAACACACAGCAUAAAAAUCCCUUAAUCCCAGAUCAAAAUAAACUCCUUUCGAACAAUGGAUUAAAUGAAUUUCAUUUCUAAGAGGGAUGUCAAGGAGUAGAUUCGACUCACUUAAAAAAGUAAGAAAAAGAAACCACAUUUGCCAACUAACAACAUAUCUAUCAUGACAACUGAAAUUGAACAGUUUUGUUGUUUUAAAAAAAAAUCAAACAUCAUAAAGUUCCUUGACUUGAAAAACCAAAAAAAACAAAUCCAAAACCAAUAGACUGAAACAAAUUAACUUUGUUAAUAUAACUAUUUUAAAAAAAAUAGAGUGAACCAAUAAAAAGAACAUAGAUAAUAUCAUUGGCAGAACAUGGAUUCAACUUGCGCUAAUCUUCCCCCUUUGACAGAAUAACUGAUCUUACUAGUAUAAAGAAAGUCCCACAGCAAUAAUAUAGCAAAUCAGGGAAAAUUUCUUGAAGUUAAAAACAGUCAGUAUCCUAAGGGGUCAGCCAAUCAAAAAAAAAUUUCUUAGUGUCAGAAGCUUACAAAGGAAUAAAGUUAGUGAAAAAAGACGGCAUAGAUUAAAGAAAAAAAUUAUACUGAACAGCAUCCCUAGACCAAAACCAAACACUCAUCCAAACGAAAUCUUAAAAAUAAAAUCUAAUUUCACAGAUAUUAAAAAAAUAGAAACUCCAAUAAGAAGAGUAGCGAUGAAAAUAGCCUGAGACUCAAGGACGAUAGUCUCACAUUUACCUUCCUUUACCAUUUGUACAAAUUUCACUCUCUCCCUCCCUCUGUUGACAUGUCCAAAUCAAACCAGUUCCAGUGGCAAAUGGAUGCAGCGGUUGCAAUACCCGGCAAGUGCACUCAUGCCAUCCAAGCUGCCUUGCCAUUACAACCUUCAAUAUAGAGUCCUCUAAAUAUGAGAAGAGUCAAACUAGCUAGCUGUGAGCACCAUUCAGUCUAAACUGAUUUACCAAACAAAACUAACUCAUUGCCAUUAAUUUGAUUAAUUUUACUAGAAAUUUGGUUCAGCUUAGUUUCAUUAAUUGACUGGAAAAAACCGAAACAAACAAAAUUCCUUGAAUUUUCAAUAAUUUGAUAAGUAAUAGUCUUUAGGUCGUGAGAAAAUAAUUAAAAAAUUUAACAAGCACUACCGCUAGAGUAAAGAGUUAGGAUAAGAUUAAUCAUAUUUAUAUGGGUAAACUUCAAAUACCACCCCUGUGGUUCCGCACUUUCUCACUUUUGUACAAUGUGGUUUAAAGUGUAUCAAGUUAGUGUCCUGUGGUUUCAUUUUUAUCUUUUCGUCAGCUUUUCCGUUAAUAUUUCGUUAAAUUAUAUACAAAAAAAACUUCAGAUACCCCACCUAGAUUUAUCGAAUAUUCACUUUAGUACCCUUUAGUUUUAACUUUGUCACUAAUUUAACGAAAAAAUUAGUGGAAUUAAUAAUGAAAAGAUAAAAAUGAAACCACAGGGUACUAAAGUGAGAAAGUGUGAAACUACAGGGGCGGUAUUUGAAGUUUUCCCUAUUUAUAUUUAUGUUUUGACAGUUUUAUGUAUAUUGGCCUAAAUGAAAGUUUGUAAACCUUACGGCUGUCUAGCUAAAAAAAAAAAAAAAAAAAAAAACCAUAACCCUCUUUGGGAGAUCAAAUAGCAAAAAGAACCUCAAACAACGAUUAACAAAAAUGGAGAAAUUCCACAAAUAAAACAGAUUAAAGAGAAUUGGGAGGGAUUGAACAAAGGUAGGCUCAGAUUCGCCUUUGAUCCAUCACAUGAAGAGAUCUCCCUCUCCUUUUCCUCUCCUCUUGCUCAAAUCCUUCGAGGACUAUGACUGCAGCGGUUGCACUGAAGCCAUCCAAGCUUAUUGCCGUCAUAAUCCAUUUAAUUUGGGAUCAGGAAUGAGCACAACGAGAAAAAAGAGUUUAGUUUAGAGAUCACCCAUCAAUCAGUGAUAUGCCAUCACCAGCUCCAAUUGCUUGGAUACAAACCAAUGGCUAUUGCGAUCAUCAUCACCUGCUUAUAGAUGCAAAAGUUUGUCUGCAUUCACAGAGAGCAGCUGUAUGCAUUCACAGAGAGCAGCAGAAGAAGUACGCAUUCACAGAGAGCAGCAGCAGCAGCAGAAGAAGAAGAAGAAGAAGAAGAAGAAGAAUAUGCAUGCACUCACAGAGAGGAGGAGGAGGAGGAGCAGCAGCAGCAGCAGCAGAAGAAAGAAAAAGGGUUUAGAAACAAAAAAACACAAGUUCAAACCACAUUACGAGGGGCAUAAAUCACCCACCACUCAACAAAGAACCAUCAGCUACACAAGAAGCAACAAUUCCGCAGAGCUCCUGGUAGAAAUAAGGAAGGUUUGAAGCAGGGAAAGCAAAUCCCUGCCCAGAUGCACUUGUCUACCACACCCAAAGAAUUACAGGCUUGUUCUGUUGGAUAAAUUGCACCACUAGUCCCCAAACUUUUAGCCAAGUUUCAUUUUGGUCCUCAAAUUUCAUGUUGGAUACUAGAUAUCCGAAAAUUUUGGUACAUUAUUUUCACUCAUUAGCACAUUAUUUUCAGUCAUUAGCCUCAUCUUUUGCUAGAGGAAAAUUUAUUGCCUGCACCAGGUGCAUCCAAACAUUCACGCACCAAGCAUCCAUCGGCUCUCAAUCUCAUCCAGGAGACAAAGGCACAAUGAUGCAGGUGCUUAAUGAUGCACAAUUUCUCAUGCACAUAUACCAGCCAAGCUUGCGUAACUUCAUAACCUUCUAGCACCCAAGAGAAGAAAAAAGCAUCACACACACACAAUGAGAAUGAGAGAGAGAGAGAGAGCGAGAGAGAGAGAGGGGAAGUCUUGAAAUCUAAAAGCAAGCCUAGAGGCCUUAGAAUUUAACUGCUGACAUUUAACUUUUAAGGCCUCUAGACAGGGGUGUAAACGAGCCGAGCUUUAGCGAGCUUAUCUCAGCUCAAGCUUGGCUUAAAAUUAAUUUCAAGCCUAAACUUAGGCUCAAGCUCACCUUGAAAUUAAUUCGGGCCUUGCUGGAGAGAGCGUAACUUCAAAUCGAGCGAGCUCGAGCCCUAAACGAGCCACUUGAAAUUCUUAACAUCAUACAAUCUAUAAUUUAAUUUUUGUAAAACAAUAUCUAAAUUUGAUACAAAAAUAUGUCUAAUAGUUCAACAUAUAAAAUAAAUGCAUGAAUACGGUAUUAUAAUAUUAAGAAAAGUAAUUUAGGGGAAGUGACUGGGCGAGCAAGUGAAAGAGAGGGAGAGGGAGUAAUUAAAGCAAGGUUUUGCUGGUUUGGUUUUGCGGGUCAACAAAUAUGCCCAAUAACCUAAACUCUAUAUACAUAUAAUUAAAAUACAUAAUAUAUAAUUAUAUAUUUAUAAAUACUUUUAAUAUAUAUAUAUAUAUAUAUAUAUAUAUAUAUAUAUAUAUAUAUUCGAGCUUUUCGAGCCUAUUCAAGCGAGCCCAGCAAUACUCAAGCUUGGCUUGAAAUCAAUUGAGUUUUUUUUCUCUUCAAGCUCAGCUCAAUUAAUUUCGAGUCGAGCUCGAGCGAGCUAAAUACCGAGCCGAACAUGAGCCGAACACGAGCCGAACACGAGCUGAAUUUUUAACGAGCCAGCUCGUGUUCGAGCUGACCCCAGCUCGCUCGUGUUCAGCUCGUUGACACCCCUAAUAGUGUGAAGCAGAGAAAGCAAGUCCUUGCCAAGAUGCAUUUGUCUGCCAUUCGAAAAGCAUUACACCUCUUUUUUUAGGUAAAUUGCACUAUUAGCCCCCAAAACUUUCACUCAAGUUUCCAUUUGGUCCUCGAAUUUCCAAGCUGACUAUUAGAUACCCGAAACUUCAGCCAUUAGCCUCAUAUUUGUUGAAGAAAAAGUUAUUCCCUUCACCCAGUGUAUCCGUACAUUCAUGCGCCUUGCAUCCAUCAACUCUCAACCUCAUACAGGAGGCUGAGGAACAAUGGCGCAGGUGCAUGCUAUGGCACAAUUUCUCAUGCAUGUAAACCAGCCAACCUUACGGAGUUCAUACCCCUCCAGCACAUGAGAAGAACAAAACACACACACACACACACACACACACACACACACACAGAUAGAUAGAUAGAUAGAGAGAGAGAGAGACAGAGAGACAGAGAGAGAGACUUGAACAUUCGAGAGGGCCUUAUAACGCCAUCCCUUUCACUCAAUUUUCGGGGCCUUCUACUUUGCCCUCCUGUUUAGUUUUACCUGGAAGUAAUAAGAAGAGUUACGGCAGAUAUUCAAUAUAAGUACCUUGCAUUAAUUAUUGAAUAAGAAUGCAUAUAGAACCUUACAAAACUCUGAAUUUCCUCAAGUUUUAGAAACCAUAUCUAAAACACUCACUUGCAUAUGUAAUUGAAAUACCAUUCAAUAUAUCAACCACAACACUAUAUUCCAAUAAUCAAAUAAUUAUAUAACCUAUCUAAAAUGCCAUAACCUUGUAUACAAACCCUCAAAAGAUAGGCUUAAAUCGUGAAUUUCACUUCAUAGCGAUGUUGUCCCCUAUCCUCCCUACCCCCCAAUCGAGGCUUUCCUUUAAAACUAUGAUCCACAACCAACAAAAGUGAUAAGUUGAGCAUUAAGCACUAUUUGUCGACAUAUUGGAGGAUAUACACCAUCAGAAACUAGUGAUCAAGUGAAAAUAACACGGUCAAACAAAACCCUUGAUUUGAAAGAAUCUUUGUACUUCUAGACAAGCUAACAAAUUAACAAGAACAACGCUACUCGUAGACCCAAAAGUUUGAUGAAAAAUCUUAAGCUCUCUCUAUCCAAGGGUUUACACGCCCCUUUUCACCUUUCAAUAUUAAAAAACAAAAUUAUUUUUUUCUUAAUUAUUAUUUUUUGAACAAAAAUUUUGAAAACGAAAGCAUUACUUUUCUCAAAAACAUAUUUUUUUUGAAAAAAAAAAACUUUUUUGAAGAACCAAACAUACGGAAAAAAAAAUACUAAUCUAGCAAGAAAAUUAUUUUCCGGAAUAUUUUUUCGAAAAACAAACACCAUCUAAGAGGAGAUAAUGACUGGGGGGGAGAGGGAGGCUCAGAUUCGCCUUUGGUCGCUCACUUCCUAGGGCUACAAAUGGCUAUAGCGGUUGCAACAAAUGCCAUCCAAGCUCUUCCUCGCCAUUAUAGCCCCUUCGAAGUGGGAUCCAAAGAGCUUCAUGAGAAGAAGAGAAGGGUUUAAGCUUCGAGAUUUACCCACUGAAUCAGUGCAAUACGCCAUAUCGCGAUCAUCAUCGCCUCCCAUUGUUGUGGAUGUGAUAUGCAUGAGUGUGUGGAUCGGAGAAGAAGAAGAAGAAGCAGCAGCAGCAGAGAAAGAGAGUUUUGAGUGGGGAAACGAAGAUGCAGAAGAUGAUAGUUAGUUAAUUCGGAUUCGGCAAAAAAUUCGGUACGGGUAUAACCCGGAUAAAAUUCGUCUUCUAAUUUUUAAAUAAAAAUUCGUUGAAAAAUACAGCUAAAAAACAGAUUCAUCAAUUAUUCGAAUACAUGAUUUAUACGGAUAUUACACGUUCACCAAUUAAAAAUUCGGGAUAAAAAAUUCGGCUAUUAAACUAAGUUUUUUUCUCUCAAGAUUUAUGCUAUUAGCCAAAAAAAAAAAAAAAAGUAACUAGAAUGUAAUAGAAGAGAUUAUAACCCUCUUUAAUUCUCUCCCUCUCUCUCUAUAUACAUAUAUAUAAAACUCACCGAAACGAUGAAAGGGGAAAAUUAUUAUUUCAUGUAUGCUGUAGAGAUUAAAGAUAAAAAAGAAGUAAUGAAUCUUAAUAAAUGCAUAUUCACAAUGAUGUUGUUACUCAAAACCAUACAAUCAGUAAUUAAGAGAAGAUGAAAUAAAGGAAAGAGAGAGAGAAACUAAAGCAUAAAAAUUUCUUGUAAAGAACCACCCGAUUACUGAUCCAUCGUUGGAGAGAAGAGGCGACGAGGAGGGUUUCGAUUUCUGAAGAGUGAAGAACCCGAUCUUCGAUGUGGCCCCGCGGGGGCUUCCGAUGGCAUUCGGCGAGCGGCCGAAAGGGAAGAUUGGGAGGGGAAGGGAUGGGGACUAGGGUCGGUGGCAGGGCGGCAGGGGUGAGAAGUUAGGGCAAAACUUUUUGAUCGAGUGAUAUGAUAUUUUUUUCUGAAUUUUCGGAAAAAAUACGAAUAGGGAUGUUUUAUUCAUUUUUUUCAAAAAUUCGCGAAUAAUUUAUUCGCGAAUUAUUCACGAAUUAACUAACAUACACCAUCAGAAACUAGUGAUCAAAUGAAAAUAACACGGUCAAGCAAAACCCUUGAUUUGAAAGAAUCUUUGUAAUUCUAGACAAGCUAACAAAUUAACAAGAACAACGCUACUCGUAGACCCAAAAGUUUGAUGAAAAUCCUUAUGCUCUCUCCACCCAAGGGUUUACACGCCCCUUGUCACCUUUCAAUGUUAAAAGACCAAAAAAAAAUUCUUAAUUAUUAUUUUUUGAACAAAAAUUUUGAAAACGAAAGCAUUACUUUUCUCAAGAACAUAUUUUUUUGAAAAAUAUAUAUAUACUUUUUUGAAGAACCAAACAUACGAAAAAAAAAAAAAUACUAAUCUAGCGAGAAAAUUAUUUUCCGGAAUAUUUUUUCGAAAAACAAACACCAUCUAAGAGGAGAUAAUGACUGGGGGGGAGAGGGACGCUCAGAUUCGCCUUUGGUGGCUCACUUCCUAGGGCUACAAAUGGCUACAGCGGUUGCAACAAAUGCCAUCCAAGCUCUUCCUCGCCAUUAUAGCCCCUUCGAAGUGGGAUCCAAAGAGAUUCAUGAGAAGAAGAAGAAGGGCAAGGGUUUAAGCUUCGAGAUUUACCCACUGAAUCAGUGCAAUACGCCAUAUCGCGAUCAUCAUCGCCCCCCAUUGUUGUGGAUGCGAUGUGCAUGAGUGUGUGUGGAUCGGAGAAGAAGAAGAAGAAGCAGCAGAGAAAGAGAGUUUGGGUGGGGGGAACGAAGAUGCAGAAGAUAAUGGUAGAGGCGAAGAUUCUAGAGAGAGCUUCUUUCUUUAUUGGAUUCCAUAAAGAAAGUGAACAGAGUGGAGGCGGUCUCUUCUAUGUAGCAGUUACACAGCAUCGCUUUUGUCGCAAGCCAAUUAAAUUUUUUACAAAUAAAAUAAAAGAUAAGAUAUAUUUAUAAAAAGGGAUAAUUAUAUAGGACUCCUUCAAAAAUCCUAUUAUCCUAUCAAAAAUUUCGACAAUCAUGAAUUAAAAAAUAACUAAUCAUAAUUAAUUAAAAGAUAAAUUAAUUUUUUAAUAUAUAUAUAUAUAUAGUCCGGCUGGAAUACUAUCGAUAGUACCAAGGGAUAGUACCAAGGAUUUAGUACUAUCGAAUUUUCUACCGUUAAAUUUAACCCUUGAUAAUUUUUACCCAUCAGAUUAUACUAUUCAACCAACAACUCACUCAACCUUAAGGGACCCAUAUCAUCCUAACAACACAUUUCUCAAUUCAAAGGCUAAAAAAUUAAUAGCAUCAAUAGCUUAGUGCUAUUAAUAGUAUUCCGGUCUAGUUUUAUAUAUAUAUAUAUAUAUAUAUAUAUAUAUAUAUAUAUAUAUAUAUAUAAUUNGUUAAAAGACAAAAAAAAAAUUCUUAAUUAUUAUUUUUUGAACAAAAAUUUUGAAAACGAAAGCAUUACUUUUCUCAAAAACAUAUUUUUUUGAAAAAAAUAUAUAUACUUUUUUGAAGAACCAAACAUACGAAAAAAAAAAAAAAAUACUAAUCUAGCGAGAAAAUUAUUUUCCGGAAUAUAUUUUCGAAAAACAAGCACCAUCUAAGAGGAGGCUCAAAUUCCCCUUUGGUCGCUCCCUUUGGUCGCUCACUUCCUAGGGCUACAAAUGGCUACAGCGGUUGCAACAAAUGCCAUCCAAGCUCUUCCUCGCCAUUAUAGCCCCUUCGAAGUGGGAUCCAAAGAGCUUCAUGAGAAGAAGAAGAAGGACAAGGGUUUAAGCUUCGAGAUUUACCCACUGAAUCAGUGCAAUACGCCAUAUCGCGAUCAUCAUCGUCUCCCAUUGUUGUGGAUGCGAUGUGCAUGAGUGUAUGUGGAUCGGAGAAGAAGAAGAAGCAGCAGCAGAGAAAGAGAGUUUGAGUGGGGGGAACGAAGAUGCAGAAGAUAAUGGCAGAGGCGAAGAUUCUAGAGAGAGCUUCUUUCUUUAUUGGAUUCCAUAAAGAAAGUGAGAGGAGGCGGUCUCUUCUAUGUAGCAGUUACACAGCAUCGCUUUUGUCGCAGGCCAAUUAAAUUUUUUACAAAUAAAAUAAAAGAUAAGAUAUAUUUAUAAAAAGGGAUAAUUAUAUAGGACUCCUUCAAAAAUCCUAUUAUCCUAUCAAAAAUUUCGACAAUCAUGAAUUAAAAAAUAACUAAUCAUAAUUAAUUAAAAGAUAAAUUAAUUUUUUAAUAUAUAUAUAUAUAUAGUCCGGCUGAAAUACUAUCGAUAGUACCAAGGGAUAGUACCAAGGAUUUAGUACUAUCGAAUUUUCUACCGUUAAAUUUAACCCUUGAUAAUUUUUACCCAUCAGAUUAUACUAUUCAACUAACAACUCACUCAACCCUAAGGGGCCCAUAUCAUCCUAACAACACAUUUCUCAAUUCAAAGGCUAAAAAAUUAAUAGCAUCAAUAGCUUAGUGCUAUUGAUAGUAUUCCGGUCUAAUUUUAUAUAUAUAUAUAUAUAUAUAUAAUUUAUAUUUUCUUUCUAACUCCCUUCUCUUUAACCAUAGUGAUAGUAAAAUUUACGGCGACAGCAACAGCGAAGGCAAGACCCUUGGUCGGAGCAAAAAUAAAAUACACUACACGUACCGUGACGAAGGCAAGGAAAGAAAAAAAAAAUAUAACUUUUUAUAAAGAUAAAUUUGUAAGAAUAAAAUAAUUAUUUUACAAAUCCACCGUUAGAAAACUAAAAGUGAAUCCAACGGAGAGACAAAUAUGAAUGAAUUAAAACUUUUUGAGAGAGAUUUUUUAAAUCAAAAAAUUUUCAAAAGGACAAAUUUGAUUAUUUAAGUUUUGUAUAAAUUUAUCAAUCAUUUGAUAUAUUUACAAAGAGUUUAAUGAAAUUAAUCCUUAUAAAAAACCUAUAUAAGGGCGGGUGUACUCAACAAGCAAAGAUUAAUUAGCUAGAAACAUAAAGAUGGAAAAAAAAAAAUUAAAAAAAAAUAGAACACGGCAGUAGCACCACAUAAAGAUGUGGUUUUCAACAUAACAGUUGCACAACUUCAUCUGUAUCUCUAGCCAAUAAAUGUCUUUUAAAAAUAAAAGUAUAAUAAUAAGCUGCAGCGUUUGGUUAGAGGAUAGAAAUAGAAAUAAGCCCUUAUCCCCUUUUCUACCCAAACGCUAAUUUUUUAUCCAAAAAUAGUAGUUCUCGAUUAUCCCUACCAACACCUUCAUUUUCUAUAUAAAACUACUUAAUAUUUUUCUUAUUUCCGGAAACAAUUCAAUUUUCAUUCAAACGCUAUUUUUCUUAUCCCUAUAUUUGUACCUAUUUCUGUAAUAACUAGUUCUUACUUAUACCCGAACCAAACGGUACCUAAAGUACAAAAACCCAUUAAUGGGUCAGUGAACAAUAAAAGCGUAAUUUAAUUAAUUGAGAACAUGAUGAUAUAAGAAAGAGUGUAGAAUGCGUUCAACUGAUUGAGAACAUAUGAUACACAAGAAAAAGUGUAGAAUGUGACGGUGACACCACAGGUCUUUUAGAUAGCAAUUAUACCACAUCUUAUCUCUAUCCCUCGGUUAUUGACUUGGCCAGUAGCAAGAGCAAGAUUUACCUUGGCACUCAAAUAAAGCUUGAGUUACUGCAGAAAAUCGCUAUUUCCCGUCCCACUUUCCGGCGAAACAAAUAUGCCCUAAGCCCUUUCCUUCGGCCAAAUAAAAUGAACUCUGCAGGGAAAAUAGCACCAACAACAUCUAAGACUCAGGAUAUCCACCAGUCGACUUCAAGGCAGCUUUUGCAAAAUCAGACACUUUGACUUUAAAAUUUGAAUAUGUCGACUAUCUUUACUAAUAUAGUUCACGCAAUCGUCACAACUAUAAAUUCAUUAAAAUAAAUAGAUUAAAUUUUAAAGGCAGUCAAAGUAACAACGACCGACUUGAAUCAAACAAAUUGAAAAAUCUAGUAAAAUUAAAAUUUUAAAAGAUUAGUUAACUAAUUCAAAAUGAUACAUAGUUCAGAUAAGUUCGGUAAGAUUUUACCAAAAUGGAAAAUAAAGAAGGCUCGGAUUUGGCGAUGAAUGAAAUAUCAUGAAUUGCAGAAACUUCCACUGCAAGGUCAGUAUCAGGAAAGCCAAGUGCAUAAGAAGUACGGAUACACUGCAGGCAUGUGGGUAGGUGUACAGGGAGCAUCGCUCAACGAACUAAAGAUGGCGGCAAAUGGUCACCUGCAAAGAAGAUGGCCGGCCAAAAACUCGCAGCGCCAAGCAUGCUUAAGCCUCAAAAGACAGGAGAGAAUGGCAGAAACCUGCACAAAAAAGCAUCAAAACUCAAAAUUCAAUGAGUCUGUACACCAAAUCAUGCAAACCAGUUUAGUAUCUGGUUGUUUGGGCCAAAAUCAUCAUAGCCUCAAAAAGAACAGAAAAGAAUCGGCACACAACACAAUUGCGCAAGAUCCGGAAAAAACCAAAAAUGAAAUGGAGGGAGAGUAUUAGUUAGUAGUUCUCUGGCUUCAUUGGGAAUUGCGGGCCAAAUGCAUUACAUGCGACGGAAAAAAAUUCCAUUUGCUUUUGCAAAUGAUGCCACAUUGAGCAAAUCACAAGGCUCUAUUAACAGAUAAUGUUUGCACUGUGCUAGUUACCCUCAGUAAACUUGUAGCAUAGGAGGCUCAGAUUCAGCCAACUAUCAGUCAUGAAAUUUGCCAAGCUCACUUAAAAAAAAAAAAGAAGAAGAAUUAAAUAGGAACAUUUGUCUAAAAACAUCAAAACCAAAUACUUACAUCACAAAAGCUAAGCUGCCUUCAACCGCAUGCUCGAAAUAUUUUCCCUCCUCAGAAAGUGACCAAAGCAUGCUUACUUUGAUUUACAGGCACGUUUGGUUCAAAAUAGGAAUCGAUCGAAAUCAAAAUAUGAAUGGAAAUGGACUGAAAUAUAAAAAGGAAUGAUAAAAACUGCUAAUUUGUUUGUUUGAUAAGAGAAAUAAGAUUCAGAAUCAGAAUCAUAUUCAAUUUGAAAUACAAAAAAAUGCUAUCCAAAUUCGUAAUUAAAAUUUGAAACAAAAUUUGAACUUAAAAUUUAAAUUUACUAUUCAAAUUCAAGUUCAAAGUCAAAAUCUAAAUUUUGAACCAAAUUCAAAUAUCAAACUUAUAUUCAAAAUUAAAUUUGAACUAAAGAACUUAAAAUUUUAAAUUUAAAUUCCUAAGCCAGAUUCAAAUUUAAAGUAUAGAUUAAUAUUUGAAUUUAAAUUAUUAUUAGUGAAAAAAAUAUUCUUUUCUCAAUUCCUUCCGGAAUCAAAGAUGAUUCCUAACUCCUUAGUGGGGAUCAUUUUUUCGUUUUUCGUUCCCCUGGAAAUAAAAAACGAGAUGCCAAUCCCUCAAACCAAACACCACCAAUAGGAAUGGAUCUUUCCAAUUCUUAUUCCCAGCCGCAAAUCCUUCAAACCAAACAUGCCCUAAGAGCAAUGCUAUAUUAGCACCAGCUCUUACAGAGGAAAACCAGAUAAAGAAAACUGUGACAAACAACCAUUCCAGAGGCCGCAAAUAGUUGCCUGCAGAGGAGCAGGCCAUCCAAUUUUGCCUGGCCAUCAUGUAAGUUCCUCAGCAGGAGGUCCGCAGCUGAUGUGGAGCAUGACCAUGAAACAAUUUCUUAAAGAGAAGCAAAAGGACUCCAAAGAAACCAGCAAUCAAAUCCCUAAAGACCAAGCUAUGAACUCAGAAACAAAUCACAAAGUCUUUGUCCCAAUUAGGGAAAAGAUCCCAGCUGGGAAAGAGCAAGAUCAUCACAGCCUCUUGAAGCACAUAGAAAAAGAACUGUUGAUAAGAAGAGGUUUUCCGGAAGCUUAGGCUAAAAAGGUUGAGAACCCAUGGUGUAAUUUAUCCCUUCUUCAAGGAGCACAAAGUAUCCCUUUGCAAUCAAAUUGAUGAUUAGACCACGUGUUAAAUACACGACAAAGGCACUAACUAUUACUGCAAUAACCAUAUAUACUCUCUUUCUCUCUCACCCGCUCCUGUUGAGCCCACAGAUGGCCAUAACGAUUGCAAACUGAACAGAUUCACCUCAUCAACUGUGUUUCAACCUCAACAGCAGAAAGGUACAAGUCAACGACCAGACCAGAACAAAUAGAUAAAAGAAUUGGCUAUUUGCAGGCCUCAUAUUUCCCACGGCAUGGCAAUUCUCAAAAUUUAAAAUCAAACCAUAAAACAAAUCUUCAAAAUCAGGCAAAGUUGGGAACUAUUAUCAAAUUUAUUUGCAAGAAAAUUGAUAAUAUCCUCUCCUCAGAAAGGGAGGGAAAAGAGAAAGAAAGAAAGAAAGAAAGAAACACUAACAAUAAGGACUUCAAUCAUGAACUUUCAAAAUGCAAUUCAAUCUACCUGUCACGAAAUAACAAGGAUGCCCACCCGACAUUCAGGGACACAAAAGUGAGCCAAACACAUGCGAGAGCUAAGCUUAUAUCAAGACUGACUGGAUACUCAACGCGCCAAUUGAGCAGACCAUUGUUGAGCAAAGUGUCAAGCCAAACACAAGCUGUUCGUUAACAAAGAGCUCAAUCGAGAGGCCAACUCAGACGAAACGGUUGUCCACUGAACAGCAAACUGUCCAAAUUCCACCAGCCAAGUAAAUCAGUGUCAAAAGCAGAAUGUAUGACUGACAAGACUUGCCUGAAGAAAUAUACAAAAGAACAGAAUGCAAAAAUGCCUUGUAUCAAUUUUAUAGUAUAAUAACAUGCCAGGCCCAGAUUGGAUUGGGUUGGGUUCAGGUGGGGUUGAAUUUGGUUGGCUUUGUAUUGGAUUAGAUAUCAACCUUCACCCACUCUAUAAUGGUGUACAGUUGAGGUUCCACAAUCCUAACCCACACCGAUUUCCAAAUCAUACAAUCCAAUCCAACCCAUUCGAUCAGAUUGGGUCAGGCAGGCUCUGGCCAAACCCAACCAAAGUUGUACGUCAAAAGGACUUGAAGAAAGGCUCAGAAUAGCCCGUGUCAGACAUGAAAAUAAAUAGAUAAUUUUACAGGAACAUAUAUGCAGAAAAUCUGAAGAAAGGACAGACAUGGAAAGGGAUGGCUAUCCGCCAGACAAGCCCAACUUGUUAGGGUAAAUCACCCUUAUUCAUCACUCUUGGCUUAAAAACCUGAAGCAAAUGGCCCUUAUUCAUCACUCUUGGCUUAGAAACCUGAAGCAAAUGGCUGCCCGAAUAGAAACAGACCAGCCAAAAUUUCCCUGCCAGAGUACAAGAACCUUAGUAAGGGUGUGUUUGGUUUCAUGUAAAACUUUGAAAAAAAAAUUUCGAUGGAAAAAAAUUUUUGUAGGAAAAUAAUCUUAUGCUGUAGUGUUUGGUUUGUCGGAAAAAAAAAAAAAAGUUUUCCAUUACGGUUGUCUGGUCGAAAGGAAAAAAAGGAAAAGUUAUAAAUAGAAAACUAUUAUAUGUAUUUUCUUUUAUUCUAUAUAUUAUAUAUUAUUAAUAUAUAAUAAUUAUCAUAUUAUAUAUAUUAGUAUUAUAGUUUAUAUUUAUAAAUAAAACAUAUUAAAAUAUAUUAUAAAAUAAGUAUAUAAUAUAAUAUAUGACAGUAUAUAUAUUUAAUACUAUAAAAUAAAUUACUAUAUAUUUAUAAAUAAAAUAUUAUAUAAUAAUAUAUUUAUAUAAAAAUGAAAUAUUAUAUAUAUAAUAUAUAUAAUGAAUGAGGGGGAGAGAGAGAGAGUAGGUCCAUGGGUGGACUCUCUCACACGGUCCACGAGGUCAAGUUCACCUCAUGGACCGCGUGCUAAAGCACCCAUGAGCCGCUUUUUUUUUUUUCAGAUCCAAGUUUUCGUUUUCCGCUCGAACAGCGCGAAAAACGAAAACGCCCACUUCUCCGAAAAUCUGUAAAAUUUUUACGAGCAACCAAACAUCGGAAAAUUAUUUUUCCAGCGAAAUUUUUUUUUUCAGGAUCCUUUUACAACGAUCCAAACACACCCUAAACAAAAUUAAAAGAACGGGUUAAUUUCUUCAAUGCCCUCCUGAAAUAUUGUAAAUUUGUAAUUUCAUAAAUAACCCUUCAAAUUGUAAAAUAUCAUCAGUGCUCUUAUAAUAAAUUAAAAAGUUUAGGGUUAAGGCUUUGGGUUUGGGGUUUAGAGGGGUUUGUGAUAGAUUUAUAUGUUUAGAGAAGUAUGAAUGAUAUUUGAGUGUAGCUACUAUAAUAUCAAUAAUACUAAGCGCUUGGUGCUAGCAAGUUUUCCACCGUUAGAUAUACCCUUUGACUAUUGUCAUCCGUUAGAUCAUACUAUUCAACCAACCACCUACUCAAUCCUAGGGAAACACUAUCAUCCUAACCGCACAUCCUUUCACUCAAGGGCCGAAAACCUAAUAGCAUCAAUGAUUUGGUGCUAUUAAUAGAAUAGUAGCCUAGUUCAUGAUAUUUUAGAUUUUGAAGGGGCAUGUAUGAUAUUUUGAAGUUUUAGAGGUCUAUGUUUAAAACUACCCCAAGAAGAAAAGUGCGAACAACAAGGUCUGAAAUCUGAAUCACAUAUUAGGUAAAUAUCAUUUGAGAGAGCUAAAAUCAUCAUCGCCUACAAAAGGGUAACCAAUAUAUACUAGUACAUAAUGUACUUACACAUGAUGAACCUGUAGAAGUAUUGAAAGGGGAGAGACUUCUCAUUUUGCUGCUUAUCCAAUUGGUUUGCCAUCGCUUGCAAGGAGCGGAUUUUCUGCAGCAUUGGGUGCACAAAAUCCCUCCAUCCUUGGUAUGCUACAGCUCCCACCAACUGCUCCAUAAAAACACCAGGUGAAGAAAGUUACGCAAGACACUCUUUCGAGAAGAAUAUAUGACCAAAUAUACCAUGUCAUUUGUGAACCACGCCAGACAAAAUCAAGCAGAUGACAUCAAACGUGUAAGUUCCUGCUAGGACAAGGGCUACCAUGCCAUUCCUUUGAAGAUGAGUAGUCUGCAAAAAACAUUCUAGAUUCAAUCAAGAGAAUUACCCAAUCAACCACUACUUCAUGAAUUACCAGUGAAGGGCCAGCGCAAUUCAGUAGGAAGUGACUAAUUAGUGGUUCAGCCAACCACCAUCUUAGGUAAAUGAGUAAUUAGUAGCAUUCCUGAUAUCUGCAAACGAAAGAGUGGGAGCAAAUGGCCAUCUGUAGCAGAGUAGACCAGCCAAAAUGUGCUUCACCAUUGUACUAGAAUCUCAGAGAGAGAGAGAGAGAGAGAGAGAGAGGUGUACAACCGAACCUAACCGAACCAAGAGGUGUAGAACCAAGGAUUUAAAUAUCCAUCAGCACGAACCGUAUCCACCGUGUCGUAUCGUGCUAACAAGAUAUCGGCACAAUACAGCCCCCUUGCCAAUGGCACAGCUCAAAACCCUCUAUUCUUUCAGUUAGUAAGUAAUUUUCUCAAUAAUGUUUAAAAGAUUUGAUAAAGAUACAUAAUAAACAUUUAGAAUAUUUUGUUUCUAAAGAAAAUAAAUAUAUCAUGCGAUUAUGUGUAGGCACAUGUAUUUUUUUUAUCAGCAUGCAUCGACACGGCCUGGCACGCACUAUAUCAUACCGUGUCGGUAAGUUUCCGGCACGACCCCAUGCCAUGCUACUUAAAUCCUUGUGUAGAACCGAACUGAACAGAACCGAACCGAACCAAACCGAACAGUUUAGUUUAGAAAUUUGUUAAAGACCGAAUAGUACCGAAUAGUGCACAACCCUAGUACUGCAAAUAAAUAAAGAAUCAGUACCCUAACCAAUAUUUUUCAAAUCCCAGUUAAAAGAUCUAAAAGAACAAAACUUCAUCACAAAUCUGGAAAAUAUCCCUUCAGCGGGCCAAAAUUAUUAUUGCCGCAAAAGAAAGGAAAAGAAAUGAAAAAGUUACUCAACAGAAACAAACAUAAAUUAGGUAAAAAAGUAUGGAGACCCCCCUCAAAUCUAGGCAUUUCUACUAAAGGUCCCUAAACUUCAAAUUUUCUCAUUGACACCCCCUCAACUUUCACUUGUUUUGAUUUACACUAUUUUUGACAAUUGACUUGGGUAUUUUGUGAAUUUAUCAGUAAUUCCACCAAAUUUCAAGGUUCUAACUACUUUUCAGCUAAAGUAGCACAGACUUCAAUAUUAAUCAACAACCAACAGCAAAAGAAGCCAUUAAUUUUUAACAAAAUUCUCCAUUUAAUUAACCAAAACAACUCAAAUCCAAACAAACAAAAUUUGAAAGGGUGUCAGUCACAGAAAGAUGGAUAUCAAUAAAACCAGUUAAACUGUAGAAAAGAGUAGGCAGCUUCAGUAACCCAAAACAUCAGAACCAGUCCAGAAUAGAAUCAAUCAAAGAAGUAUAGGAAAUUAUAAACAAAGGCAAAAAAAAAAGCAACAAAAAUAAAUAACUCAAAACGUCAAUAUGGAAUCGGAACAAAACCGUAAAUCUAACACCCUUAAAAGAAAGAGAGGACAAUUUGAACAAACAAGCCAUUAACAUCAUGCCAAAUUUAAGUUCUAAGCAAAAUUCCUAAUUAUUAAGACCACAAUUGCAAUCAAAAAAAUAAGAGGAUUAAUUAACCAAAAAAACGCAUAGCAAAAAGCCAACUGAAUAUCUCAGUAGAGUAAAAGUAUUGAUUGCUAGACUAGGCCAGAUGGAACAGCAAAGGCUCAGCUUGGCCCACCUAUCUCAGACAUCAGAAUAGUAAAGCCCUCAAACAACGGAGCUAUAAAAUAGUUGUAAAAAGGGAUAAAUCACCACACAUUUUCACCUCCCCCUAUCUGCUGGCCAAAAACUGUGGAUGCAAUUGGUUGCCCACCAAGAAAUGGGCCUGCCAAAAUUUGCAUUGCCGCCACAGUUGAAUCUCAAUAGAUGAAGAGUAGAGAAGAGAAAACAAAUAAAGCAUCAAAACUCAAACCCUGAACCUAAAUCCAAUCACCCACGAUCUGAACCAAAAUUGUGUAAGGCCUAGUUUGGUUAUGUGGCGGCGAAAUGCACCUUUAGGUGCCAAAGUCAUCAUUGCCUUCAAGAGAAAGAAAAAGAGAAGAAGAUGGUAUCCAGUAGCAGUAGCAGCAGCAAAGAAAAUCAAGCAAGAAAAAAGGCUUGUGAUAAUCUUGACAUACAGACAGAGGGGGCAGCCUUUACAAACUUCCACUCUCUUAUCCAUGACAAGUGAUUAUAACAAUCUGAAGAUAAGUCUUCGGGAGACAUUACAAUGUAAUUUGACAGAGUUCUAAUAGGAAAGAGUUAACUGCUCCAUUUGUCCCCAACCUUAAGCAGAGUUUUCACUUUUGUCCCCAACUUUAAAGAGUUUUCAUAGUGGUUCCCAGCCUUUUAAUUUUUGCAAUCGAGUCUCAGCGUUUAUUAGUUGUUUCAAUCAAGUCCUUCCUGUCAAAAAGGCCCAUUAGCUGUCAUGAAGAUUGCGAUGGCAAAGUUUUGUACCAAGCAAGCAUGAUUUGGUGUUGACAUAGCAAAUUCCAUCCAAGUUAACGAGCAUUUCUGUGGAUAAAAUGUUAGAUACCCAACUGCAAAGAUUAAAAGGUUGAGGACUAAAACUUGGAUAAAGGUCGGGACCAACAGUGAAAUUAACCCAAGAAGAAAUUACUCUCUGGACCUGGUCCACCAUGUCAACCGUGUACAGCCAAUGUUUAAAAAACAGGUUCAACCAGGAAAAUAUCAGUUAAGAUACAUAAUGCAUGCCCCAUUGGAGGGCGAAUUAGCCUCUGGUUGAUCAAGUAAAGAAAAUUCCACCCCCUCUCAUCUUCUCCAUUCCAAGUCCCUCCUACGGGCUGAUGGCAGCGGCAGUUGUGACAGAACCUUCUAAGCUUCCUUGGCAUCAAAAUAUUCCAUAUACAAAUCAAAGAUUAGAGAAGGGAUAAGUGAAUGUUUACCAUAAUGGCUGAUAUAAUAGCACGCGAAAUAGAUGCUGCCUUUUACUGCAAAAACAGUCUGCUCUCUCUCCCCCUGUUAGGGAUAAUAUCUAAUAUAACCCCUCAAAACUUCUGAAAUAUCUUAUAUACCCCCAUUUUUUCGUUUCAUAUAUACCCCGUGUAAAUUUUUCCGUUAUUCAAAAAUAACCCCGCUGUUAAUACCCGUUUAGUCAUCUCAGGUCAAAUCCAGAUUAAAUUUCUACUAGAGUUAAAAAGAAGUCAAAAACCUCUUUUGCCCCUAACUAAAGGGCAAAUAAGAAAGUUGGUGACGAUAGAAGGGUAUAUUUAAAAAGGCAAAAAGUCCAAAUACUUUUUUUGCCCCUAACUUAACAACAAAUAAGAAAAGUUUGUGACAGUAGAAGGGUAUAUUUGAAAAGACAAUAAUAAUUCACAGAGAUAAUGGUUGUUCCUAACAGUUUUAUUGACAAAAUUUAACUCUAAAGAUAUAUUUGAUAUAACUUGGAACGUUAGAAGUGUAUUUUUAAUAUUAGCCUUCUAAGAGGGGUAAAUGAGAAAGUCGGAAACUUUUCAGGAGUAUAUAAGCAAUUGCCCCCUCUAUUAUAUGCCUCUCCCCCUCUUACUGCUGGCUCCACAGACAGCUGCAAAUGGUUGAUUGGUUCUCCAUUUAAGAAUGCACGGUCCAAAUUUCACCGUGCCAACUAUAUAAGAUGCUCAGCAGAGGAGUACAGCUGGAAAGAAUAGCCUUUAGGGCUGAUAACUGAGAUCGCUGAUCAUGAACUGUUAAUUAAGAUCGCAAAUCAUAAACAGUUCUUGUUAGGCCGAAACGUGGCUCAGAAACAGCUAGCUUCAUUAGCUUGUUUAAUUAAACAAGGUCAUUACCCUAACUUGCUCAUGUUAAAUUGGCCACACGCUGCAGGUUGUAAAAAGAAUCCACUAAUCAGCAGACCGACCCAGCACAAAGUAAUUCUCUGUAUUUUCUCAAAAAAAAAUAAUAGUUUUUAAAUUGUGCAAAACUGUUAAAGUUGGAAACUAAAGAUCAUCAGUCAUAUUUGCAGACCAAAUCAUCACUAUCAGAGAACUUGAAAAAAAGGUCAAAUCAUGAGCUUUCAAAUUUUCAAUAUAUGCUCAAUACACUACUUGCAAAAGUAAGAAUGCAAAUUGCAAAUCCACCAUCCAGGAAUCCACAUAAAUUUCAACAGAGCAAACUCUUUUAGGAUAUCACCUAAACGACAAGAUCACAACACAUUGGGUAUCACAGAAGAAGCCGAGUAUAAAAUAAAUAACAACACCGCAAUGUACCCAAGAAACAGCUUACUUAGUUUAGAAUAAAUAAAUAAAUAAAAAUACUUGAUGUCCCAGAAGGAAAGAGAUCAGCAGAUUUGUUGAUUCAUAAGACGGCAAUUACAAGGCAAAAAAUAAAGGGCCAGUUCCUGCCAUCCAACCAAACGCAAAAAGUCAGAUGGCUACAGCAUGGUUGCCGUGGGGCCAUCCAUGCUGCCAUGCCAUCAGAACCUACACUACAUGAAUCUGAUAAAAGAAAAUAGUGCGAAGCAAGUAUUACUGUAAGACCAGAUAUUGGACAACAUAUAAAAGAUGCAAUUUUUCACGGCAACAACAACCCUCUGAAUCUCCCACCGCCCUCCACUCUUGCUGGCCUCACAGAUCGAGACAAAUGGUUGCCUACUCAAGAAUGGACCAUCCGAAUUUCACCUUGGCAGCUGUAUUAGAACCUCAUCAACAGAGUACGAGGGGGUAGAGCUGGCAGUAGGCUUGUUAAUUGAGCUCCGCCACACAUGAAGAGCCAAAAUUUGCCUUGCCACUUAAAAGGCAGAGAUGCAAUUUCCAAACCACAGGUUAACAAAGGGAAAAUGCACUAAACCACAGGGUGAUAUUUGAAGUGUAUUAAAUUUUAGGGCUGUUUUCACUUUCUACACCAUUCUAUUGUUUUUGCCCAAGAGAAAAGAUAUCCCUACGCGCCCCUCAAAAAUUUUCCACUUUUUCCUGAGAAUACGUUUUCAAUUGCUCUACAUGUAACCAAACAUCUCAAUUGACAGCAUUCAAUUGAGAUGGACCAGGUGGCACUUCCGGCGUUCAAUCUGCUACUCAAAAAGAUAAGAUUUGGUAAUUUACACCAUUGGUCACUGAACUUAUCAUGAAACUUCACUUGGGUAACAUAACCAAUUUCAAAACUAAGGCAAGAAUGUACAAAGAGCCCUCAACCAUAAGCCAUUUUGAUCAAAUAACAGAAUUCAUGCACCUCUUUUCUCCAAGUCAGAUCCCUCCUGACAGUGAAUGGCUGCAGCAGUAAGCAUUCUCGCUAUCCAGGCUACCAUGCCAUAUAGACCUUCAGUAAGGGACCAGAUGAGAAGAUAAGGGUUCUCUUAGGAGAUAACAAAUAUCGUUAAUAGGGUUGGCAAUCCAGCUUGCAGUUUGCGAGCCAACUUGUGUUCGGCUCGAAAUGAGCUGGAGAUCGAUCGCUCGUUUAUAGGGUUGGCAAUCCAGCUUGCAGUUUGCGAGCCAGCUUGUGUUCGGCUCGAAAUGAGCUGGAGAUCGAUCGCUCGUUUAAACGAGCCGAACACAAACUAAAUUUUUCAGCUCAAAAUCUUAAUGAGCCAAAUUCAAGCUAGGGUCAGCUCGCUUGUGUUUGGCUCGAUAUAGUUCGAAUUAAUAAAUAUUACAAAGUUUUACCAUUUGGAUUUUAGGCCAACCCAAAUGCAAAAAGAACUAUAUUAGAGAAUUUCAAUUACUAGAAUAAUAUUCCAAGUUUUCAAUCUUUCAACUUUUCACCCAGUAGUAGGGCUAACAAUCUUGCUUGUUGUUUCAACUCAUGUUCGGCUCGUUAAUAAGCAAGCCGAACACGAGCUGGAUUUUUCAGCUCGAUAUUGUAACGACCGAACUCGUGUUUGUCUCGUUUAAUAAACAAGCGAACACGAGCCGGCCCCAGCUCGCUCAUGUUCGGCUCGUUGACACCCCUAAUCGCUAACAAGAAAAGAGAUCUUCUCUCCUCUCAUCUUGGCAAAAUCAAAUCCCCACUAAUGGCUGCAGCAGUUGCCACGAGGCUGAUCAUGCUGCCUUGCCACCAAAACCUCCAGCACAAGAUAUGGAUAGAAAAGAAAGCUAAAAAUGUAUGGAGACUCCCUCAACUAUAGGCCUUUUUGGGAUAGGAACCCCAAUAUUCACGAAAGACCAGCACCUGUUCGAAAUGCCUAAAAGCAAUUAGACACAAUGGCAGUCCAAUCAACAUUGUCAUCAUCCACUAAAAACUGUUUCUCACAGCUUGAAUGAGCAUCAAAUGGCUUUAAUAGCUUCAAGGGCUUAAUGAUCAGACCUCGAAUGAGCUUUCAUUUUAGAAGGAUGGGGAUCGAAUGAGCUUUCAUUGAAAUGGAUGGGGCAGGCCUUCAUCCACUACACAAAAAGAUGGGACGGUAAAUUGCACCAUUGGUCACUAACCUUGUCAAGAAACUUUACUCGGGUAACACACCCAUUUUCCAAAUGAGUAAAUAUAUACAAGGUCCCCAAUCUGUUACCCAAGUUUCAAUUGAAUCCCUAUCCUUCUAAUUGUUGCAAUUAGAUCCUUAACCUCCUCUAAUUGUUUCAAUUGGGUCCUUUCCAUUGUAAUCUCCAGUAAUUUGAAUGGACAUUGCCACUUCAGCUACCACGUAGCAUGGAUAAAUUUUGAACACUUGGUGUCUAGGAAUGGAUUUUCAAAAUUCAUAAUUGUUGAUACAUAAGCUCUUUAAAUAUUGUAAAGAUGCGAUGAAUAAAGUGUACGUAUACAAGAAGAAGAAAAAAAAAGGUUAUAUAAGAUCAUAGACCUGGUUCAACCGGUUAGGGCAUUGGAAAGGUGGUGUGGCAAACAUUGUUUGAUGACGCAGAGAUUUUGAUGAAAAAGAACCAUUUAAACCAUCUAGGAAAGGUUUACUUAAUUGCAACAAUCAGAAGGUUAGGAACACCACUGAAACUUGGAAAAAAGGUUAAGGACCUUCUAUGUAAUUUACCCUUUUCUAAAUUAAAGGCAAAAAUGUACAAAGAGCCCCUCAACUUUCCGCAUUUUUUAUUGGUCAAGUAAACUGAACUCGCCCCCCUCUCUUCUCCAAGUCCUCCAGAGGGUGAAUGGUUGCAACAGUUGCAUUCUAGCCAUCAAUGUUGCCAUGCCAUAAAAACCCUCAACAGAGGAUCUAAAAAUAAAAUAGAUCAGUAAGAGAAAAUGCUACAAAUUAAAACACAAUGAAGAAGACAUGGAGAGUGGGGGAAAGGAAAGCUAAGAUUCGCCUUAGACAAUUUCAUAUCGAGAUGUCCCACUGGUCAAAAGGAUAUCCUUAUCUGGGGAUAAUGGCUGCAGCAGUUGCCAUAAGGCCAACCAUGCUACCUUGCCACCAGAACCUCACACAAGAUCUGGAAGGGGUUAAAAAAAGUUAAAAAUGUAGAGAGAACCCCUCAACUAUAGGCCACUUUGGAACAGAAGUCCCAAGAUUGAAAAUAUCCCAUCAACUAUUCCAAAUGCCCAAGGGCACAAUACCAGUCCAAUCACCAUUGUCACCUUUCAAUACAUAGACCUAACAACAAAGGAUUUAUGAAUGGUGGCAUGGCAAAGGUGCAAGUGGAAGAGCAGCCAAAGAGAGGAGGGUUUUGGUACUUUUCCCUUUCCUUUUGUUUUUUUUUUUUUUUUUUUUGAGAGAGAAAGAUAGGUAGCAUGCUACCCGUUUCGUUUAUUUCAUUUAGAAAUAAACUUAGCUGGAAAAUAUGAACCAACUAGAAUUCGAACUUGAAUCUCGGAUACCAACCACCAAGUCCUUUGCCACUUGCUCUAGGGACGGUCAGUAAUGUUGUCGUUUGUUAAUACUUGCAGAUAUAUCUCUGCUCCAGUUUUGUACAUGAUAUAUACCCAGAUUGAUCAGUUUCUAAUUAGUUAGCACUGUUCUUUAAACUAAUUUAUUACUGCUCUUGACAGGAUAAGAUGUACGUAAUUUAGAAGCGCUUAGAAUUUUAUGAUACGAUUAAUACUAAACAGAGCAACUCGCGCAAACAGACACAAUUCUUAUUAAAGCAUGCAUGUCUCUACUUAGCAGUGUUGAUCCCUCUCCUUUUUACAUUUCAAUCUUAUUUCUUUCGGAUUGAGGCUUACAAAUAACUAGCUAACUAGCUAAAUUCCGGAGUUUUUGGACUACUAAGCCCACAAAAUUUUUGAAUAUAAAAAUAGACAUUUAAAAUUUUUAUUUAUAAAAAUAAGCUGUUAAAAGCGGUGAAUCAUUUAUUAUUUUUUAAAAACGAUGAAUAAUUCACCACCUUUAUCCUAAUUUAUAUAUUUCUUAUCUCCANGGGUGAACACACAAUGCAUCAAAAUCAUAGGCAUACACGCCAAAUCCAACUUUCCAAUAUUAAAACCAACAAUUCUGCACCACAAGGAAAAUAUACCCGGAGAGGGCCAAAAUCAUCGUUGCCUCAAAAGAAAGAAAAGGAAGAAAAGUAGAAUCGUCCAGUAGCAGCAUCAAAGAAGGAAAAAAAAAAAAAAAGGGGACCCUGAAAUGAACUUAAAAUGGAGAAUGACAGGGCAGCACUAUUGACCUUCCAUUCCUUACAAAGAACACCACCUUAGUGUUAGCGUCCUUUUGGCCAAGCUCUUCUGGUAUGCUUCCAAUUGCGGUUAUCUUUAGAAAAGCGUUCAACACAAAUUUAGAAGCUUUUGUUCAGCUGGAAGCUGAAUUGAGAGAAACAGCAUCUUUUUCUUUCUAUUUUUCUUUUCUCUUCUUUUCUUUUUUGUGUGCAUGUGUUGAGGGAAAUUGCAGCAGGCGUGGUGUUAGUGCCCUUCUGAACUACACUAAAAUAGCACUCCAUGCAGCAGAACUACACCCGACAGCAGCCAAAACAGACCCUAACUCUUCAAUAGCCUUCAACGUACCACUCAUAUCGAUUGGCCUGUUUGCGCUGAAAGAGCUUCGGCAGAAGUGUGUCAUUAGUAGAACUGCUCAAAAAGGCACUAACAGCACAAUAAGGGCAUGUUUGGUUCAAAAUCGGAAUCAAAAUCGAAAUACAAACGGGAAUAGACCGGAAUCAAAAAAGGAAUGAUGAAAACUCUGAAUUUGUUUGGUUCAUAAGAGGAAUAGGAAUCAAAAUCAUGUUCAAAUUGAAAUUCAUAAAAUUUAAAUUUUAAAUAAAAUGUAAAUUCACAAUCCAAAUUUGUAAUCAAAAUUUGAAUCCAAAAAUGAACUCACAAUUUGAACUUAACAUUUAAAUUUACAAUUUAAAUUCAAGUUCAAAGUCACAAUUAAAUUUAGAACUAAAUUCAAAUAUCAAACUUAUAAUAGAAUUUAAAUUUGAACUUAAAAAAUUAAAAAUUAAUAUUUUGAGUCGAUAAAUUCAAAUUCAAUUUAAAGUUACAAUUUAUUCUACAAUUAACUAUAGAUUAAUAUUUGAAUUUAAAUAAUUGUUAGUGAAAAAUAAGGAGUUCUUUUCUCGAUCCCUUUCGGAAUCAAAGUUGAUUCUCACCUCCAUGGUGGGAAUCAUUUUGUAGGGAUUCGAUUCCCCCCGGAAUGGGAAUCGGAAUGUGAAUCCCUCAAACCAAGCAACAACAAUAGGUAUGGAUCAGUGCGAUUCUCAUUCCAAGCCUCCAAUCCUCAAAAUAAACAUGUCCUAAAUGUAAAUGAACUUCUAGAAGGAGCACUUUAAAGGACAAAGUAUUACCUUGACCUGGUCCAUCACAUUAAUUCGUGAACCUUAUCAGCUAAUGCAAUAAAGAGAAAUUCUUCCUUGAACCUGGUCUGCCUUGCAGUAGAUUUGCUACUUGGCAAUGCCAACAAAGUCAAAAAUAUAACAAUUGGAGUAGAGCAGGAAGAAAAGGCUUCAAUAACAACAAUAACCCAAUAAAGGCAAAUCCAGGAAUAUCAAAAACUAAAGGGAAAUCCAGGAAUAUAACAAUCCCAAAAACUAAAGGGAAAUCCAGGAAUAUCGAAAGAAUACAAUAAAGGCAUGAAGAAACAAAGCUUGAAAAGUAACUUACAGAUAUGAAGCCCAAACAAUAAGAACACCAAAAACAGAAAUGACUCAAAAGCAGUAAAUAUCAGCGGAAGUACAGGUUAACCUGAUGCUAAAGUGUAGGUUUCAAACUUCGGAAGGCAAAAUGCAACUCAUGAAAUUUAUAAGGGUUUCCUGCACUACAAUUCAAUAAUAUCGACUACAAAUAAAUCACACUAAAGAAAUCAAUGGCUUGAGAGAGAGAGAGAGAGAGAGAGAGAGAGAGACAAUUGAACUAUUGAAGAGGCAAACCCUUCAGCAAUUUUCUGCAACCAUUUAAUAGCUAAAAUUACAUUCCUAAUAGCUACUAUUUUCUGCAAUCCUUCUGAAAUCUGACUUAUUUGGAAAGUAACACAAGGCAUUAAAAAUCUCACUAAAAGAUGCAAAACUCUAUCCGCAAUAACACCAUAUACUAAGCAAACUCGUAUGUGGCAAAUAACAGUAAAAUUAGUAAGUUGACAAAGCACACUGAAGGAAAUAAGGAGAGGUUAGGAAAAGGGGAACAAAUAUUUUACUGGGGAGCCUCAAUGCAGAAAGACAGCCUAGUCCAUGGUCCAAGCAUCAAGUCCCCUCCAAAGGCAAAUAACCGCUGCGGUUGCCAUUAGGCCAUCCAAGCUGCCUUUCUAUCAAAACAUUUAUUGCUGGAUUGAGAAAAAAAAAAAAAAAAAAAAAAACUCAAAGAAAAGAUAAGUAUCCCUGUCAGAGAUUUCCCCAUUAAUCUUCAUCAGUACCUUUCAGAUCAAAACAAAGACUACAAAGAAAAGAAAUGAUUUUAAUGUGCAAAUUGAACACAGGAGGAAGCAGACCCUUGCUAAGGACACCCAUUCCUCCAAAGUAGAGAAAUUAUUGCAUGCACUGGGGUACAUAGAUCAUGAUCUCCGAAAAUUUGCAAACCUAGAAGCCUCUUUCAUCAGAGAGAGAGAGAGAGAGAGAGAGAGAGAGGGAGAGGAAGAAAUAAAGAAGGCACACACAUGCAUGCACACUAGGGGUGGAAACGAACCGAGCUCGAGCGAGCUUACCUCGGCUCAAAUUCGGCUUGAAAUUAAUUUCGAGCCCAAAUUUAAGCUCAAGCUUGGAUUGAAAUUAAUUCGAGCCGAGCUCGAGCGAGCCUAAUUUCAAGUCGAGCGAGCUCGAGCCCUAAACAAGCCGCUUGAAUUUCGAACAUAUAUAUAAUAGUUUAAUUUGUAUAAAAUAUUAUCUAUAAUUUGAUACAAAAAUAUGUCUAAUAGUUCAAAGUACAAAAUAAUUAUAUGAAAUAUAGUAUUAUAUAUAUGAAAAUAAAAAUUAUGAAUUGAAUAUCUAAUUUUUUCAGUCUCACAUGUCUUUUCUUCGCCUCAAUCUCUAUAUUAUUCAUUUUUAUUUAUGCAGUCAAAAAUAAAUAAAUUAUAUAGAUAAAUAUUAAAUUAAACUAUCCUAAUCAUAUAUAAUAAAAUUAAAAUUUUAUAUGAAUAAUAAUUUUUUACUUUAAAAAUAUCUUGUAUAUUUUCUCAAGCAUACAAUUAAUAGCAAGGUAGGCAACGGCGGCAUAUAUGUUAUUGUAACUUAGAGGUUCCGGCUUGGCCACUUAGGGUGAGAGACAGAAAAAGAAAGAAGAAACAUAUUGAAAAUUUAGAGCUCUGUGAAAGAAAGAAAAAAAAAAUAUUUAGUAAAAUUUUGCUCUUUUAUUUGUCUAUUAAGUUUGUUUUUAUGGGCCAACAACAUUAGCCCAAUUUUAACUAAACUCAGAUUAUUCACUCAGCCUAUAUAUAAUUAAAAUAUAUUAUAAUUAUAUAUUUUUUAAUAUAUAUAUAUAGAGUGUAGAACUACUAUACUAUCGAAAAUAUAGAGGAUUUGAUGUUUUUGAAUUUUUCACCCUUUGAUUAAAAAUUGUAUGGUCAGGAUGAUUGCGGUCUCCCUUAGGAUUAAAUAAUACUCUUAGGAUUGAGUGGUCCCUACAAGGUAAUAAUAAUAUUAAUCCAAAGAUAAGAAACGAUUAAAGAGAUUGAUCUAAGAAUCAAAAAAUCAAAAGCACCAUAUCUCUAUACUUUCGAUAUAGCAUAGUAGCUCUACUAUAUAUAUAUAUUCGAGCUUUUCGAGCUUUUCGAGCCUAAUUCGACGAGCCGAGUAAAACUCAAGCUCGGCUUGAAAUGAAUUUCGAACCUUUUUUUUGUUCAAGCUCAGCUCAUUUAAUUUCGAGUCGAGCUCGAGCAAGCCAAAUAUCGAGUUGAACGCGAGUCGAACGCGAGCCGGCUCGCUCAUUUGCCAGCGCUAAUGCACACAGGGGCGCGCACGAGCACACUUGAUGAGAAAAGAUGAUUGAGCAAGGGAGUAGGCAAGCAGUUUUGCAAGAGGAGAUGGUCAAGGGAGCAGAGCUGCAGAGGCAAAGCCUUUCUAAGAAAACCCACUCCUCUGACUAGAGAGACUACUUACUUCGUUUUGGAGAAAUUAUUACAUGCACCCAGUGCACCAUCCAAUGCCUGAAUCUGAUCAGCCAUGCUUUAAGUCGAAUUCACUACCUGGCAAUGCCGACACAGUUCAAUGCACAUCGAUGAUUACGACAAUGAAAAAGAAGAGGGAUAUCAACUAUCUCAGUAGAACAGGGAGAGGAAGUAUGAGGAAAUGACUUCAAUAACAACAGUAAUCAACAAAUAAUGAUCCAUAAAAAAGUACGGGGAAACACAGGAAUAUCAAAAAAAAGGAAAAAAAAAGAUAAAUGAAGAAACCAGCUUGAAAUCUCAGUAGCAUAAUAAAAACAUGCAUUCCUCCCAAGUCUGGGAGACUACCUACUUCAUUUUAGGUGCACUAGAAUGCUAAUGCUAUGAGAGGCUAAUUACACUUAUGUGUGGGUUGCACCACUGCAAAAGCCCCUAACAACAUCAAACAGGAAAAUUACUCAAAAGUGGCAAAUAUAAUUAAAAAUAGAAGCUAAUAAAGCACAUUGAAGGAGAUAAGGAGAGAUUGGGCAAAGAGAGGCUUAGAUUUGCCAUUGAUCAAUCAAGCAAAGAGAUUACCCUCUCUUCUAUUUGACCAAAUGAAACCCCUCUGGGCAGCAAACGGCCGCAGCGGUUGCCGAUAGGCCAUUCACGCCGCCUAGCCACCAAAACCUUCACUGCAGGAACCGAAAACAGCUCAAAGAGAACAGAAGGGUCCCAAUUAGAGACUAGCACAUCAAUCUUCAUCAAUGCCUUACAGAUUAACAUAGAAACUACAAAUUGAGAAGAGAAAGGGUUUUCAAGAGCAAACUGUGCAACAGAGGAGGCAAACCCUCUCCAAAAUCACCCGUUCCUCUGCAAUACCACAGUGUAUAUACCAGGAUCUCCAAACCUAGAGGCGUUAAGUGCAAAUCAUCUGAUUCGCAUAAAACCGAAGGGCACAAUGAUGCUCUGGUUCAUCAUCAACACCUCUAAGUUUAACAAAUAAACUUCACCGCUGCUGCCGCCGCCGCCUAAGAAUAAGAAGGGUUUUACAGAAAGGGUUUUAUAGUCCAAAUUCAGCAAGAAAGGAACCAAAUCCUUUCCAAGAACACAGAUUCCUCCAUAAUAUCACAUAAUUCACCUACAUUUGCAAAAGGAUUGCUUGCACCACCGCCUAAACUCUGCAAGAGCUCAAACCCAAAGGCCCUGAAGAGAGCAAUGAUGCUUCAACUCAUCGUCAAAACAUUUCACAUCAACAAAUAGAGUAUGAAGAAGACAAAGAUUAAGGGUUUUAGAACCGUGCACCAGAGUCUAUACACCAGGACCUCCGAAAACUCGACUCUAGAGUCCCCGAUGAGCACGACGACAAUGCUUCAAUUCAUCACUAACACCUCUCAAUUUAACAAAAAGACUGUGAAAUAGAAGAACAAGAAGAAGAGAAAGGACUUUAGAUUGCGGAUUGAGAAAGGGAGGAGGCAAACCCUUCGUGAGAUAAUCGAUCGAGCAUGAGAGGAGGCAAAGCCCUUACGCUAACACCCAUUUCUCCCGCGAGAAACCAUUACAUGCGGCGUGGCGUAUACAUCGGGAUCCGAGAACGCAAACCCUAGAGACCCCGAGAAGCACGAUGAUGCUUCGAUCCAUCGCCAUCGCCAUCGCCAUCGCCAUCGCGACCAAGAGGAGAGCGAGAGAGGAGCGGAGAGAGAAAGAGAGAGAAUGUGGGAUGAGAAGGAGGAGGAGGAGGAGGUGGAAGCGAGAGGUUUCGAGAGUGUGAAGUGGGGAAGGGAGGAGGAGACGACGAGGCGAGAAGGAAAAGAGUGGAGACUAGCUUUUGUCUGACGACCACAGGCCACUUCUCCCGAUUCCCGGGGUUUUUUUUUUUUUUUUUUUGGUUGGAUAAACUUCGAUAUAGUUUUGUAUUUUCUUAUAUUAAUACUCUAUAAUUUAAAAUAAAUUAAUUUAAUACUUUAGAAUUUUAUUUUUUUCUUUUCAUCAGAUAUUUUGGUAACUUUUCGUUAAAUUAUCUAUAAAAAAUUUCAGAUAUUAUAUCCAUAGUUUUUCGAAUAUUCACUUUAGUAUCAUUUAAUUUAACUUUAUCUCUGAUUUAACAAAACAAAAUUAAUGAAGGAGAUAAUUAAAAAAAUAAUAAAACUGCAUGGUACAAAAUUGAUAGAUUUUAAACCACAAGGUAACAUGUUUGUUUGGGUGGAAGUGGGGUGGAAGUGGAGAGGAGAGAAGUCGUUUUCGCCCUAAACGGCCACUUCCGUUGUUUGGUUCGCCGUAAAAAAGUUACGGUCGAAAUUCGAGUUAACCUGAAACGGCGUAAUUAACUUCGCCCCAUCGUGGGCCGAAGUCAAUUAUAGUGAAGAGAGGUAAAGAAAAAUUAAUAAAAUAAUAUAAUAGAUAAAGAUAGUUAUAUUUAAAUAUACUUAAUUAUGUUACUAAUUAUUUUUUUAUUCAGUUAAUAUAUCUAAAAUAUGAUAAAAAUUGAUUAGUUAUGUUUUAAUAUUUUCUUUAUUUAGUUUGUAUAUUUAAAAUAUGAUAAAAGUUGAUUAAUUAAGUAUUAAUAUUUUUUUACUUUAUAAUUUUAUUAUUGUAUUACUAUAAUUUAUAUAUAAAAAAAUAUUUAGUUGUUUUAAUUAAAUUUUAAUUAUAUAAAAAUAUACUUAUAUUAUUUUAUUUAUUAAAAAUUUAUUAUUUAUAUAUAAAUUAUACUUUACAUCAUACACUUCCUACCAAUAGGUGCUGGAAUACUAUAUACUAAAACGCUCUUUUGCUAUCAAGUUUUUAACCCUUGAUGAUAAAAUUGUAUGGUCAGGAUGAUUUAGUUGGUUUAGAGUUGAGUGGUCCCCUAGGGUUGAGUGGUCCCCACUGGGUUAUAGUAUUAAUUCCAAUGGUUAGAAAUAAUGAAAAGAGUUGACCAAAGGCUAAAAAUUGGUAGCAACAAUGGGAUUUUGCUACUAUAAUAGUAACCCAGUCAAUCUCUACUAAUAAUAUCAUUCAUUCAACUUUAAUGGAAUGAAAUCACAGCCGUACAAUUUUUAUUUAUCUUUAAAUUAUCAUAAAUAUAUUAAUUCUUAGUCUUCGUCUAAUCCAAUGACUGACGAAUUAAGUAUCUGUCACUUUUUUUACCUAAAUUGCCCUUAGAAAGUACGUAUUAAAUACUUUUUUAUAUGUGUGUCAUAUCUCCUAAUAACCCGCCGCCAACAUAAUAUCAUAUUUAUCACAAAUAAUAUUCGCAUUUCUUAAAUAUUUUCAUUCUCGACACGUAAUAUCUCACACCUACACUUAUAUAUUCCAUCACAUAAUACCUUCCGCAUAUAUAAUAUUUAAUCAUAUUUUUUUAAAAGUGAAUAUAUAAAAAUUAUCUCAAUUUUACCUACUAAUAUUUAAAAUAUGAGAUAUUUUUUCAAUAAAAUAUAACAUAUAAAUUUACAAUUUAAAAUUUUAAAUUUGUAGUAAAUAUGAUUCACAAAUUGAUAUUGAUUUGAGAUAAUUAUUAAAAUAAUUGUUGACACAGACAUACCCUUUUUUAGUCGGAAAAAAUAUUGUAUUCUAUUUGCAAGAAUAGAAAGAAAUUUAUAUUUAUCUAAAUUUUUGUCAACCGAAAGAUAUUUGCGCGUCCUAUAAAAUAAUAUUCCAUACUUACCAAAAAAACGAAAAUCUCUAUGCAACAAACAUUGAAAAUAUUUUGUAUCUACUAUUUCUCAAUUAGCUAACUAAAAAAAUUAGAUUUGAAAAAAUAAUUUAAAUAAGCUUAUAAAAUCAACUUUAAAUUUUAAAUUUUGUUCAUAAUUUCAAAUGUGAAUUAAUAUUUAAUUCAAAAUUUGAAAUUAAUUAAAUUUUCAAUAUUUUGGGUGUGUAAACAGUAUUUCAAAUUAAAAAUAAUUAAUUAACUUGAAAAUAUAUCAAAUUUUGGGAUGAUAAAUAAAUUAAUGUCUUUAAUAAUUAUUUAUAUUCAAAUUAUGGAUUCAAAAUUAAUUUCAAAUUUUGAGUUUUAUUCAUAAAUUUAAAUAUGAAUUUAUUAAUUUAAAAUUUAGAAUUACUUUAAAUUUUUAAAAUUUGGAUACAUAUUAAAAAAAAAAUUAAAAAAAAUUUAACUGAUAAAUAGAUUUAUACCAUCAAUAAUUAUUUAAAUUUAAAAUAUAAAUAUAAAUUUAAUUUAAUUAAAUGUUACGUGCAUUGCACGUGCACUAUAACUAGUAUAUAUAUGUAUAUAUGAGUACGGCUAUAUAUACCAGCACAACUCUCUCUCUCUCUCUCUCUCUAUAUAUAUAUAUAUAUAUAUAUAAGGUUCGGCUACUAUGCGAUCAAUAACACUAAACACUUGAUACUACCAAGUUUUUCGCCAUUAGAUCGACUUCUUUGGUUAUUUCCACCCGUUAGGUUAUACUAUUAAACUAACCACCAAUCAAUUCUAAGGGACCAUUAUCAUCUUUAACCGUACAUCCCUUCAUCCACUGAUCCAAGGGCCAAAAUAUUUAAUAACACCAAUGAUUUGGUAUUAUUAAUAGUAUAAUAGCAUAGUUCUAUAUAUAUACAAAAAUAAUAUUUGCUAUCUACUUUUUAUCCUUUACAUACAUAGGAUUUGUUAUUUAGUUUAUUAUUAUGAAUCCAAUGGAUGAAAUAUAGAUAGCAAAUACUAUUAAUCUACUAUCAAUAGUAUCAUAAAUAAACACUCUAUCUCUAUCACUCUCGAUAUAUACCCACCCGAUUAACUGGUAAUUUUAUAUAUAAAAAUUUAACUUUUGAAUUAAAAUUUUAUGAUAAGUAUAAAAAUGAUGAAUUCACAAGAACAAAUAAAUGAGCAAAAUAUUAUCAACAAUUUUAAAUCUAAGAUAGAACUAAAAUGAAUUACAUUAGAUAGUUUAUAAACUAAAUUAAAAUCUUAUUGGAAAUUCUGAAAUGCAAAUGUCUUACAGGGAGGAUGUGUUAAGUGCAAAAAGAAAGUACAAUAAAAAAUAUUAUGCUUGUUUUCGUAAGUUAUUUCGUUAUGCAUAUCGCAGUUGAUCGAUUAUGAUAUAUUUUUUACGAUAACACCGGAAAGCGCAAGAGUGUAUCUAUAUAUACUUUUCCUCUAACACUAUUUUAAUUAUUAGCGGUAGAUAAGCCUCAAUACCAAGCAAGCCCAAAAUCAAACUGCGAGGACCAUGAAAAAUAACUCACCUGGACUAGUAAGGGAUGCAGCCAGGAUGUAUAAGGGGCAGGCCACACCUUCUGCCCCAUUCCUUGGCGCGUCGAGGCGGAUUCAAGGCGACUUGGAUUUUCUUCCUAUUUUUUACCUCCCACUUACUACUCCAUUUCGGGCAGAUUUAGAUGGAAGCAGGUUCUUGGUGGAUCAGAACGGAUCAAAAAUGAGAAAGAGUCCUCCACAACCUGCUCCAUGUCUUAGUGGAUCUGGAAGGACUCGGGACAGAAUUUUUUUUUUUCCCUUAUUUUUGACUCUCACUUACUGCCAUAUUCGGGAUGAAUCGGCGCGAAACCUCCAUCAACCCGGAUCCAUUUGCAUCCCUAGGGACUAGGUUGGCCCAAUAACCAACCUGGACUAGUAAGGGGUGCAACCAGGAUGUAUACGGGGCGGGCCACACCUUCCGCCCCAUUUUCUUGGCGUGCCGAGGCGGAUUCGAGGCGACUUGAAUUUUUUUUCUAUUUUUUAACCCCACUUACCACUUCAUUCCGGACAGAUCUGGAUGGAAGCAGAUUCUUGGUGGAUCAGGAUGGAUCAAAAAUGAAAAAAAGUCCUCCACAAUUUGCUCCAUGUUUUAGUGGAUCGGGACGGACUGGGGAUAGAUUUUUUUUUUUAUCUUAUUUUUGACUCUCACUUACUGCCAUAUUCAGGAUGAAUCGGCGUGAAAUUUCCAUCAAUUUGGAUCCAUUUGCAUCCCUAGGGAUUGGGUUGGCCCAAUAGCCCACCCCACAAAGUAUCUCAACCCUUUAGGCCAGUAUCACUGGCAAAUGCCACAGCAUCUCAUUGAUCUCUGACAACAGUAACCACUACACUGAGACUUUGUUAGCAAUAUAUAAGGCCUGUUGGGCCCAACUUUAGCUUCUAUUGUGACAAAAGAGUUUUUUUUUUUUUUUUUUUUUUUUUCAAAAGCAAAAAAGCAAACUACAGGCUCCUAUUUAAGUGUAAAAAGAAUAAACCGGGGAUUCGCAAAAUGCUUAUCUUGAUAAUGCCAUAGUAUCCAAAUAACACUUCAUCAAAUAGUUUUACUGCUUACAACAGAGCCAAAGAUGCAUGUAAUAAAGUGCUAAAGUAAAAUCACAUCAACUAAGAACAAUUUUUGUAUUUAUAACAAUGUUGAUAUUAAAUAAUUAAAUUUAAAAAAUUUAAUAACAAAGUGGUCGUGCCGGAGUGGUUAUCGGGCAUGACUAGAAAUCAUGUGGGCUCUGCCCGCGCAGGUUCGAAUCCUGCCGACCACGUUUUUUUUUUUUUUUUUUUUUUUUUUUUUUUUUUUUUUUUUUUUUCCAGAACUUCACUUCAUUGAAUGUAACAAUUUUUACAUCUCUCCUCCCUUUUUGGAAUAUCAUUUGUGCUUUUGCGUCUUUUUAAUCUUUUACUUUAUACCCAUCAGGCUUAAUUAGUAUGUACUAAAUUUCCUUUCUGUUGAGUUUAAUUUGUAUUUUAUUAUGUUUUCUCCUCUUUCGAGGUGAUCAAAUUUAGUUGUUUAUUGAGCUUCAAUAUUAUUACUACUCCAUUAUAUUUACUUUUCUUUUCUCUUGUUUCUCCCAAACUUUGAUCCACUUCUGUAUUAUUUGUGAUUCCGUGCCUUUUUAAUCUUUUGAUUUAGGGGCUUUUGCUUUAACAUCCCUCGCUACUAUUUAAAUAUUUUAAAUUUACCUAUUUAUUUCCAAAAUGUCUUUCCAAACUCCAAAUCUUAUUAAUAAAUGCUAGGGUUAAGGAUAUUUGAAGGAAUUUUGAGAAAUCAAUAAAAAUAUUUUGGUCGGUUAAAAAAUAUAUUAUAUAUUUUUAAAGUUUUGAAAAGUACUUAAAAUAUUAUUCAUUUGUUUUAUGCCUAUAUGUUCCGCUCAAGUUCUAUUAGAAUUAUAUUCAACUGAAUUUAAUAUGAAUCCUAACCCAACAAAAAGUUUUGAAUCCAACCAAGCCAUGUUUUCUCAUGUUUUUACUUAAAUUUAAUUUAGUUUCCAUUCCAAGUGAUUCAAGGUUGUACUAUGCGGGCUGUUUGUUUUUAUGGAGUUCGGAGGUUGAACUCAUGGUUUCAAAAAAAUCGAUGGCGUCGACAUUUUUCGCUGUGUUGAGAUUCUGAGAUCACCUAAAUUUUCAUUUAGAAUUGUAGAGAGAACUACCUUCCGACUUCGAUGGGAUGGAGAGUGAAAUCAAGUUUGUGAAACCUAUGUAUUUCUUGUUUUUCAACCUUCUGCUUCUGAAGAGCAUGUGAGAUAAUUAAAUUUCGAAUUUAAAAUCUUAAGUACUAAGGGCCUGUUAAGCUUAGCUUCUGAAAAAGUGAUUUCCGAAAAAGUGAUUUUGGUUGGUAGAAGUGAUUUUGGUUAAAAGCUGUAGAGCGUUUGGCUGAGUUUAGAUAAAAGCGAUUUUUCUGAAGUGAGUUUGAAAAGCUAUUUGGCAAAAUUUUUUUAAUAUUUGCAUAAAUUAAUAUUUUUAUUAAAUUUUAUUUUAAAAUAAUUUAAAAUCUAAAUUUAAAUUUGAAUUAAAAUUAAAAAUUUUAAAUUUCAAAAUUGUAAAAAAUUUAAAAAUUUUAUAUUUUAAUUUAAAAAAUAAUUUAAAAUUUUAAAAAUUUAAAAUUUAAAAUAAUUAUGAAAUUUAAAAUUUUAUAUAAUUAAAAAUAUAUAGUUCAAAUAAAAUAAAAUUUAAAUUUAUAUGUAAAUUUGAAAUUUAAAAAAUUAAAUUAAAAAUUAAAAAUUAAAAAUUAAAAAUUUAAAAUUAAAAUUUAAAAAUAUAAAUAAUUAUAAAUUAAAAUAUAAAAUUUAAUAUUUAAAAAAUAUAUUUAAAUUAAAAUUUAAAUUUAAAAUUUAAAAUAAUUAUGAAAUUUAAAUUUCAAAUUAAAUUUAAAAUUAGAAUAUUUAAAUUAAAAUUUAAAAUUUAAAAUUUUAAAAUUUGAUUAUAAUUAAGAUUAAAAAUUAUAAUUAAAAUUUUAAAUUUAAAUUUUUAAAUUAAAUUUAAAAUCUAAAAGUCAACUUUAAAAUUUAUCUUAAAUUUGAAAUUUGAAAUUAAAAUUUAAAAAUUCAAAAAUAAAUCUGAAAAUUAAAUUUUAAAAUUAAAUUUAAAUUUAAAUAUUGAAUUUAAAAUAAAAAUAAAAAUUUGAAGUUUGAGUCCAAAAUCAGAAUCGGAUUUCAAGAAGCAGUUUUUUUCUGCUUCUGAUUCUGGGGCCUUCGAAAUCAGUUUUCUGAUUCUAAAAAAUAAAAUCAGAUUUUAAAAGUGAUGUUGCCAAACGCUCUAUUAAGCCAAAAAUUAUUUUUCAACCAAAAAACGCUUUUUAAAAGUUAAGCCAAACACCCACUAAUUAUUAUGUCUUUUGUCAUUUGUGCUAGAGACGAUAAGUUGUUAUGCUCUUUUUAUUAUUUUUAGAAUAUCAUAAAGAGUGCUGUUGCAAGUAUCUAAAAUACAUCCUGCAAUACUCGUGAUAACAUGUCAAUGUCAUUAUUAUACUUUAAAUAUUAAUUAUUAAACUCUAAAUAUCAUUAUCAAACUGUAACCAACGUUAUUAUUAUAUACCCUAAUUCUAAACCUUAAUUUUUUUCCAUGUGUUAGCCAACACAUCUAUACCACUAUACCUAUAUAUUAUUCUUUCUAAAUUUGUCAUAUGAUAAUAUUUUUUUCAUUAUUGGAUGUGGGCUCCUUUCCGAACCGACUCACGUCCUUCACAUUUUUUUUCUUUUUUUAUUUAAACCGAAUCGAAUUUUUCUCUUUAUUUACUUGAACUGAACUAAUUAUUAUUAAGCGUGAGCUUCUAUGACCCGGCUCAUAUCCUCUACAUAUUUUUCUCUUUUUUUGUUUAAAUCAAACCGAGCUUUUCUUUUUUUUUUUAUUUGAACCGAAUCAGAUCACACUUCUGUAUUGGACUGAACUGUUAUUUUUCCACUUUUUUCAACCGUUACUUUUCUUCAUAGGCAAGAUAAAUCCCACAUCUUGUCCUCACCUUUUUCAUUGCUGUUUUUUUUUUCUUUAUCUAUAUUUUUUAUUUUUUUUAAUUAUUUAUCCGUCACAUCGUAUUGUUCCCAAAGUGUGGGUCCCAAAGCAUUCUCUGUAAUAAAUUAUAUAAAAAAAAAGGACGAAGAAGCGUGGUGCAGUCUUCUUAGCAACUAGCAAGCCUAUUUUUUCCAACCGAGCAGCCGCCAAUCCGACCUGUAAAGCAGCCUGCAUUCACACGGCUUGACCGGCGUAUCAGAUCCAGUCCAGAUACAGAGGUGCAGACCAACGACUUUGAAAUCCAGCCGGUUCGGUCAAGCAGAUAAAACCAAAAUAGUCGACUGGCUUUGUCGGCGUGUGAGAGGGUACCAUUAGUCUUUUUCUAGAAUCAUGAGAGCGAUUUUCAAUCACCACACACAAGUAAAAAAUUGCUUUGGAUUCUCCGAAGAAAAUAAAUUAAUAAAGAAAAAUUUUUAAGUAUCAUUCCUGUAGUUUUGUAUUUUCUCGCUUUAAUACUAUAUGAUUUAAAGUGUAUCACUUUCGUACGUACCCUGUGUUUUUAUUUUUUAUUUUUUUUGUUAUUCCCUCCACUAAUUUUUUUGUUAAUUAAUACGCGACAAAGUUAAAACUAAAAGGUAUUAAAGUAAAUAUUCGAUAAACUAUAGAUAGGAUAUCUGAAGUUUUUUGUAUUUGAUUUAACGAAAAAUUAACGAAUGGGCUGACAAAAAAGAAAAAAAAAUGAAAUAAUAUGAUACUAAAUUAAUACACUUUAAAUCAUAGGAUAUUAAAGUAAAAAAAUAUGAAAUCACGGGAAUGGUACUUGAAGUUUACUUAUAAAUAAAUAAAUAAGUGAAAUGUUGUUUGUACAUCCAACGUAGGGGCGCAAAUUUUAGGGAUUAGGGUUCCUGUUUGAGAAUUUAAAUACUAUUUUUAAAUUUUUAAUAUUAAAAAAGAUUGAUGAGAUUUGUGCGAAAAUAUUGACCUUUAAAUGAAGAAGUUGUCAGAUUUAAUUGAACAAUUUGUUUUGAGUGUANUUAAAUUUUAAAAUCUAAAAUGUCAAAUUUUAAAAUUUAUCUUAAAUUUGAAAUUUGAAAUUUAAAAUUUAAAAUUUUAAAAUCUAAAAUUUGAGAUUUGAAAUUUAAAAUUAAAAUUUAAAAUUUAAAGUUUGAAAUCUAGUUUUCAAAUUUAAAAAUUUAAAAAUUUAAAAAUGAAUUUGAAAAUUAAAUUUUAAAUUUAAAUUUAAAUUUAAAUUUUGAAUUUAAAAUAAAAAUAAAAAUUUGAAGUUUGAGUCCAAAAUCAGAAUCGGAUUUCAAGAAGCAGUUUUUUUCUGCUUCUGAUUCUAGAGCCUUCAAAAUCAAUUUUCUGAUUCUAAAAAAUAAAAUCAGAUUUUAAAAGUGAUGUUGCCAAACGCUCUAUUAAGCCGAAAAUCACUUUUCAACCAAAAAACACUUUUAAAAAGUUAGGCAAACACCCACUAAUUGUUAUGUCUUUUGUCAUUUGUCCUAGAGACGAUAAGUUGUUAUGCUCUUUUUAUUAUUUUUAGAAUAUCAUAAAGAGUGCUGUUGCAAGUAUCUAAAAUACAUCCUGCAAUACUCGUGACAACAUGUCAAUGCCAUUAUUAUACUUUAAAUAUUAAUUAUUAAACUCUAAAUAUCAUUAUCAAACUGUAACUAACGUUAUUAUUAUAUACCCUAAUUCUAAACCUUAAUUUUUUUGCAUGUGUUAGCCAACACAGCUAUACCCUUAUACCUAUAUAUUAUUCUUUCUAAAUUUGCCAUAUGAUAACAUUCUUUUUAUUAUUAGGUGUGGGCUUCUUUCUGAACCGACUCACGGCCUUCAUAUUUUUUUUUUCUUUUUUACUUAAAUCGAAUUAAAUUUUUCUCUUUAUUUGUUUGAACUGAACUAAUUAUUGUUGAGCGUGAGCUUCUCCGACCCGGCUCAUAUCCUCUACAUAUUUUUCUCUUUUUUUGUUUAAAUCAAACCGAGCUUUUCUUAUUUUUUUUGUUUGAACCAAAUCAGAUCACACCUCUGCAUUAGGCUGAACUGUUCCUUUUCCACUUGUUUCAACCGUUAUCUUUCUUCAUAGACAAGAUGAAUCCCACCUCUUGUCAUCACCUUUUUUUUAUCGCUAUUUUUUUUUCUUUAUCUAUAUUUUUUUAUUUUUUUCUAAUUAUUUAUCCGUCACAUCGUAUUGUUCCAAAGUGUGGGUCCCAAAGCAUUCUCUGUAAUAAAUUAUAUAAAAAAAAAAGGACGAAGAAGCGUGGUGCAGUCUUCUUAGCAACUAGCAAGCCUAUUUUUUCCAACCGAGCAGCCGCCAAUCCGACCUGUAAAGCAGCCGGCAUUCACACGGCUUGACCGGCGUAUCAGAUCCAGUCCAGAUACAGAUGUGCAGACCAACGACUUUGAAAUCCAGCCGGUUCGGUCAAGCAGAUAAAACCAAAAUAGUCGACUGGCUUUGUCGGCGUGUGAGAGGGUACCGAUAGUCUUUUUCUAGAAUCAUGAGAGCGAUUUUCAAUCACCACACACAAGGAAAAAAUUGCUUUGGAUUCUCCAAAGAAAAUAAAUAAAUAAAGAAAAAUUUUCAAGUAUCAUUCCUGUAGUUUUGUAUUUUCUCGCUUUAGUACUAUGUGAUUUAAAGUGUAUCACUUUCGUACGUACCUUAUGUUUUUAUUUUUUAUUUUUUUUGUUAUUCCCUCCACUAAUUUUUUUCGUUAAAUACGCGACAAAGUUAAAACUAAAGGGUAUUAAAGUAAAUAUUCGAUAAACUAUAUGUAGAGUAUCUGAAGUUUUUUGUAUUUGAUUUAACGAAAAAUUAAUGAAUGGGCUGACAAAAAGGAAAAAAAAAAAUGAAAUAAUAUGAUACUAAAUUAAUACACUUUAAAUCAUAGGAUGUUAAAGUGAAAAAGUAUGAAAUCACGGAAAUGGUAUUUGAAGUUUACCCAUAAAUAAAUAAAUAAAUGAAAUGUUGUUUGUACAUCCAACGUAGGGGCGCAAAUUUUAGGGAUUAGGGUUCCUGUUUGAGAAUUUAAAUACUAUUCUUAAAUUUUUAAUAUUAAAAAAGAUUGAUGAGAUUUGUGCGAAAAUAUUGACCUUUAAAUGAAGAAGUUGUCAGAUUUAAUUGAACAAUUUGUUUUGAGUGUACAUAUAGUAUUUUUCAAAAUGCAACAUGGUAUCAGAGGAUCGAGGAGACUCUAAGUUCUAGUCCAAUCACACUUAUAACGUUAUUUAAUUUUUUUCAAUUUAAUUUAAGUCCACGUCUUUAGCCCAAAUCUGAAUGAGAGGAUAUUAAAGAUAAAUAAUUAUCAAAAAUAAUAAUUAUUAAAAAUAUCAUUCUUUAAUAACUUAAACUUUUGAAAAAAUGGUUAUUUCAUAUAAUUCAACAUGGUAAUCGAAUCCUUUUAAUAUUAUUAAUUUUCUCUGAUUUAAUUCAAGGCAAUCAUAAUUUAACAGUAGUGCUAUUGAAUAUAAUCUCAAAGUAAUUCUAUUAUGCUGCACAAAAUAGUGAAAAGCCUAAUUAAUCAUGAAUAAUAUAACAAUUUGAAUUGUUAAGGAAAUAGUUCUUAUAUUUUUUGUAGCAUACAUAUAGAUCCACAAUCCAAUGUUAUUUUUGUAUAGAAUAAUUGCAACAGAAAAAACCUAUUUUCCCAUAGGAUCUCCUAUAAUCUACUCUUUAUCAUCAUGUAGCCUACAUUAUAUCACCCUGUCACUUGGUCAAACUAUCAAUACUACUUAUAAAAACAAAUAAGGGCGUGUUUGGUUCGAAGUCGGAAUUGGAAUCGCAAUCGGAAUCAAAAUAAGCUGGAAUCGGAAUCGGAAUGGCUCAUUACCUAAUUCCGUUUGGUUCAUCAUCUGAAUCGGAAUCGGAAUAAAUCAUUCCUAUUGUUGGUGUUUGGUUCAGGUGGAUAUAAAUAAAAAACGUAAUCAAAUUAAUAUACGAACAUUAUCUUUAUAAUAUAUUAAUUUAAAUUCAAAUUAAAUAUUAAAUAUUAAAAAUUUACAUCAAAAUUUUUAAAUAAUAUCAAAUUUUUAAAUCUAUUUUUUUAAAAUAAAUUAAUCUUUGAAGUUGAGUGGAUAAUUCAAAAUAUGAAACUAAAAUUUUAUUUAUUCAAAUUCAAAUUUAAAAUUACAAUUUAAAUUUUAAUUUGAAUCCAUAAAUUUAAUUUAAGUUUGAAAUAAAAUUUGAAUAAACUUCAUAUAAAUUAAAAUUUAAUUUAAAUUCAAAUUCAUAAGUUAGAUUCAAAAUACUUGAUUAAAUUUUAAUUUUUAAUUUAAGUUCAAAUUAAAAUUUAAAAUUAUAUAUUUAAUUUUUAAAAUUUAACUUAUAUUUUAAUUUAAAAAGUUGAAAAAAUAAAUUUAAUCCGAAUAAAUAUCCAUUCCGUCCGGAUUCAACUUUCAAUCCGGCCUCCUAGGCCGGAUUGAAAAAAGGGAUGAUUGAGGCAUUCCCAUUCCACUCGGGAAUCGGAAUCGGAAUGGGACUCCCGCGUACCAAACACCCACAAACGGAUUCACCCAUUCCGAUUCCGAUUCCAUGGUGAAAAAGAGGCGAACCAAACACGCCCUAAAGUUAUAAAAUAAUUAAGUAUAAUUUUUAAGCUAUAUGGGAGAAAAGUAAAAAUCUAUUAAACCGCAAGGGUGCAAAUUGAAAUUUGCCAUACUCUUUACAGGAGAAGUACUACUGAUACAAGGAUGUACAUCUUACGCUCUCUUUAUUCAAGAGUCAAGACCCGUCAUUUUUUUACUUCGAGAAUCCUAAAAUAAGGAGCGUAAGAUAUGCAUGCACCCAUGUUGAGAUGUACAAAUAGAUUUAUUUUCUUUACAGUGUCGAGUGCACCAGCGGUGGUCACCAAACUUAAACUAAAUUUUUAGUUUAGUCCCAAAGCCGAUACCCGCCAUCGUCAAAGUCGUCCUCCACAUUUGCGAUCGACCAUCGCAAACCUUGCGUACGUUGCUUACUAUUUCUUUCGGUGCAUUUGGCACAUUGGCUCCACCUGGGUGAGCCCCAGAUUGACCAUAAGCUAACAGAUCAUGAACGCAGUAUGUAUGAGCGCGAGACUUCGUUGGAGUUGAUGUAACAUAUUUUGUCAAAAUGUAAUCAAAUUUGAACUAAUGGAACCUAAUUGAUUAAAUGAAAAUAAAAAAAAUAAAAUCGUACAUAGUUCAGGUGCCCAGUCUUUUAAAAUUUGGAUUUUACUUUCCAAUCUUUCAAUUUUUUUGAUUUGUGUCAGUGAACAGUAAUUUGACUUAAUUUAAAUGCGUUAUUUAUUUUUACAGACUUAGUUAGUAUAAUUCAUGCAAUUAAUUCUCGCACCUGCAAAUUUAUUAAAAUAAACAAUUAUCUUGAAUUUCAAAGUCAAAAUAUAAUCAAAAAAUUAAGUAAUAAAAUUAAAAUUUUAAACAAAAAUAUUGCUGCAAUUAAUCCUAAGCCACCGUUUGGUUCGGGAUUAAAUAAAAAUUUAUUAUUUCAGGGAUAGAGUUAAGUUCUGGAUUAAGGUGGGGUUAGAGCAAUUUUGUGUUUGGUUGAAAAUUAGGUUUAAUCCAGAUAUAAAUAAAAUAGUGUUUGAUUUUAAUAUAUGGGAUAAGAAGGAUAGUCGGUAAAAUAGUGUUUUGUUUGAUUGGAGUAGUGGGAUGAGGUAGGGUUAGCUAACCCCGCCUCCCAAAUUGAAUGUUUUGAAAUAACUUCGGGAUCAAAGAAUUAUUCCACCCUUAAUUCCGAACCAAACUGGUGCUAAAGAAAAAAUUUAACUACAGAGGCAACUGCUCCAGUUGCGGCCGCCGCGGAGUUGACCGUUGACUCGACCGCGCACAGCCUCGCGCGCACGUGCUCAGAACCCCGGGGCGGUCUUUUGGUGGGCCACCCCUUGUCGGGCCAAUUAGACACGUUCCUCCGCACGUGCGUACGACCUCCUCUUUUCCUCCUCCGCCGAAGUGACGAGUUCCACCACGCCAACGCCUUUUCGUUGCGCGGAGGAGUUAAGAAACCAAGGAGAAGUAAAAAAGGAGCACCAAAAAAAAAAAAAAAGGUCUCUCUCUAUAUAGAAGUCGGAAAUGGAGUUUACAGCGCGGAGGAAGUCGAGUUCCGCAGCCGAAGUCGCGUCGGUGACCGUCACCGCGCGCGUGGGUGGUUUACAUGCGCCGUAAAAGCUCGGAAAACCGGGGGGUCGCAGCUUGGGCUGUCAACGAUCGAGGUCCCAUAAGUGGCCAGAUACGGUGCUGCUCGUUUUCGCUCGUUUAUUAAAUAAUAAAUAAAUAAAUCGAAUGCGAGCUAAUUUGUCGAAUUAUCAAAAUAAAAAAUUUCAGUUUUCGUAGACAGUAAGUUUGAUUGUCAGUUCUGCUGCUACUGAGUGAAAAGUUGAAAAUAAGUUCAAAAAUUAAAAUUUUAAUCUAAUAAUUAAAAUUUCAAAAUAUAGGUAUCUUUUUAUUUAAAUUGGUCUAAAAUUUAAAUAAUAUAUACAUAGAGAGAACUAAGCUAUUAUACUAUUAAUAGAACUAAGCGCUUUGUGCUAUUAGGUUUUCGACCCUUAGAUGAAGAGAUAUAUAUGCGGUUAGGAAGAUAGUGAUUCCCAAUUAGAAUGAUAGUAGUCUCCUAUGAUUGAGUGGGUGGUUGAUUGAAUAGUGUGAUCUAACGGAUAUAAAUGAUCAAAUGAGUAGAUCUAACAGCGAAAAAAUUAAUAGCAAUAAGUCAUUGGUGCUAUUAGGUUUAUUAUUAUACUAUUAAUAGCACCAAGUUAUUGGUGCUAUUAGGUUUUCGACCUUUAGAUGAAAGGAUGUGCAGUUAGGAUGAUAGUGGUUUCCCAAGGUUCAGUGAAUGAUUGGUUGAUCAUCUAACAAGUGAAAAUGGUCAGAGAGGUAAAUCUAAUGGCGAAAACUCGAUAGCACCAAGCGCUUGGUGCUAUUGAUUCUCUCUCUCUCUCUCUCUCUCUCUCUCUCUAUAUAUAUAUAUAUAUUAAGCUCUUAUGCAUUUAAAAGUACCAAGUUAUUCGUGCAUGUACAUUUUUGCCAUUUGGAUUAAGAAAUGUGUGGAUGAUAGUAGUUUUUUAGGGUUGAGUGAGUGAUUAGUUAAAUAGUAUGAUCUAACGGAUAAAAAUGGUCCAAGGGAUACAUCUAACAGCCGAUCGAUGAUGUAAAUAAUAUCGAUUACUAGGUAAAUGAUAUUAAAAAUACUUAUGAUCACUAGAUAAAUGAUGUUGAAAAUCUGCAAAAAUUAUUUUUCAAAUACUUCAAAUACGCUAGAUCAAGUCUAACGGAGCCAAUUGUCAAUUCGAAAGUCCCAUCAUUGAAAGCGGCUUUAUAUCAUCCAGAACACAUGAUAAUUCUCGUGCCUCCAGAGGCAUGAGAANUAUAUAUAUAUAUAUAUAUAUAUAUAUAUAUAUAUAUAUUUGUUCGAGCUAUAUCGAGCCGAAUUUGAGUGAACUGAUUCCUUACCCGUGUUCGGCUCGCUAAGAUUUCGAACUUAAGAAAUUAGCGCAUAGUCGACUUAUUUAUUAAACGAACGAUCGCCCUCAAACUCAUUUCCUGUCGACCAUGAAUUGACUCGCAAACAGCGAGUUGAAUUGCUAGCCCUACUUUGAGACGGCGUAAAUAGCGCAUUCGUCCCUGAACUUUUAGUCAAGUUUUUUAUGUGGUUCUCGAUAUUUUGAAAAAUAUUUUAUAAGAAAUUACUGCCUACAGUUGUUGACAUUCUCAGACGCGCUCCAUCCGUCUCAUACGUCUCAAUAGUUUGAAUUUUAAGCAUGAAAAAGGUUGCAACUCUGUGGAUAAUAGGAUUGCAACAUGAUACCCUAAAUUCUAGAGAGAAUAAAUGCGCGGUGUGUGUCACUGCAACUGCUUUAAUUUUUUGGCAUUUUAUUUUUCUGCAUCAGUAAAUAAAAGAUGAAAACUAAAGAAAAAUAUAUUCUUUCACCAGAUUAUAUUUGUAAAUUGUAUUUUGUUAUAAGUUCUAGCUAAAAUUUUCUACACUUUUAUAUAUAAUCAAGUCACUCAGUACAGUAUAGUUGACUUAAAAGUGGCGUAUACAUAACUGUAAUAUGGUAGUGUUAGAAUUGAUCAUGUAGCAUUGUGUGAACUGCAGGGCAUGUCACUGUCGCAUCAACUACACAUCAUCAUUAUUCAACAAGCUAAAUUGGAAUGCGAGACUAAAUUGCUUAUAACAUUCUUGAAAAUUGAGCCAAUAAUUAUAAUAAAUUAAAGUUUGAGAAUCAAAGUGUCUUAGCGUCUUUGUUUCAUAGCUUGUCGAUGAAAAUAGUAAUUCAACUCUAUAUAUUUAUAAGAGUUAUAGGAUAUCAAAGUUUGAGAACUGAAAGUGAAACUUAGACCGAAGUUUGGGGACGGGUAGUACAAUUUAUCCAUUUGAGAAAUGAGAAUAAACAACUGACCGUCUCUAGCGCGCAAGUGGCAAAGAACUUGGUGGUUGGUAUCCGAGGUCCCAAAUUCGAAUCCUAGUUGAUUCACAUUUCUAGCUAAGCUUAUUUCUAAAUGAAAUAAACGAAGCGGGUAGCAUGCUAUCUAUCUCUCAUUAAAAAAAAAAAGAAAAAAGAAAUGAGAAUAAACUUUUCAAACUUCAGGGAUGGAGAAAUUGGGAGCACUUGAGAUCCAGAGACUCAUAAGCUUGAAUCAAGUUUGAAUAUUUCCUACAGCCUCCAUCUUAUCUGAAUUUUUUUAAAGAUUAUAUAAUCAAGUCCCUUGAUAUUGACUUGGCCUUUUAUAAACUUACACAAAGCACUUUUGUUUGCAAUCACAUAUAUAUAUAUAUAUAUAUAUACUUGACAUUUUCCUGGGGAACAUUAAACUCUGGGCUGGUAUAACUAAACUCAAAUUGGUAUAUAUCCUUCCAAUUAGGAUACAUAAAUAUCUUUGACUCUGUCUAUUCCGUGCAACCGUCGUAAUUUAUUUAUUAGUAUAACUCUUGAUUGACCAGCUCAUGAAAUUUGCAUGAAAAGUCACCAACUGUUAGAUCGGUUAUUGAGUGUUUUGCAUUAGAAACGAUUGAGUUAUUACAGAAACUACUAUUGCCCCACGACUCAAACAUGCUGACCUACUUUCACUAAUAAGCGAAAAAUCUAACAUGAGAAAUGAAUGAGUCUAUUUAUGCGUUUUUAUUAAUAGAGAGCACUUGAUUGACCAGAUCGUGAAACCUGCAUAAGAAGUCUCCAUUUGCUAGCUAGGUCGGCUAUUAGAUAUCUUAGAUUAAAAUUCA